RNAcentral lists this long non-coding RNA (98864 nucleotides) under Populus trichocarpa (black cottonwood). Its description in RNAcentral is "long non-coding RNA (PTRI_LNC002638)". Lineage: Eukaryota; Viridiplantae; Streptophyta; Magnoliopsida; Malpighiales; Salicaceae. The record is from RNAcentral.
GACUGCCCUCUCUCUCGCCAAGCAAUCACCACGCGUCGUCCAUCUCAUCACCGAACCACCACACACCAAACACCCACAGCACCCCAAACUCACCAAAUCAGUCACCAAAAACAGCACCACCUCCAACAACCAACGAUAGCUAGCAGCGGUAGUAACGAAAGAGGGAAAGACAGCAGAACCAAAAGGCCCUGAUCUCCCUCGUCAGUUGUUGGUGAAUAACGCCACUAUCACGUCCAGGUAGAAUAGAACGAGAACGAACGCCAGGUCCUGCUCAUCACCCGCCACCAGUCAUCGGCUUGUGGCUUCACCUACCUCAGCUUCUGCACGCUUCAACGCUGUCCCAACAGCUUCCUGAAGGUAUGUUCUGAUCUCGCCUUAUCUACGACAUUAAUAAGUUUAUGCAUAUUGUGCAAUAUUUGAAGUUGAAGGGUUGGAGUCAUGACGGAAGUAUGCUGGGGGAGAAUUUUAUUUUAUUACAAAUCAUGAUCACAUUAAUGCUGAAAUGUUGCGCGAUAUAUGAUUAACAAAACACUACAUGUAACUGUUCUAAUUUUUCUAAUUCUCAAAUGUACAUGUGAUCACUAUCUUUCUUGAACUCUCACACCAGUAACCUGACUUCGUGCUUUAAACCUCCUGCUCAUUUGCUCAUCCCAUUUUAUUAUAACUAGAAAUGGAGGUGAUGAACAAAGUACUCUCCGAGAGCGAUGCAAAAAAUAAGCGACUGGAAUUUCCGGCUAGGAGUUUCUGAGCCUUCCCCCUGCUUGAUGGACCGAACUCGGUCGAAUUUGUGGCAUUUGACAUGCUAGAACAACAAUGGAGACUUGAGGUCUCCUUCUGCAAUGAAGGUAAGUAUCCGAAACCUUGGCUAAAGGGCGAAUGGGAUGACCAUGUUCGUCAGCAAGGGCUGGAGAAAGGAGAUAAGGUUAUCUUGACUAUGCAUGAGCAAGAGAAUGGCGAAAGAAUUUAUCGUAUCAGAGGUGAAAGAAAGCAUUUCGGUUUCUGGUAUUCAAUGGAUGAUUAAUCGAAACUCAUUUAAACCAUAGAUAUACCAACAAUCACUACUACAAAAUGAGCCUAUUAGCAACUACCUAUUCCAUUGCAGAUAACAUUAAAAUCCGUUGCUGAUGAAAUUCAGCAACGGAAUUAGCAACAGAUAAUUUCAGAUGCAAAUAAUAGAUGCUAAUUUUUUAGCAACGGAUUAUCAGUUGCUAAUUUUUUAGCAACGGAUUAUCAGUUGCUGAAAUUCAGUUGCUGAAUAUGUAAAUCAGCAACGGAUAUUCCGUUGCUGAUCAGCAACGGAUCAGCAACUGAUAUUCCUAGCUCAUUUAAACUAAGGUCUUAUCGUAUCAGAGGUGAAAGAAAGCAUUUCGGUUUAAGAUAAGAAUUUAUCGUACCUAACACACCAAAAUAUUUUAUAUAAGGAUGGAAUUACAAGCUAAAAAACUCAUGGUAGCAUAUAUAUGCCCCUUUCAUAUAAAAGAAAAAACGGAUAUUAAAAACACAAGAGCCCACCGCGUACUGGUAAGUCACCAGUAGUAUAAACAAAGUACAGGACUAGUGAUUAAUGGUGCAAACAACUACGAAGGAUGCAAGGUGCGAAGCCACUAGGCUUUUUUACGUAAUACCAAGACUAAACGCCAUGAAAGAAAGGGGCAAUUUGUUUGUCUUCAUUUUUUAUUAGAAAUUAACCACACAUGCAUUUAGCUCAACUUAGGUAUUUCCAUCUCUAUAUUGCAAACUCUUCAACCGGUAUCCAGAUGCGCAUCGUCAGGUUUCUUUCAGCCCUGAUACGAUAACUCCUGACAGCAUUUCCCUCCACUUGCAUUAUCAACUUAACUCUAUCUCCUUUCUUCAACCCUUUCUCUUGAGCAUACCUCCUCCAUUGGCCAGACAUCCAAGGUUUCUUAUAUCUUCCCACGUUGCGAAUGGAGACCUUGAAUCCCCAUCGCCGGCCUAGCGUGUCCAUUGCAACAAAAUUGAAAUAAUUUUGACCAGCAGGGAUGGGGAAGUUCCCUAGGCUUUCCUUCGGAAGUUCCAUUCGAUUAUUUGUUGCAUCACUCUUGGACACUGAUUUUUCCAUUGCCACCUCCUCCAUUUCUAGUAAAUUAAAAGGGCUGAGAAAAAUGUAUAAAAGAAGAAAAGAAGUGUAUUUGCCUAAUUAUUUGGAUUUUUUUAGUAGGGAUAGUUGUAAUGAAAGUAGAAGAGGUUGAGGUCCUUUUAUACCCAAGACUAAGAGUUUCUGUUGAAGAAAAUAGAAAAGAAGAAAACGUUAUCGGACUUUUCUCCCUUCUCUAAGUUGAGCAACGAAUACGUGAGAAUUAAUACAAAAGGCGCCAUAACCUCAUAUAUAUAGCCAGGGGCGGAGCAAGAAAAAAAAAUCAAGGAUUAAAAGAAAGUAGGUCCCCCUUGAAAAAUAUCAACAUUGGCUUUGAAUGAUGCUGGGAGGGCCUAGGAAAAAGAGAAGAAGGAGGUUCCAUGAAAAAAAAAAAAAGAUUACUGGUUAAAAUUUUAAUUAUUUUAUAAAAGGGAAGGGCUGGGAAAAAUUUCCUUGCAAGGGUCGGGAUCCUACCAGCUCUCUUUCCUCCGCCACUGUAUAUAGCCACUACAAAAAAAUAAAGGGGCAAAAGGCGCCGACUUAUACAACAUCAUAUACCUCAUACUAGUUGCAAUUAGCAUUGAGUAAAAACACCGAGAAAUCGAGAAAACUAGAAAAUAUUAAAAUCUCUGAAAAACCGAACCGUGAAAAAAAACCGAUUAAACAAAUUAAAAUUUUGAAAAAACCGGCCGAUUCGGUUUGGUUUUGGUUUUCUAAGCCUAAAACCGAAAAAACCAAACCGAACCGAACCGAACCUAACCCAAACCAAAAAAACCGAACCGAACCUAACCCAAACCGGAAACAAACCGAGCCAAAUUGGAAAAAAACCGAGCCAAACCAAAAAAUUCGAGUCAAACUGAUUUGAACCAAUUUUUGUCCUAAAAAACUGAACCGAAAACGACCGGUUUCGGUUGGGUUUGGUUUUUUUUUAUAAAAACCGAACCGAACAAAAAAUGAUCACCCCUAGCUGCCAUGCCUGCGCGCUACCGCGAGCUUACGGCAUAUUUGUGCGUUGUCAUGGAUUUAUAGAAAAAAUCAUAAAAAAAAUUACAUGGAGAAACACUAUUGCAAUCCACAAUGUUUUCAAGAAAAAUUAAACUACAAAGCUAAAUUUUCAACCAGCUUAAUAUUAAAAAAAUAAAAUAGACAAAGAUAAUUUUGAAAAAAAUCAUAAAAAAACAAAAGGAAAAAAAAUCAUGUAAGGAAACAUUGCAGUAAUCUAUAGUGUUUUGUCAGAAAAUAUACAAUUGUAAUUCUCAACCAACUCAAUAUUAAAAAAAUAAAAUCAAUAAAAAUAAUUUUGAAAAAAAUCAUAAAAAAACAAAAGGAAAAAAAAACUAUGCAGGAAAACACUGUAGCAAUCUAUAGUGUUUCAUGAGAAAAUCUACAGUUGUAAUUUUCAAUUAGGUCAAUAUUAAAAACAAUAAAAUCGAUAAAGACAAUUUAAAAAAAAAUUAUAACAAAAAAAAAUCAUGUGGGGAAACACUUUAGCAAUUAACGGUGUUUUUAAGAAAAAAAACUACAAAGCUAAAUUUUCAACCAGCUCAGUAUGAAAAAAAUAAAUUCAACAAAGAUAAUUUUGGAAAAAAAAAUCGAUAAAAAAAUAUGUGGGAAAACACUUAGUAAGAAAAAAUCAUGUGGGGAAAUGCUGUAAUAAUCCACAAUAUUUUUUUUAAAGAAAAAAACUACAAAGCUAAAUUAUCAACCAACUCAAUAUGAAAAAACUAAAAUUGACAAAGACAAUUCUGGAAAAAAACAAAGAAAACAAAAAAAAAUCAUAUGAAAAAAUACUAUAGCAAUCAACAGUGUUUCAAAGAAAAAACUAUAAAGCUAAAUUCUCAACUAGCUCAGUAUUAAAAAAAAAUCGACAAAAACUAUUCUGAAAAAAAUACAAAAAAAGAAGACAAUUUUGGGAAAAAAAGCAAAAAUAAAAAUAAAGAAAUAAAGAAAAAAACACGUAGGGAAAGCUAAAGUUAAAUUCUCGACCAGCUAAAUAUUAAAAAAAAUCAACGAAGAGAAUUUUGAAAAAAAAACAUGUGGAGAAAUAUUGUAGCAAAACAAAAACUAUGUGGGGGAAAUACUGUAGUAAUCUACAAUGUUUUUUUAUAAAAAAAACUGUAAAACUAAAUCCUCAACCAACUCAAUAUGAAAAAAAAACCGAAAAAAAUCAUAAAAAAAAGAAAAAAAUCAUAUAGAAAAACAUUGUAGUAAUUCACAAUUUUUUUUUAAAUGACAAAGCUAAAUUCUCAACCACUUCAAUAUUAGAAAAAAAAAAUCAGUAAAAAUAAUUUUGAAAAAAAUAUAUAAUUUUUUUUUAAAAAAAAGAAGUAAAUCAUGGGGAAAAAAACAAACAUGUAAAAACAAAAAAAAAACAAUAUUAAUACAACAAAAAUAAAAGAUGUGGAAAAAACUACAGUAAAUCAAUAAAGAUAAUUUUAAGUAUAAGGUUGAAAGCAACUUCAGUCGAAUUUAGCCACUUCACGUGUAGACUUUAUUAUCAAAACAACGGGCGCCGAGUUUCUUCGAGAAGCCUCUAUGCUCUUUUCUUGCUACCCAUGGAACCAUAAGCUGGCAAGGAUUAAUUUGUAUGACAUGGUAUUCUGCUGAAAAAAACAAACAGAGAAAGAAAACAUAAUACGCAAAUGAUACAAUUAUUGAAAGUUUCUUUAAUUAAUAUAAUUUAAAUAAAUUAUAGAUAAAUAAAAUAUUAAUCUUAAAUAAUCUUUAAUUUUAUUAGAUUUAAUUUUUUAUUUAUGAUAGUUAAUCAUAAUGAUAUAAAUUAAUUUUUAUUAAUUCUGCAAAAAAUUGCACAAGAUUCCAUACAAUUGUGUCUGGGAAUGAAAGAUAUUAAUUAAGAAUAAAUAAACAAGUACAAUUAAUUUAAUUCAGAAGUGGAACUAACCGCUUUCAUUUAGUCUUACAAAAAUUUGAGGAGAAUCAUCAAUAAAUGAAAUGUUCAUGCGUUUAAAUCCUAUCAAUUUUAUUCUUUUAAUUAAUUUAAAUAAAUAAUUAUUUAAGAGUAUUAAUAUGCUUUAGUAGGGAAGUUAGUCUCAACUGGUUACAGGGUAAGCUGCACAAAAAAAAAAAAAAAACAGAUUCAAGAAACAAAAACAUAAUAUGUAAAUCAUACAUAUAACACAGGAAAUAAAAUACCGGCUCUGCUUAAGAUAAUAUGGAUCAAUUAUUUUAUGAUUAAUUGUUAUAAAGAUAACAUUUAAGGAUGAAAAAGUUGUUUGAUAGGAGAGUAAAAAUCAAAUAUAUUAGUGUUAACUUCAUGAGUCCCAACAAACACAUUUCAAGCGUUUUUGUUACCAAUUAAUUGUUUUUUUUAGAAUUUAACUCGUAGAAAGAUUGUACUUAAAUAGAUAUAGGUUUCGAUUGUUUAUUACAUUGACAUAUGAUAAAAAACAUUGAUAUUUCUCUAUAACAAUGAACAAUGAUUAACAUAUAUUAAAGGGUAUUGACAUGUUAUUAUAGCAAUAAACAGUGAAAUUCCAAGGUUUUUUUUAGCUAUAGUCCUAACAUUUUUUAAGACUCUUUGUUUUUAAUUUUAAUUUUUUUUUUAAUUUUAUUCUUCAAUACUGGCUUUACUCGAUACUGAACUUUAUAAUUAUUUUUUAUUUUUUUAUAGGUUUAUCACAGUCUCAUGACCCGGGUUGCGAGUUUGCAAGUUAGACAAGUUUGCUCAGGUUUUUUCUAUCUUUUUUAAUUGAUUUUUUUUUAAUUUUAUCCUUCAAUAUUGGAUUGAUUGAAAAUUAAACUUUAUAAUUUUUUAUUUGUUUUCUAUAGAGUUAUGUUGGUCUCCUAAUUAGGGUUUGGUAGGUCAAUCUAGGUUGACUUAAAUUAUUUUUUUGUUUUAUUUUUUUUUCAAUUUAAUACUUCAAUAUUGGGUUGAUAGGUAAUUAAGCUUCAUUUUUUUAUUUUCUUUUCAUAAGAUUAUUACGGUCUUAAGAUCUAGGUCGCGGGUUAGGUCGAUUAUUACGGUCUUCAUUUUUUUAUUUCAACCUUCAAUAUUGGGGUUGAUUGAGAAUUAGAAUUCAUAAUUUUUUUUUAUUUGUAUUCUAUGAUGUUAUCUUUGUCUCAUAACUCGGAUCAUGAGUUUGGUCAGUUGACCUGAGUGGUUUAUUAUGUUUUUUUUAUUUCAUCCUUCAACAUUAGGUUUAUUGGGAAUUGAGUUUCAUAAUUUUAUUUUAUUUUUUUUCUAUAGGGUUAUUCUGAUAUCAUAACUUAGGUUUAGAAAAUUAACCCGAAUUGACUUGACUUCUUUUUUCAGUUGAUUUUUUUUAAUUUUAUCCUUCAACAUUGAGUUAAUUGAGAAUUGAGUUUCAUAAAAAAAAUAUUUUUCUUUCUAGAGGGUUAUCAAGGCCUCAUGAUCUGGGUAGCUAAUUAGACAAGUUAACCAGUGUUGUUUUGAGUUCAUCUAAUAUGUUGUCGUUUUAAUAUUUUUUAAAAAAUUAUCUUUAUAUUUUUAGUGAAACAAUAUUUUUAUCAGUAAUUCAGGUUGUUUUUGGAUUUGCAAAGUCAAUCAUAUAAUAUCAAGUCAAUUCCCAUAUAAUUUGAUUUAAUUUUUUUUCUAAAAAAACACAUUAACAAUAUUUAAAUAUUUUACUUAUAUAUAUAAAAAAAAGUUUGAUCCGACUCGGAGUACUGUGAAGGUAAGGAUCUAGUACGAUUCGAAGAAUGAAACAAAGAUAAGGCUUUGUAGUGUAAAACCUAAAAAAAAAAAAAAAAACCUAGUGUAAGUUUUAGACUAAAAAAAAGCAAAACUUUGAAGUUGAUGAUAAGAAAAAGUAAUGGAAAACACGCAAAUAAAAGUUCAAAUAUAGAUAAAGUAUACAGAUAAACUAGCCUAUUAUCCCAUGCUAUACUGCGAGGCAGAGUAAAAAACAUUUGAGUGCAAAAAAAAUAAAAAUUGUAUAGGUAUUGGUAACAUAUCUUCUAAAAAAAAAUUUUAACCAUGAAUUGAAUGAUAUUGUUAUCUAAUAUUGAAAUAGAAACAAACUAGAUCUACUUGGGUUAAACUAAUUUGAUAGGAAACACUUGUGAGAAUAAUCUUGAAAAAAAAUAAAUUGAUAAAAUAGGUGAUGACUUCGAAAUUUUUUUGGAAACUUCAUUUUAGACUUUAUCUUUUUUAGCUAUUAGGUAACUGGUCCUUUUAAUUUCUAAAAAUUCAAUUUCAAUAUCAAACUUUAUUUUCUUUAUGUUUUAGUCUUUUUUGGGUGAGAGGAGAGAGAGGGGCUCACUAGAUUCUAGCAUGGAGAGAGAAAGUUGUCGUUAAUGAUUAUUUCGGCUACCAAAACGAUCGAUUUUGUGUCAAAUAGUUUUAUAUGAUGAGGGGAGUUCAAAUUAGUUUUUUGUACUUUGAAAGUGCCUAUCCGAGCUUAGAGAGAUUUUUUUUCGGGUUAAUUUUGGGUUUUAAGGCAGUGUUUUGCGUUUUUAGAGGUUAUAAAUUAGUUUAACAAAGUUCUUAUGAUAUUUUCUAGAUAUUUUGAAUAAACAAAUGGGUUGAAAAUGGGUUUUGGAUGAAAAUAAUAUGAAGAAUAUUUUCUUGCCAAAAAAUUAAUAUGAAUGACCCCAUUAACUUAAAAAAAUAAUUAAAGACCCGUGUGUGUGGACUUAACCUUGUAGGCACAAGCGUUAGCCCUUUUUUGACAGGACAAGUUUUUGACUUAACUUAUUAGACCAAGCAGCGUUCUGAACUUAUUUUUUUUAAUUUUUUUUAAUUAAUAUUGAUUUUAUAUAUCUAUUUUUUAAAUAAUUUUUAAGUUUGAAUUUUAGCGCGGACAUUAAUUUCAGGUUAGUUUUCAGUUUGUCUUUGUGAAACUUUAUGAGUCUCCUGCUUAGCUGUAUGUCUAAUAAGUGAGAAAGCUUGCGAGUGGAGAAGACGUUACCCGCGUGGAUGCCCGAAGUAUCCACGUGUACGAGAGAAGAGAAAUCUUCCUUACAUGGGGCAUGCGUGCCAUGUACAACAUCAGUUAAGUUGCAAGUUGCACAAAUAAUUAAUCGGAAGUGGCCAAAAAAGUGUAAGGAAUUCGAUAUUCAUUCUCACAGCUAAGUUUGCAAUCUCUCUCUCUCUCUCUCUAAGCGGCAUUUGAAAACUCUUACCAACUUGUAUUUUUAAAAAAAUUAAAAGUUUUUUAUUAAAAAUUAAUUUUUUUAUAUAUUUUGGAUUAUUUUGAUGCGUUAAUCUCAAAAAUAAUUUUAAAAAAAUAAAAAAAUUAUUUUAAUAUAUUUUAAUAUAAAAAAUCAUUUAAAAAACAAUAAUAAUUACACUCCCAAACAGAUUAACAGUAAAUCUCAUGUGCCUACGUGACAAAUCGGUUGCACUUUUGGCUCAUUAUAACCAAACAAGAAAAGAUAAAUUAAUGUUUGAUUAGGCGCCAACAUAUAACGUUCUUUUUGGCACCGACAAUAUUAAUUUCAGGUUAGUUUUCAGGUUACAAACUUUACGAGUCCAAGAAAGAUUAUUACCAAACCACUUCCAACUGCUUUCAAUUAUUGGCAGAUAUAAUAAUGAAAUGAUUUGGGUUAUGAAAAUACCAAGAACCAAGAAAUGCGGAAAGAGCAGUAGCAUAUUGAGAAACAAUCAAGUCAAUAAUGUCAGGCCAGCCAAUCAAUCAAUCAAUAUUAUUGGCAAACAGUCUAUGAACUUAAACCACAAUUGGGACGUCAUGAUCAAUGCAAAGUACAGUCAACUUGUAGAUUAAAGAGAAAUUAACCCUCAAGGGAAACCACUUUGAAUGGUGGGGUCUCAGUUUUCUUUUCAAAAUUGUAUGUGCACCAGCACCACAUAAGCGAAGAUCUUCAAUCAAUAAUCCAACCACUAAUUUCAUUCAUAAAGUUGGAUGGCACCACUCUCGGUUUCUGUGAAAUGUGGACGUAAAGUGUGUUUCCCUAAUGGUCUGAUAUUCGCUCGCAAAUUGGCAACAAGAGGAGGCCGGGAAUAUUCUUGCUUUGCUACACGAGGCAUGAGCAGCUAGCUUACCUAUGAUCCUAUCUAUGGCCUUUUGUACAUGUUCCUUGACAUGACCCCCAAUGACUUGUUUGAGAGGGUGCGUUUGGCGAGCAGAAGAAAUUUGGCUGGACAAGAUGAAUUUGUCGUCCCAUGGAGAAAAACAAGGAGCUUUUGGAACACACCAACUAACUUGCAGAUGAACUUGUUUUGUCUGGUUUCAUGCAUCAAGUGCUAUCUAUGUGUAUAGCAUUAUUUAAGUGUAUAUAUAUAUAGUAGUGAAUAAUAUCCUGGAGAUAUUUUACUAAAAUGUUUUUACGAGCAUAAUUAUUAAAUCUAAUUUAGUCUCAUUAGUUAGAAUUAGAGAACUAAUUUUGAUCUUGAUAUGGCUACAAUUAAGUGAUUUAACCAUGUCAAUACCAAAAAAACUUUUAAAAAACUUGAAAUAAUAUUGUUUUAAAUAAAAAUAAUAUAUAUGAGUUAAGCAUAGUUUCUUUUCUGGAUGAAACUUCAGAAAAAAUCUGACAAUUAUAAUUAUAAAUAAGUUUAACUUCUGAUUUCUAGCUUUUAAGCAACUUUUCGAAAAUUACAAAACCUUUUUUUUUAAUGACUUUUGAGGGGGGAUACUUACAAAAAUACCAUGUCGCCUAACGGGCUCUAAAUCAUGCAAGGCUGUCAUGUUGAUGCAUGGCUAGCACAUGGGCUCAGGGGGACCCUUUAGUCCGGCGAGCCCUAAAGAGGGGAAAUUUUCAAAUGGGAGCACAAACGGGUUCUUUUGGCCGACAAAAGAAUCUUUAUCUUGUCUAAUCCAUGGCACAAUGAAUGGGGACAGAAACUGUUGAGAGGGGUGUUUUGAGAUGCCUCACCGGCUCACUGUGAUCAUUAGAUGCCUUACCAAGUAGUGAAUAAGAUACCUUGCGUGCAUCCGCUUUAGAGACAGAGAUCUUUUAGUCUUACUUCGUAAAGGAUGUUAGGUAAGAAGAGACAUUUUUAGAAUGUAGAAUUCGGCCUGGAGUCCAGGACUAUACAUGGCAUGUACUGUAGCCGCCUAGUGCCUAGCCACUCUGUUAAGGCUACAGUCCUUUCCUCAGUUCAGGGCUGGGCUUGUGAGCCAUGGGCUGGUUACUGCAGAUUUUGCAAGUGCUAAUCCAGCAAGGAUCUAGUAAUGGUUCCUUGUACUCAUUUACUUCAAUCCUAUUCACCAAGUUGGGCCAUGCUUGCAUGGGUUACUCUGGUUUGGAGGACUGUAGGGGAAGAACAGAUGCCAGCAACAUGAAUAAAGCGGGAAGCGAGAAAAUGUCAAGCAAGCGAAACAACGGCAUACAAUUUACAAGACAACGCAGAAGAAUACAUUUUGGAAUCACAAAAUUCAACUCCAUUUUCCAAUCAACCAGCCGCCAACCCUCCUUUUUGUAUACAAGGAAACAUAUAUUCAAGGUCUUCAUGUUCAUAAAAUCGGUUCACUUGCUGCAAGAAACAGCUCCAUCAUGCCUAGAGACAGUAUGCAACCCUCUUGCAGCUUUUGCUAGAAUUUCUGAAUAACAACUGAAUUGGCAAGGCCUGCCUGCUCUAUUGUCUGUGUUGGAUCAGUAAGAAGCUUAGGUGGGAACCCCAUCAACUGCAGUUGAUAAUUAAGAGCAGCCCCAGGCCUGGAAGCAUCUAUGAAGGAUCGAAUGUCAUUGACUGUGUGAUGAUUAUUAAAGUGGGUCACCAUGCGGGUCCCAUCAGCCAGCCUAAGCUGAAUUGAAGUCGAUGGCAGUGUUUCAUCCACAACCAGGCCCAUAAAAGGGGUUGGAGCAGAGUUCAGAGGAGCAGAAUCAGCUGUUGGUUCAGUUGCAAGUGCAGUACUGCUGCUUCCUAGAGUUCUCCCUACACCUUGGAAUGGAACAUGGCGCUGCCUCUCUGGUUCCUGCAGGAAAACAAUGACAGAGGAGUGUCAGUACGGCUCAGCACCAAUGUCUUUCAAACACAUGUACCAACACCGAUGUAUUUCAAACACAAAUGUAAAAGCAUGCUGAUGCUCUUUUCGGGAACAAGUACUGACCAAAACACUGACUCGGAGAUUAAAAAAGGAUGACAAUUUCUGAAGUUCCAAAAAUAAUUAUUAGUCUAAGUAAGAAAAGAGUGAGAGAAAGAGACUCACUGGGCACUUUUGAUCCUUCCUAAUCAAAUUGACAUGAACUGAGGACCUUCUAUCCGCUGGUUCAAGCUCCUUCGGACACUCGGACUUCCUGAUGCUCUGCAAUAAAACAUUAUAAAACAAAAUCAUAAUAUCACCACAAACAAUACUAACGAAGAAAUAAGGGAGCAGGAAUCAGUAAAACACGACGACAUAAAACAAAAGCUGCCCUAGCAUAUGCUGCUAUAAGUAAAGGUUCAAGAGAACGUAGAAAAAGAAGUCUUAGGAUGAACUACCUAUCUAGCAGAAUCAUUAGUCAUUAUUGAAACAAGCAAGAUAGUGAAAAGAUAUUGAUUGAGAAUGAUGCAAUUACCACGAGCUUUGAAUUUUUCUCACACAUAAGGGGUGGAAACAAUCACCAACUACAAAUCAAAACUCCACUUUGUGAAAAUUUUCUUCUCACUCUAUAUAAUUUCUUUUAUUUCAUUUUAUAUCUGUAUUGCUAUUACCUCUAUGAAAGAUGCAUUUUCAGGAUCAUCCAGACUCCUCAAAGGGCCAUCAUUUACAGUGAAACCAUUCGUCCAGAAAACAAUAUUGUGAACAACAGCUUCAGGUUGUUGAGGAGCAGAUGGUACAGUCUCCCCUGAGAGUAAUCUACCAGUUCCACUAAAGCUACUUGAGCUUGAAGAUUGAUUAAUAUUCUCCAAAGGCCCUUCAACAGCACCAAGCUGUCUAGCUUGAUUGAAAAUUGCAUCCACGUCAUUACCCUUUGUAGGAUCUUGGACAAGCAUACCACUGCAACCGUAAAAAUUAGAAUUGCACAAAGUACUUAAAUAAACACAUUUCAUACAUAUAUUAUAUAAAGGAAGGAAUGGCCAAGGGCAACAAGUCAGAUAAAAACAAAUGAUAGACAUAGGCAUUAGCAACUAAAGCUUUGUGAAAUAUUUCAGGAGCCACAGUUGUGGGAUUGAAAAGCAUUCUAACAUUUGCAAGAUAAAGAGCAAAAAAUCUUAAAAUUAUUGAAUUAACAAAUAGUUGAAAAUAUGAAAAUACACCAAGAUCAAAUUUGGUUCCUUACAAUAUUACAAAGGAUUGGAAAUUAUAAAUGCUUUAAAUACAAAAUAUAACGGAAUAGCUUAUGACACGGCCCUAUAAAUAUAUGACAGAAAUAAAGCUAACAAAUUUAUUGGCGUCACCUGUCUUGGUAACCCAAAUCAACGCAAAGUUUUGAUCGUCUCACUGGUUUUGAGACAGUAAAAUUAGGGUUCUGGAAGAUAUCAGAACAUUAACUCAACAUGAAAACAGUGCUGUUGAGCUUGGCUGCUGGGGUGUGGAGAGGAUUUCAUUUCUUUUGGGGUGGCCUUUCCUAGUUUUAACAGUGGGUUAUUGCCAUGCCAAUCUGCUGUGGCUUUCAACCAAAGACAGACCGUUAAACUGGGUUUCUCUGGAAAAUGUUUAUGUUUUUUAUACUUCUGAAACAGCUUGAGCCUUGAGAAUAGCCAACUUAUGCAAAAAUGCAGAAGAGUAAAACUUUCCCCAAGUUUUUGUUCCCCGGACCACCCUUGUGGGACAGUAGCUGGGGAAUGUCCUAUUCUCUUUCUAGACUAAAUGUCACUCAUAUCAGGUGCAAAUCCCAGCCCAAGGUCUUGUUCAAGUCCAAGUCCUAUACUUUCAGGAACAAGAAGGCUAUCACCAGCUAACAGCAUCAGAUUCUCACCACCUAUGCAGCUGCAUGAACAUGACAAUCCGAGAAGGCUACACUUUUUACAAGGUUUGCUAAGUUCCUAUCCAAUAUGGUUACCGCAAGCUGCACAUAUAAGGUUAGAAUGAAUAUGGCAACUAAAAUAUCACUCAUAUCAGGUGCAAUCUUCAAGUUUAACUCCCAAUCAAUCCCGUGCUUUCUGGAAUAAAGCGGGAAACACCAGCAAACAGCCUUGAAUUCCCAUCAUCUCCACAACCUCAUGAACCUGGAAAUCAGAUGGGUUACACUUUUUGCAAAGUUUGCCAAGUGCCUUCCCAGAGUCUUUCCAACUACAGGAAGCACAUGAGGGGUGGAAAACACCGGGUCAAACUGCAGGAGCUGAAAUUCAAGGACCACUUAGAAGAUCAAAAGCAGGACGAUGAAGUCAAAACUUGCCAAGAAAGGUGGCAGAUGCAGUGAGAUAGCACAGCGGAGAUAUUGGUGCAAACUGUGUAAUAUUUGGUGCACAACGAAGGGAGAAAGCAUAUCCUUAACCCCAUGAAAUUGAGAAAAAGAGGGCAAUGCUUAGUCGUAAAGAAAUGGAUGGAAUGUGAUAUCCUGAUGUCUCAACCGGAGUAAGAAUACGGACAAGCAAAAUCUAGAUUUUAUUCUCCAACUUUUACUAAUCUAAUGUAGCUAUUGCUAGUCGGAUUUAUAAGAAGUUUAGAGUUCCAACAAUCUGGAAGGCUUCUAACUUUUUAAUCACUGGUACGACUUGCUAGUAGCUGCAUCCUUGUAGAACAGAGUUUCUAUUUCAAAGGAAAUGGAUUGCUUGAUGGCUGACACCGUCUUUUAGAUGUGUCAGCCAGUUUUGUUGGCUAUUUGUUUUUGUUUAACACAACAGAGAAGGAAGCUGUUUUCCUAUAUCCGACGCAAUCUUGAGAAGGCAUAUAAAUCAAAUUUAAAUGGGAGGUCAUCUUCAUCUUCCAUUUUGAGAAGACAUAUAUCAAGCAUUUUUUUUUUGGAAAAUAUCCUACACGGUCUCAUUCUUGCUCAUGACAACAAGGAAACUUCUAAUUUUUCAUAUUUUAGUCCAUGCCCAGCACCAAUUCUUGUCAAGUGGGAGUAGCAAUGCUGCAAACCCGCAAGAUUACUCCUUCACAGUCUCUUACCUCAUUGAUCCAUUCAAAUCUGCUCCACUACCCUGAAAAACUUGAUAUUAUAGUCCAACCUUACUAUUAAGAUUUUUUUAGUUUUAAAAAUUAUUUUUUAUAUAUAUUUUUUGAUCUGAUAUUAAAAAUAAAUUUUAAAAAAUAAAAUAAAUUAUUUUAAUGUAUUUCUAAGAAAAAAAACUUUGAAAAACAAUAUUUAUCACACUUCCAAACAGUUCAUAUCUUAUUCAGGUCCCAUGGAAGAUCUUGCAAAAUCCCUAACUAUACUUCAAGAAAUGGAUUGUUUCUAGGGAUUAUGCCAGGCAGCAUAUGAUCAUACCUUCAACAGCAAAUGAAAGUAUAUAUAUAUAUCUCUUGAUAUUAAAUCCUUGAACUUACUAUGUCUCGACACCUUCCUUGCAUCAGGAUUUGUAGUGUUCACAUCUGUCUUUCAUGCCAUAAAUGUUCCUCUUUGUUUUAAGAUAGGAAGAAUCUCAAGUCAUUUAAACAUUCCAAACCCUGCAACAAUCCAUACUAGGGCAAACUUUUGUGUUUUGAACAUAGUUAUAAAACCCGACCCGGUAGUUGACCCAGUAAAAUGACCGGGUCACGGGUCUUGUGGGUCAACCCCUCUCCUUAAAUAUAAAGAAAUCAAACUGCUACAUCAUCCCUAAACCGCAUAACCCAGUGAUGAAUUGCUUACCUUUUCCUACCCACUUUUAGCAUAAGCAGCCGAAUGAAGAAGAAAAUACUUGUGUAACUAAAAUUUAAACAGUAGAACAAAAAUAAAAUGGUAUUAGUUUCCAACAAAUCCAAAAGAUUCCUUAAAAAUCACAAUAAAUCAUAAAACAUAAAAAGAAAAAAAAACUUCAUUUCCCAUAUGUUCACUGUUGCAAAGCUAAUCAAUCAACAAGAAGAUCAAAAACUAACAAUCAACAAGAAGAUCAAAAACUAAUAAUACAGGCAACAUGGAGGAAAUGCCUUCACAGUCAGUGCUCAAUGUGAAUAUGACAUGAGAGGCAAAGUUCUUGGUCAUGAGUAAGAGGAUGUGCUCGAACUGUGUUUGAUGCUGUUAGCCGAUGGAUUAUGCAGUAUGCCCGGAGCUGUGGUAGCUAUCAGAGUAACUGAAAAAGUUGAACAACUUGUAGUCUCAUUAAAAACCAGUUAUGUAAAUCAAGAAUGAAACCGACAACAACAAAGUUCAUGUUUGCAAAUCAUAUCAGAUGUUUCUCUUCAUGGGUGACUAAAGGAUGGUUGUCAAAUGAGUACUUUUUUCAAUUAUUUGUUCCAAUCCGAAGAAGAGCUUAAAAAGCAUGGAAAAAAGAGGGAAUCAAUCAAAAUCUGCAGCAAUUGUUUGCAAUAAGAAAUCUCAACAAAGAAAAAAACAUAAAAAAGUAAGCAGCGAAAGAGAAAUAGAGCACCUGUAGAAAUAAACACUAAUUUCUCCGAUGAAAUCUCAACCAAAUAUUUGUUCUGCAAAAGAUAAAAGAGAAGGAAAUUGGGGGCGGGCUGCUCUUCUUAGGAAAUUAGGGCAUCAUUUUGCUGCCAGCGACUCAAAGGAAAGUUAAUGUAUAUAUACGCCGGGUCUCGCCCGGGUCAUGGGUUGACCCGCUGGGUCGACCGGGUUUGACCGUUUUUUUGCGCUAGCCGGUUUUUAACCUUGCCCGGACCGGUCUAGCCACCAGGUCGACCGGGUCCCGGGUCGACCCGCCGGGCCGGUCCGGGUUUAAUAACUGUGGUUUUGAAUGAAUACUUCGAUUAGUUAUAAACUAACUGUAGAAGGGAAAAGAUCUCAUAUGCAAAGCAGGAUUAACAUGCAUUUCUAGGCAGUCCCAAUGCAGAAUGAAGUCUGAACCUCUCUGUUUCAUGAAUGCAAUUACCAAGUAAAACCUAACUUGGAUUAGAUCAUCUCAUAGUGAAAGAACAUCAUUCACAAGUAAUAACAAGACAGUGUAAGUUGUAUAUAUCAUGGAAGGCAAGGAAACUGCAGCUCCUGGUAUGCCAGAUGGCUGUAAAAACAUCACUAAGCACAAGGUUUCAAGGUUUAAUUGAGAAAAAUCAGAGAAUAGAGAAACUAAAUUGCAAAAAGAACAGGUAAUUCCAAUGCACAAUGCCUAACUUAUGGAAAUUCUAAGGCAGAGAAGACAAUAAAAAAACAAAUGAAAAUGCAGAGCCAUUGUGAUUUAAAAUGUAGAAGAGUUUACAACUGAUGAAAGAUUCAGUUUUUCAUUGUAAAAUUUCAAUAUCUGGGUAGAUUCAGAACGGUGAUUUAUGAACAUCUGCCGGAACUUAUUUUCAGGUGUGUAGAAGAACGCAGUGCUUCUGAAACUCUUCUCAACCAAGCCUUUAGAAACUAGAAAUUGCAAUAACAAAGCCCUUGGAACAAGCCUUUUGUCCAGGCUAUAUGAUGGUAUAGUUGGGUUUUUGGCAAGAUAGGAAGACUCCCAACCCAAUUGGUUGACAAAAAGAUCCAUCACUGCCGUGAUCUUCUCUUCAGAUAAGCUCAUAAACCAAGGAUUCUUUACAAAUGCUGCAAGAAUUUCUUCUUGAGACAAACCCCAUCUCCUAUACACAUCAAGCUUUUUUUCCCAUGUGGAUGUGGUCAUGGACCUCAGCAACACAAUUGCUACAACAAAUUGACUCUUGGAAGGAUGAAAUCCCAUUAGACUUGCUUUCUGAACAAGCCUUUUGAAAUUCUCCAGAUUCGAAAGCAUAAUACCAGGCUUUAUCCGAACUGAUAGAGCAAUAUUCUUCAUAGGGACUCCAUUUUCUAACAAAAUAUCAACAAUACGUGCGGCCUUUUCAAGACCAGCAUCUAGAAGGCGCGGGUCAAGUUUGACUGCUUUGAUAGCCAUGGCAUCAGAUUGGAGCAAAUUUUCAAAGAAAUCAAAAGCAGGGACUAACUUGUUUUCAAAGCUAAUUCUCAAAAUCCACGGAUAGGUUGAUAUAAUUUUGACAACAUCAGGGCUUGAAAACCCUUUAGAAUGGAAAAAUCCAAGCUUGGGCAAGAGUGUUCUGUGAGGUUUACACAAAAGCACUCUAGGCCAUCUCCUCACAAGGUUCAAAAUAUGGGCCUUUGAGAAGCCAUGGUUCUUGAAAAUCUCAAGAACAGAAUCAGCAUUACCUGGGGUUUCAAAAUGAACCUGUUUAGAAACUUCUAAAGCAGGUUUUAGAGAGAACCCACAAAUGUUCAUAAGGUAUGAUACUGUAAAGGAGUGUUCUUUUACAUCAUCUGAAUUCACAGAUGAAAUGUUUCUGAGGCAUGAUAAUAUUGAAGGGUUUUCAAGAAAAUAGUGUAAUUCUUGAUGAACUGAUGAACUAGGUCUAAUGGAGCAUCCUAACCCCAAGCUUUUGCAGAGAAACCUAAACAUUGGGAGCUGACGUUUGAAGAAGAACUAGGAAAUGAAAUGCUACUUACCUCUGCUUGAAGAUCAUUCCAUGAAAGCAACUGUUAAACCCUAGCAAGAUAACCAGUAGAGAGGCUGCACAGGGAAGGAGACCUAACCGAGAACGAGGUUGUCUUAUUUUUGUGGGCUUCUUUGCUUGCUUUUAGAGUUUCCUGGACUAUAAGCCCUAUGCAAUGGCUUGCAACUUCGCAUGGACUAUAGAUAGUUAUGUUAUUGGGCUUUAGUCUUCGAGGCUUAUGCAUAUCACAUGUUAUGAAAUUAGAAAAACAGAGCUAGAAAACUAUUAUCCAUCUCCAUCUCUAUUUUUUCUUCUUCGAGAAGUUGAAAGAAAUGAAAAGCAAGGUGAUUUGAAUUGUCACUUGUCUUUUAAAUUUCAUCAGAUUUUAUCAUGAAGUUCAAUAAUUAUAUAUAAUCCAAUUAAAUGUAAUCGUUUACUAGUUGGUUUCCCAAAAGAAAUUGCUUAUUAAAAUCAAUUAUGUAUUUAUAGGGUGGCUGAAAUCUUAGAAAGGGCACUUCCUCGUAAGCUAGCCGAGCUCUUUUCUUUCCAUUCAUCAAUAUAAAAAUAUAACAAAAAAUAUGAAAUCAAAGAUAAGUAUACAUAAGGUUAGGAAUACAUAAUUAAUACAUAAAGAGAGUAUACAUAAUUAAUACAUAAAGAGAGCAUAUUUCUCUAGUUCUCCAAGAAACGCACUUAUCGGGAAGGGCAGUUACGAACUCCGAACAGAAUUAGUCUCAAUUUUUAAAAGGGUACAAGGAUACCCAGAUAAAAACAAAAAAAAUAACUUAUUUCAGAGGUCCAAAUAGAAUGUAUAUAUCUAACAUAAAAAGAGAGUAGGAACUUUAUAUUGAUUUUUCUGGUUUCUACCUGUGAGAAUGAAGGCACUUUAUUUAUACAUAAGGUUAGGAAUACAUAAUUAAUUCAAAAUUAUCUAGAACCAAUUUAAGACAAUUCAUUGAAUUUGCAUAAUCAAUGAAUCUGAGAGGUUCUAUGGAACCGAAUUAAUUCAAAAUUAACUAAUCAAAUCAAGUAACUUUUCAAAGAUCAAUGCCAUGAAAUCUUUGUUUAAAGAUUGAUGACACUUUGAUCAAUAGUUUAAGAAAAUUAAAUACAUUUUAGUGUAGAUAAUAUAUCCACCGGUUCUCACUAGAAAUAGGAAUUUACCUAUGUAACCUUUAAAUUAAAUACAAUUUAUUGCUAUCUGCACUGAAUGUCUCGAAUCUUGCAACAUGCGAACGAUCGAUGAAAGGCUAAAAUGAAAGAGUCUAGACAGCCUGCGAGUGUUGGCGUGUAGUUCUUCACAUUUUGACCUUGAUGCUUGUCUUUUUUGGCAGCUAGCACAGCCUACCGUAAGGUAUUUAAGACUGACAAUGGCUCUGGAAAAUAUUUAAAGUGUGGCUGAGAGUGUUAUAAUUUAGUAUAAUAAUUUGCUUUGGACCCAACAAAAAAUAUAAAUAAAUAAAAUACAUUGCUUCGGUUUUUUUUUUUUAACUUCGAUUUUUGUGGGAUAAUUCGUGUUCUUAUAUACAUUUUUUUGUUUAUAAAUAUUAUUAGAGGUAUGUUCAUUUUCUUCACUUUCUAAUGUCAAACUUUUUACACUUACAUAUAAAAGAAUUUAUUUUAAUUUGAUAUUUGAGUUUAUGUAAAUUUUAAUCCCAAAUAUUUUUAUGUAAUGGAAUGUUUAGAAAAUAGUAUUAAUCCAAAAUGUGGGCGAUCUUCUAAUCUAAAAUCUUAGUUUGAACAGAUGCUAGAAUUUGACAGGAGUCGGUUGUUCUUUUGUCUCAUCAAAAACCAAAAAAAAAAAAAAAAAUUAAUGUUUGAUUAGCCGACAAUACAUGAGAUUCUUUUUGGCAACGACAUUUUCAGGUUAGUUUUCAGUCUUUGUUAUACUUUAUUAGUGCAAGAAAUAUAACUUAUAAUAUCUUCAAAAUAGAAAUUACUUGAAUGUUUUUUUUAAUUAUUUUUUAGUUUAUAUUUGAGAAUAAUAUAAAUUAUACUUUAAAAUCUUACCUAAUAGUUUAAGUUAUUGAAUUAUAAUUUUUUUUUAAUAUGACAACAGAGCCUUAAUAACCAAGCGGUAAUGGGUUUAAAUCUAACUAUUCUUAUUUAUUUGAUAAAAAUUAAAUAUAAUAUAGUAUGAGUCUGUGCAAAUUUUAAGUUAGAAUGAAUUUUACUUGAAGGGAUGUAUUAAAAAUAAUAUAAAUUAUAUUUUAAAAUUUUACCUAACAAUUUAAAUUAUUGAAUUGAAAUGAUUUUUUAAUAAUUUAAUUUCUCAAAUUGAAUUUUUAAGUUAAUUUUAGAGUAAUUUUUACAAAUAUUCAGUAUAAUCUAAUGAUUUUUCUAAGCUGGAGCACAUUACACAGACUGCUGAGCUAGGUGGUCUGAUAUUUCAAAUUACCUUUGCUUUUCUUUUCUUUGAACUUUCUAAAUACAAUACAGAAGGCCCAUUGUCACGCAACAAUUAAGAAAGUUGGAUGUAUACGAGCGACAAUCACUUUAUCAUGACAGGAUAAGUAUGCAAACUCUUCUAUCUCUAUCUUUUUAAAUGUUUUUUUUUAGAUGUUGAUGUUUUUUAAAAUAUUUUUUUAUUUUGAAUUAUAUUAAAAUAAUUUUUUAUUUUUUAAAAAUUAUUUUUAAUAUUAGCACAUUAAAAGGAUCCAAAAUAUAAAUAAAAAAUUAAUUUUUAAUAAAAAAAUUAAUUUUUUUAAAAAAACGGAUUCAUCCGCAUUCCUAAACACUCACUCUACAAAUGGCAAAUCGGCUGCACUUUUGGCCAUCAAGUAACAUUCUUUUUGGCAACGACCUUAAUUUCAGGUUAUCUUUGUCAAACUUUAUGAGAUUCACAAUUUGUUUCCAAGAUCACUUACAGUUUCUUGCUAUCUGCAUUUUAUGUCUUCAAUCUAGCAAUAUGCGAACGAUCGAUGGAAGGCUAAAUGCAAGAGUCUAGACAGCCUGCGAAUGUUGUGGUGUGGAUCUUCACAUUUUGACCUUGAUGCUUGCCUUUUUUGGCAGCUAGCUCAGCCUCACAUUAAAAUUUCCAAUAGUAUAACCACUGCAAUUCUCUUGCCCUGUUUGCCCGCCACAAAAAGGUUUUAAAGCUUAAUCGUUUAGAAUUUGUCUUCAAUACUGAUUGAAAUGAUAUCACAAGGUCAGAAAAUGGUACUUUGGGUGUUUUAAGGAUAAUUUCGCGGCAGUCAAAUGUCAGACAUAAAGUAUUUUCAUCUGGUUUUGGUAAGGACCAAAUUCUUAAUAAAAUAAACGAGGCUUAGAUUGAGAAGUUGAAGAUACAUCAAAUACAUAACACACCAGUACUACUGACAAAAUGAAAGAUCCAUACAUAUACAAGAAGCUAGCAGCCUCUACACUCCUCUCUUGCUACCCAUGGAGCCAUGAGCUAGAAAGGAUUAAUCCGUAUGAGAGGGUACGCUGCAUAAAAAAGCAAAUACAAGGAACAAAAACAUAAUAUGUAAAUCACACAACACAGGAAAAUUAAAAACACCUAGCACAUUACUAAGAACACCUUGCUAGAAAAACAGUCACUAACACGCAUACUGCAAGCAUAAUAUAUUUUACCAAUAGGCAAAGAUAAGUCCCCUAUUGGACAGGGGCCCAAACAUUGAAUAUCAUGUGUUCAGUUCUGAUUUCGUAGCUCACUUCAUCAUCUUCAUCUACUUCCCUGGUCAGAACGAUCCUAUCUCCGACUCUAAGGCCCUUCUCUUGCACAAGUGACAACCACUCUCCAGUGAUGGCUGGUUUUGGAUGGCCUUGAGCCCGAGUAGAAAUCUUAAGAUUCCAGACUUUCCCAAGAGUAUCUCGUGCAUCAAAACGCACUGAAUUAUGGCCCUGGGACAAUAGUGGAAAGGCCCCAAGACUCUGGGUUGGAUAAGCUAGACGGUUUUCUAGGUCUGUGCGCGUUAGGAUUUUAUUUAUGAGCUCCUCCGCCAUUGAUGCUAGAAAUGGAUUUCAAGAGCACUAAUCAGGUUUUUUGACAGGUUGAGAAACAGAUGAAUGUUGGAGGGCUAGCUAUUAUAGCAUUUUUAUAGGUGUAGAGAUUGCACGUUCACUGUUAACUCUUGUUCAUUAUCGUUCGAUAUCAACAUCCUAGAUUGCGUUGUCACAUUUGGUGGUUUGGUCGGCAAGGCAUUCCAUGGUCAAAAAGUUAAUCGGAGAUGUGAUUAUUUCUGAUCUUUGACAAAUUAUAACAAAUGCAAUGAUUUGAGUUUCUUGGUAAUCAUUUGUCCAAUGAGCAAUUCCAGUUGAUUUGAAAGUUGCAUAAACGUUUUAAUUUUAAAUCUUUUAACUUUUUAAAAGAAGAAUAUUAUCUCAUUAUAAGCAAAUCAUUUUUAGCUUAGAAAUUGGAUGUGGGUGUAAUUGUUGAAAAGUGUAUUAACUUUUUUAAAUUAUAAAAACACAAGAUUUUUUAAAAACAAUUCAAGAAAAUAACUUAUUUAUUAUAUAAUAAUAUAUGAAAUAACCCAGUCUCGUGAUUCGAAAAACAAAUUUAGAAGAUUUGCUCCAUUUAACUUAUUUAACUUAUUUUUUUUUUAAUUUUUUUUUUAAUUUUAUGAUUUAAUAUUAUAUUAUUGGGUUGCAGAGUUAAAGGAGUUGAAUUGAGUUUUUCUUAAUUUUCUUUAUUGAUUUUCUACUGUUUUGCUUUUAAUUAUCGUUAUUAUUAUUAUUAUUAUUUGCUUAAGAAUUUACCUUUAUUGUUUCUAUUUAGUUUAUUUUACAAGGUGUCAUCUGCCGUUAUAAAUUUGGCCAUGUAUUUAGCAUGCUCAAUAAAAUUAAUUUUUUGUCAUAUGCUUUUUUAAAAUUUGAAUAAAAUCAUAUCUCAAUGUUUUAGAAUGGGCUUUGAUCCUGUACAGAUAUAGAUAUAGAGAUUUAUUAGAUUAAAAUAUUAUUAAAAUAAAUUAAGAAUCAUCAUUUAAUAAUUAAAAAAAUUAAAGAUAUUAAAAUACGCACCGGCUCAUAUUAAGAAAAAUUAAAAGUCAUUACCUAGCAAUUAAAAGAAUUGAGAAUCCUAAAAUAUACAUUAACUUUAAAGAUUGAGGUAAAAAAAUUAGUUAUGCUUAAUAAAUAAAAAAAUGUCAUUUUUACUACCUUAUUUCUUAUGAAAUGUUUUAUUAUAUGUUUUUCUCCUAAGACAAAUUUGUCUGUUUGCAUCCAAUAUAAAAAAUAACCUUAAAAUAUAGAAAGUCAAACAAAAAAUUUUUAAGGAUAAAAAUAUAUCUACUAUUUAAGGAUAAAAAAAACUUUUUUUUGAUGAAAUAUGUUAGAAAGUCAAACAAAAUUAUUUUUGGAUUUAAAAUCACAUCUACAACUCUUAAUUUGAGAUAGUUAUUUAAGAGUAUUAUAAAAAUUUUAUCCAUGAGAUUACUUGAGUAGAAAAGUUUGUCUCAAUUGACACACCAGCGCUCUGAUAUUUUUGAGAGUGCAAUUGUGAUUGUUUUUAAAAAUAUUUUUUAUUCAGAAAUGUAUUAAAAUAAUUUUUUUAUUUUUUUUAAAUUAUUUUUGAUAUCAGCGCAUCAAAAUGAUCUAAAAACACUAAAAAAUAUUAAUUUGAAGCAAAGAAAAAAAAUAAAAAAAUUUACUUUUUUUUCAAAAUCAUUUUUGAAACGCAAAAACAAACAAUAUUUAAUUUUUUUUUAUGUCUAUAACUAUUAUUUUUAAUUGGAUUCAAUUUGUCUAGGGAUUUUGUUCUAUAAGAUUUAUUAUUUAAGGAUGAAAUUCAUAAUAAAAUAAUUGAGGCAUAAUAUAAAAAAGUUAAAGAUACAUCAAACUACUGACAAAAUAAAAUAUACAUACAUUAAAUAACUUAAGUUAUUGGGUUUAAAUAAUUUUUUGACAAUUAUUAUUAUUAUUAUUUUAUCUAAGAAUUGACCUGCAUUGUUUCUAUUUAUUUUAUUUUAUAAAGUGUCAUCCCACCCUUAUAAAUUUGGCCAUGUAUUUAGCAAUUAGAAUGCUCAAUAAAGUUAUUUUUUUUUAAUUUGAAUAAAAAAAAUAUCUCAAUGUUUUAGAAUUGGCUUCGAUCCCUGUACAGUUAUAGAGAUUGAUAAAAGAAUGUUGGUUGUGUUCCCUGCUCAAAUGGAGGCCACGAGAUGAAUGGAAGAUGUAUAUUUUUAUGUUUUGGAAAUUUUUUCUCAAAAUCAUUUGUAGAGAUUAAUUUAUAAAAUAUUAUUUGUAAUUCGAUUCAAUUGUUCAUUUCAUAUUGUUUAAUAAAAUAACUUGUUGUUUAUCAUGCGAUAACAGCAUCCUAAAUUGUUUGAAUUAAUCAUUUUCAUCCAAAAUUGUUUUAAAAAGGGUAUUUUUUUUUUCGGUCUUGUGAUGGAAUUAAAAAUGUUUCACACCUUGUAAUAUAGUGGUAAGCUAAUAAUGUACGCAAUUGAUUAUUUCUGAUCUUUCACACUACUGAAUACAACAUAGAAGGCCAUCGUCGCUCGACAAUUAAGAGAAGUUACCUGUAAACGAGCGACAAUCACCCUCAUGUCACAAGAUCAGUUUACAAACUCUUGUAUCUUUUUCUCCCUUAAUCCCAUGCGCUCGCUUACUUACUAUCAAGGUUAGGGUUUGUUUGGCAGUGUAGUUACGGUUGUUUUUCAAAUAGCUUUUCGUGUUAAAAUACAUGUUAAUAAUUUAUUUUUAUUUUUUAAAAAUCAUUUUUGACAUCAGCACAUCAAAAUGAUUUAAAAACACUAAAAACAUAUUAAUUUGAAGUUAAUAAAAAAAUAAAAAAAUUAAAUUUUAUCAAAAACGCUUUUGAAACGCAGAAACAAACAAGUCAAUAAAGAGACUUCAUCAACCUUAUCGUUUAGAUGUAAUCAUCAUCGUCCAAGAAAUUAAUUAAUGGAGCAAUUAAUGUUGGCAGCUUCAAAUCCCUGUCCGAAAUGUGGUAUGUUAUAGAUUAUACUAUGGAUAUCGUGCGAAAAUCCCCGUAUUCAAAGAGAAAAUUAGAGAGAGAGAGAGAGAGAGAAAUAGAAUGGCAAAAAAAUAAUCUUAUAAGACAAGCUAAGUGAUCGACGUGUACGAGAGAAGAGAAAUCCUAUGCCAUGUGCAGCAUAAGUUAAUUUGCAAGUUGCACAAAUAAUUAUUCGGAAGUGGCCAAAAAGUGAUAGGGACUGCCUAGUCCUUUAACUUUUUUAAAAACAAUAAAAUAACAGAAUUACCUAGAAAAAAAAUCAUAAACUUAUUGUCGGGUUUUUUUUAUUAUCUUUUUAUUAUAUUUUUUUUCUUUUAUCACAUGAGUUCAGAAGUGAUUUGAUAACUUAUUAUAUUAAAAUAUUAUUAAAAAUUAGUGAUUAACACGUAAAUUGCACAGCUUAAUGUUUGGGUGUGUUCAUAGGUUUUGGACAUUAUGUUUGGCAUUAUUUUUGAAAGUAUGUUUAUGAUUGUUUUUUAAAAUAUUUUUCACUUGGAAAUAUAUUAAAAAAAAAUUUAAAUUUUUUUAUUUUUUUGACAUCAGCAUAUUAAAAUAAUCUAAAACCAUAAAAAAAAAUUUAAUUUAAAAUAAAGAAAAAAAUAAAAAUUUUAAUUUUUUUAAAAAUACUUUUAAAAUCCAAAAACAAACAUAAUCUUAGCUAAAUAACCUAGAUUCUAGGGCAGCGUUGGAAAAUGUUUAGCAUACUCUCUAUGCUUUGAUGACAUAUGUGGUCAGUAGAUCAAUGAUUUUUUUUUCCUUGAUCCCUACACUAAACUUAGUCAUAGAAAAGUUUAAUUUCUAUAUGAAGUUUUAAACAUAACUUUAUAGAUUAGAAUGCUAAAAUUUAAUUGAAAUCAGUUGCAAUUUUGGUUUGUAAAAAACAAAAUAAAAAAAAAAAGAUAAUGAAAGUUUGAUUAGCCGCCAAUAUAUAAGAUUCUUUCUCACAAUGACUUUUCGAUCUGAUUCCAACUCCUUUAAUAAUUGGGAGAUAGAUGAUCACUUAUGGUAAGAAAACGUCAGCACUUUUUAAACAGGGCUUUUAGCUUUAAUCAAUAUCAAAAUAUAAAAUAAUUUUCCAAGUCAAAUGAUCGGAAGUAUCACUAGUGCCGGCCUUUUGAAUAUUCAAGCAUUGCACGCAUCAUAUAUAUAUAUAUAUAUACCAUGAUCACAAUCUAGAAGCUGGUGAUUGUCGAGCGAUGAUUAACAGAACAUUACAUGUAAACUUUCGAUCACCGCCUUAACAUCACACUAUGAUUAAGACUUCUCUAAUUUUUUAUUUCUCAGAUGUUCAUAUGAUCAUUACUAUAUAUACAAUCAUCUUGCAUGAACUCUCACACCACUAACCCUGCUAGCUUUAAACUUUAAUCCUUCGAACCAUUUGCUCAACCCGUUUGAUUGUACAAAAAAAAAUGGAGGUGAUGAACAAAAUACUAUCCGAGAGCGAUGCAAAAAAUAAGCGACUUGAAUUUCCGGCUAGGAGUCUCUCGGCCUUCCCCAUGCCAGAUGGUCAGAACUCGGUCCAAUUUGUGGCAUUUGACAUGCAAGAACACCAAUGGAGACUUAAGGUCUCCAUCCGCAAUGAAGGUAGGUAUCCGAAACCUUGGCUAAAGGGCGAAUGGCAUGACUAUGUUCAUCAGAAAGGGCUCAAGAAAGGAGAUAAAGUUAUCUUGACUAUGGAUGAGGAAGAGAAUGGCGAAAGAAUUUAUCGUAUCAGAGCUGAAAAAAAGCAUUUUGGUUUCUGGUAUUCAAUUGAUGAUCAGCAGUAAUAGCUCUCCAUAAAUCGAAGCAUGAGGCUGGGCUCAUGUUUAGUGUGGCAGGCAAGCAGAAACUAUCUUUUGGAUCUGUCUGAAUUAAGUUCACUCUGGUUGUGUAAUGAGUUAGGUCAAAAUAGAAUAUGUGUCUGUCUUGUAGAAGGUAAGUCCUAGCUAGUCGUAAGAACAAGUGUCCCUAUGAAUUUGUUUCCUUCAGUACUCUGCCUUGGUGUUCUGUCAUUGUUGUAUUUUGUUUUGGGUAUUAUGCUUAUUUAUGCGAGAUGUGCUUUGUGUUUGUUGGAGUGGAUACAGUUCUAACAUGUUUGACAAGAAUAUACCACUCACCAUAAUUUUUAAGCAUUUGGUUAAAGGUAAUGUUGAUUGUUACUUCUUGUGAACACCCAUUAGGUCAAAGAUAAUGUUGAUUGGUUUCUCUUAUGAAUAUCCAUUAAGUCAAAGAAAUUGUUGGUUAGCAAAGGUCCUAAUGUCGGCUAAGACGGCGGAUCCAACAUGCUUCAGUACUUCAACUUUAUUGCUUAUACGAGGGCAGUCUAACUUUAGAGUAUGACUGGGUUUGAUUGAUUUUUUUAGGUACAUGUAUGUCUGAACAAUCCAACAUAGUUCACUCAUAUAUGAUAGUCUUCAAUAAUAUUGUUUAAGUGAAGAACAUUUUAGAGUUUGCAUAGCUCUUUAUCACAUGAUACAUGAUUGUGAAUUUUGUUUUGAUAGGUGUUUUGUUUUUUUUAAUUGGAAUUGAAUGUUUUAGUUUCAAAGUGUUUCGGUGUGCUAUUUCAGGGUUGUAUUGUUUAUAUAUAUAUAUAUAUAUAUAUAUAUAUAUAUAUAUAUGAAAUACAAGAUAAAUUAAUUAUAAAUUAUGCAAUACAAACACAAUAUCAAAUAAAUAUAAUUUUAAAAUUUAAAAUAUUUCUAAAUAGUCAAGAUUAAAUAGAUCUUUAACUUAAAGUAAUUUAACUUAAACAAAAUAUCAAAAUAUUAUGAAAUUAAAAUUUUUUAACACAAAUAUUUUAAAUAUAAGCUAGGUCAAUGUUAUCAAGGCUAAUGAGAUCUAAAACAUCCCUUAUUUUGCUCAAAUUUCUACAAAAUAUAAACUUGAAAAAAACAACAUGAAUAUAAAACUAUAUAUAUUAGUGAUAAAUCUAAUUUUAAAAAAUUAAUAUUAUUAUUAAUGAAAAUAACUCCAAUCUCUAUCUCUUUAAAUCUAAUGUCCGUACGUGACAAAUCGGUAGCACUUUUGGCUCCUAAAAAACAAAAGACAAAAGAUAGAUUAAUGUUUGAUAAGGCGGCCCACAAAUAACAUUCUUUUUGGCGCCGACAUUAAUUUCAGGUUAUCUUUGUCAAACUUCACGAGUCCAAGAAAGAUAUAUGUUCACUUUUGGUAAGCAAACGUCAGCUAUAGCCAGUGUCCAAGGAGAUGAAACAUUAAUAAAUCUUUCCAUUUACUUCUCGACUACUCAAAUAAACGACCAAACUCGCACGGCCUUUUCUUUAGGGAGUUCGUGUGAUAUAUAUAUUUUUUUAAUUUCAGACAGAGUUAUCUUGCUUCCAAAUACAAGUAGAAUCAGUCAGUUUAAUAUAAUUUAUAUUAUUUUUUAAUAUAAACUUUAAAAUAAAAGUUUUUUAUACUUAAAACUUGAAUAAAACUAUAUUUUUUGUGAUAUUAAUUAAUCUCAAAUAAAAAAGAGAAUGAUAUUAAAAUCCAAAAUCUCAACAAGAUAGACAAGAAGAGAUUUUGCACAUUGUCGCACUACAAUUAAGAAAAGUUACGUUGGAACAAGCGGCAAUCAUCCUAAUAUCGCACGACAAGUUUGCAAACUUUUCUAUCCUUUUGGCUUUGAAGCUCAUGUGCCUACUUACCUUAGUUUUUUUUUAUUAAUAUACUUUACAAAUUAUUAUUUUUCUUAACUUUACUUGCAACUACAUUAAAAUUAUUUUUCUAUUUUUUUCUCAAUUUUUUUAAACAUUAUGACACCAUGACAUCAACUAGAACUUCCUUAAAGGGAAAAGAUAUAUAUCAAAGAAAAUUAAGAGUCUUCAACUAAUAAUUAAAAUAAUUUAAAAUUCUAAAAUUCACAUUGGCUCAUAUCAAGAAAAAUUAAGAAUCACUAUCUAGUAAUUAAAAAAAUUAAAAAUUUUAAAAUAUACAUUGAUAUAAAAAAUUCAAGUAAAGAGUUAGUUCUUUUUAAUAAAAAAACGACAUCACUUUUAGUGUAUUAUUUUUUAUAAAAUGUUAUUUUUAUUAUAUGUUUUUCUUCUAGAUUUAUCUAUAAUUAUUAUUACAUCUGUCGUAAUAACCUUUAAAAAUUAUAUUAAAAAAACAUCUAACAUGUUUUUUUUUUAAGGAUUCGCAACUCGAAUGUGUUACCGACAUGUAGGGCCCGAGUUUUUAUUUCGCUUUCUUUCUUUCAGUAUUUCAAGUUGGAAAAGCCACUCUUUAUGGAAGAAGAUAGUAUUAAUUAAUGCUGGAUCGUUAACAUCCAUCGGACUUAAGGAAGACUUGGCAGACGUUUGGAAGGACCCACUAAUCAUUUUCUUAAUUCUUGAAAGCUAAUAUCUUUCAAAGACCUUUAUGACCGUCAACAAAUGAGAUGCUCAUGAGUUUGAUUUCUAUCAAUUUUAUUUUUUUUAUUUAAUUAAAUUAAAUAAGUUUAAUACAAUGUAAUGGUGAGUAUAUUUAAUAUUUAAGGAUAAAAAAUUUUUAUUUGAUAAGAUGUGUUAGAAAACUUUACAAGUCCAAAAAAGAUUAUCACCAAACCACUUUCAACACCUUUAAUUAUUGGGAGCAGAGUUUUAAAACCCAGACAGGCUCGGCGGGUUGACUCGGGACCCGACCGACCCGGGUCUAGGACCGGUCCGGGUGGAGAUAAAAACUCGCUUGGGAGUUGGCCUAGUGAAACCUGAUCGACCCGCCGGGACCUGGUUCACCCGGGUGAGACCCGGUCUAUUUUUUCAAUAUCAGCAGUCAUUAAACGACGUCGUUUUAGCCUUUUAAAAGGCCAAAACACUGAAGAAGAACAAAGCAAUAUUAGGGAUAGUUGCAAACCUAAUUAACGAAAGAGGAAAUCAGCUCUUUGAAACCCAGCUAAAUGAUUUUUUGUUUUCUUGAAGUCCUAAUAGGUAAGGAGAGAUGGAAAACCAGAGACAGAGAGAGUAACAAUUGACUCUAAUUUAGAUCAAAAGAACCGGCGUCGGUUGCAAGAUGCAUUGCCUCUUGAGACCUCGUCUGGUCCGAAUUCUGCCAAGGUGGAGUCUGGUGGUGUGAGCAAAGAAAUAGACAAGAAAUCAAAUGAACACGGCGAAAGAAGCAAGCAUUGUUCUAAGCCAACUGAAGUGCCUUGGUCACAGUCUUUUUUUCAGGUUUGUUCUUUUUGAAGUAAUUGUUGAUAUGUGGAUUUGUGGAAUUUGUUCUGGUAUCUCAUUGUCAUUAUCUAAUGGAUGUGCAAUCUAGCGCGGUUGAGACAGUAAGUUCAGAAGCUAAGGUAUGCUUGGGUGCUUAUGGAAAUAGAAAAUUUGAGUUUGUAGCUAUUAUAAGACUUAGUGAUCUAAGAUUAUUUCUAUACUUUCCUGAAAUGCCAUUUAUACUAUAAAGUGGUUGUCUUUGUAAAUAUUUAUUUGCUUGAAUCAAAACAGAGCAGUUCAACUUUUGCAACAAAAAAAAAAAGAGAAUUUUUUUCCUUGACAAAUCUUUGGUAUCAUAGAAGUUUUUUACCUAAUGUGUUGCAUGAAUUCUUUUAAUGACUUGGAAGAGGUGUUUACAUUUGCUCACCUUAGGGCGAUAUGGAUCUCUCAUACAAUAGUAUUCUCUAUGCAUCCUUGUGCUUGUAGGACAAAAAAAUAGAUUUUAGAGUUUUGAAUUUAUGUAAUUGAUCAUUUGCUCUAGUAAAUGAGCCGUAUUUCUCUCGAUUUUAAUUAUUGGGUUUUUAUUUAGUGCAUUGAAAACUUUUUUCUGGGCUAAUGUUGUGUGAUUGUUGUCUGCCCCAUGCCUUCAAAAGCCUCCAUGUAUAUAACAAUCUUAGGCUUGCCUGUAUAUUUUUUUUUUUUGUUGAUCUGGGUCAACCCAUCUAAUUCAUGACCUGAUUAUUUAACCAGUUUGAUAAUCGGAUUGAAUUUCAAAAUUAUGAUUGGGAGAGCAAGGCAAAUAUAUGUUCACUUUUGGUAAGCAAAAGUCAACUGUAGCUUAGUAAUUAAACUUUUCAUAAAAUGAGUAAACAAGACAAAAAUAUUGAUAUUAAAUUUGGUUCGAUUAGGCAAAUUAAUUAAGUAACAUACUGAUUCAAAGUAUAGCCAAGCUCAAGUUAGGUUUAUUUAAAAACUAUUUUGGAUAUUAACUUUUUUAAAUUUAACUGGCCUAUAAAUUAAUUUAUUGCUUGAUUGACUAGUGAAACUUAAAUAAAAUUAAAUAAAUGUUUUUAUUUUAUUUUUUUAAAAUAAUAUUAUUUAAAUUAUUUUUAAAAUAUUAUUUUAAAAUUAAUUCAGAUUAUCACAAUCCAAUCCAAAGUCUCAAUUAGUUUUAAAAUAUUAUUGUUUUUACUGUAUUAAUUAAUGUCGUGUUUUUAGUCCUCAAGCAAAUAGGAUACUCCUAUGAAGCGUGCAGCUUAGCCGAUGCAAAUACCCUUUCUUUGUGAAGGAUUUUCCAAAUUGCCAACGAUUUAAUUAUUUCCUUAAUUUCGCAUUAAAAAUGAUUGAAAGGUGAAAUCAUGCAUAAAACGUCAGAUUAUGACAUCAUCCAUGACGUCAGAUUAUGAAAUCAGCUGACGUACCUGUCUCCCUUGAGUGGUGGCUGAAAUAAGAUAACAAAAACUGCUUUAAUGAUUCUUUUAAUUUUUCAAUAUGAUUAGUGGGUCCAAGGAGAUGAAACAUUAAUCUUUUCAUUUAUUUUUCGACUCCUCAAAUAAACGACCAAACUCGCACGGCCUUUUCUUUAGGGAGUUGGUGUGAUAUAUUAUUUUUUUAAUUUCGUAUAGAGUUCUCUUGCUUCCAAAUACAAGUAGAAUCAAUCAAUUUAAUAUAAUUUAUAUUAUUUUUUAAUAUAAUCUUUAAAAUGAGAGUUUUUUUAUGCUUAAAUCUUGAAUAGAAUUAUAUUUUUUGUGAUAUUAAUUAAUCUCAAAUAAAAAAGAGAAUGAUAUUAAAAAAGAGAGACAAGAGGAGAUUUUGCACAUUGUCGCACCACAAUUAAGAAAAGUUACAUUGGAGCGAGCGACAAUCACCCUAACAUCGCACGAUAAGUUUGCAGACUCUUCUGUCUCUGUGUCUUUGAAGCUCAUGUGCCUACUUACCAUUUUUUAAAUUAAUAAGCUCAUUUGCCUACUUACCAUUUUUUAAAUUAAUAAGCUCAUUUGCCUACUUACCAUUUUUUAAAUGAUUAAUACUAAUUUGAAUUAAAGAAUUAGAUCCAAUCAAAUAAUUUAUUGAAAGACCGAUGGCAUGAUAUUUCUAUUUAAAGAGUAUUAAAUACAUUUUUGUCUAAAAAUAUAUCCACCGUUUCUCACUACAAAAAAAAUUUACCGAUAAAAUUUUUUCCAAGAUCACUGAAAGUUUCUUGCUAGCUGCACUUUAUGUCUUCAAUUUUGCAAGAUGCGAACGAUUGAUAAUUUAUUGAAAGACAGCUUGAGAGUGUUGGGGGUGUGGGUCUUCACAUUUUGACAUUGAUGCUUGCCUCUUUGGCAGCUAGCUCGUUUAGAAUUUGUUUUUACGGUAUCAAAUUUAAUAGUUUCAUGGAUGAAAAUUUUUGUUUAUAUUUGUAAUUAUAAUUUAUCAGUAAGUAUUUUAUUAAUGGACUCAUAAAUAAAAACAAUCCAUUAAAAAAACUCUCAUUAGUAAUUUGUGAUUACAUGCUCCUCUUUUUCUUUUUUUAUCCACUGUUUAUGCAGUUAAUGUUGGGCCGAGCCAAUUUUGGCCCAUCCAAAUGAUAUUAAAAUACUUGGCUUUCUCUUAAAAAUUUCUAAAAAGUUUCAAAAAAAAUUAAAAUUUUUGAAUUAAUCUUUUUUUUUAUUUUUUUUUAUUUUCAUGCAUACGAUCAAAUCCUAAAAUUUUCCAAACAUAUUUUCUUAAAAAGAUAAACAUUGCACCUUUCUCAUGUUUUUAAAAUUAAAAAAAUGAAUAUCGUAACCAAUUUUUGAUUAUCCAUUAGGAUUUGAUCAAAAUAUCAAAAACACUUUACCAAUUUUUUUUUAAGAUCUAGAUAUAGACUUUAAUAUUUAUGGGGUGUAAAAUUACAUAAUAGAAUACACCAUCAAAUAUUAAAGAUACAAGGUAUAAAAUUAAUGCAAUAAUAAAAUUCAAAAUUUAAAACGAUUAGGAUUAAACUCGAUGAAGUAGAGACUCUCUCAUGAAGGAAGAUCUACCUUGAACCUUAGACGGGACCAACAAAUAGAAACCCGACCUAGAAAAAUAAUCAAACAACAAUGCAGCUUACUUUAGGUAGGGUGCACUAGGGAUGACUUAUCUUCCCCUUGCACAACUAGUCCCUUACCCAGACUCUUGUAGACUAUAGGUUCCUAGCAACCAUAAUAUAAUGUGCGCGACUCCUGAACUUUAAUAAUAAUUUUAUGAUUAACUCUAAAAACCUUCCUAACAACACACAUCUCCUCAGGAGGCACGAUAAACCUCGUCGUCACCUCGACAUCACGACACCCCCUCGACAACCACGACAUCACAACAUAAAUGAAAAGGGAUUGUUAAAAAAGCUGGAAAAUAGAAAAAUUAAUGAAGAAUGACAAUGUACCUUAGGACGAGAAGAGAAGAUGAUGCUUGAUUUUCAGCUUGGGUCGUGAACAAAAAUAAGAAAAUGAAGAAGAAGAGAGAAAAAGAGAGAGGAUGAAAGAAGAUGAAUGAAGAAGAUGAAACCUCGUCUAUUGUGUCCGUGGUUUUUUAUAUUAGGUUUUAUUGAAGAAAUUCCUGAUGGAAUAUUAAAUAUUAAUAUCUUUAAAAUUUUUAUUGGUGAUUCCGUAUGUGAAGGCAAAGUAAAAUAUUACUGACGACUUUUUAUUUUGUCGGUGAUUUUAUUGGUAAAAGAGUAAAUAGUCAACAGUAAAAAAAACAUUAAUUACUAGCGCAUUAGAAUUCUCAUUUCGUUGGUGAUUCCGUUGGGAAAGUGUACCACGGUAAAAAAAAGUAUUAAUUGUCAGCGCGCUAGAAUUCUCAUUCCAUCAGUAAUUCCUAAUUAUCACCGCCUUGAAAAGAGAAUAAUUAUAGUCCAAAUCAUUCUUGGAUUUAACUAAACUUUACAAACUUGAUUUUUGAUAUGUAAAACUUAAUUAUUGGUUCAAUUUCGCUCCCAAACUAUAUAUUUUUUUAUUGUUUUAAUCUUUAAUUUUUUUUUCAUUUUUAAUGAUUUUUUUCUAAAUUAAUUUAACACAUAAAAUCAAUAAAUGUGACAUAAAUAAUAAAAUGAUUAGAAUUGAUUAAAUUUACUGAAAAUGCAUAUUGUUUUUAAAAAAAAUUCUAUUUUUAUUUGAAAAGUAAAUGGUUAAAAAUUGAGUUAUGAUAUCUUAUUGAGGUAUAUAAUGGUGCGCUUACAUUACACAAACUUUCGAGUGAGAUGGUCUGAUAUCCAUUUCGAAUCUCAGUAACGUGUCUGUUUAUGAAUAAGAUAGAAUUGAUAUUUUAUCCAAACACUUAGAAGGUCUUCCAUCACACUUUACGCUAUAAGGACCCAGUCUUUAUUUCUUAAUUGAAAGAUAAUAUAUUUCAAAGGUUUUUCUUUUUUCAAACAGAAUUCUGUAAGUGUGAUUUUUUCAAUUAAUUAAAAGUUAUAUUCAAAAUGUUUUUUUUAAUUAAUUAAAAUGAUAUUUUUUAUAUAUUUUAAAAAAUAAUUUUUGACAUUAGCGCAUCAAAACAAUACAUAAAUACUAAAAAAAAAUAAUUUUUAACCAAAAAUAAAUAAAUAAAUAAAUUGAACGUGGAUACCGGACACUUAAUUAGUCUCAGUUAACGUGCAAUCUAAACUUGUUGUCAAGCUAGCCAUGGAAUAACAGGCUACUAACACACAUACUGAAAGCAUAUUAUAUUUCGUCUUUUCGGCACUGUCAUUUGUGUGUGUGUGUGUGUGUUUCCAAGAUUACUACACCAAGAUAAUAUAAUAUAAAAUUGACAAAGUCAUGAUGUCUCGGAGUCCGGGGCUAGUGUCAGGCAGAUCCUGACUUUCUUGGUCAGGUUUCGUAAGCAAAUACCCGCCGAAGUGUGCAUACGAUGAUACUUAAUUAGUGUGAACUUCAACGAACUUAGGAGUGAGUUGGUUUGGUAUGAUUUUUAUCCUUUAUAUCAAAAUCAGAUCAUAACUGUCAAAUACCAAUAUGAUAGUUGAAUGUUUGUAAUUUUUUUUUUUAAAAAAUGAUAGUUGAGUGUUAAUUUUCAGAAAUGAGUCACAUCUUCUCCCUUUAUCAUGCGAUAACAGCAUCCUAAAUUGUUUUAAGAAGGUUAUUUUUUUUGGGUCUUGUGAUGGAAUUAAAAAUGUUUCACACUUUGUAAUAUGAGUGACAAGAUAUCGAAUGGUCAAAAAGUUAGUCGAAGAUGUGACUUGUCUAUGUAUUAUAUGUCGAACCAUAAUAUAGUGGUAAGCUAAUUAUGUAAUCGAUUAUUUCUGAUCUCUCACAGUACUGAAUAUAAUAUAGAAGGCCAUCGUCGCUCGACAAUUAAGAAAAGUUACCUGUAAAUUAACGAGCGACAAUCACCCUAAUAUCACAAGAUAAGUUUACAAACACAGUUGUAUCUUUUUCUCUCUUAAUCCCAUGCGCUUACUUACGACCAAGGCUUAUAUCCUGGCGACCGACCAGCUUCGUUGAUUGGAUCAGUUCUAAAGAGAAUUCAUCAACGUCCUUUUCUUUUUUAAAAAAUUAUCCUCUUUAUCGUUUAGAUGCAAUCAUCAUCGUCCAAGAAAUUAAUUAAUGGAGCAAGCAAUGUUGGCAGCUUCAAAUCCCUGUCCGAAAUGUGGUGUGUGCUAGAUUAUACUAUGGAUAUCGUUCGAAAAUCCCCGUAUUCAAAGAGAAAAAAUUAGAGAGAGAGAAUCUUCACCCACCACGAGAACUUAAUCGAUUUCGUAAGUUUGUGAGCAUAAUGUGUUAGACUCUCUUUGACUUUGUUUUAUAUCACUUGGACUGAAAGUAAUCUUAAUCACGAGUAUACAAAUAAUUAAUAAAUUGUUCGUUCUUCAAAUAAAUUAAAAAGAGAAACAUUGGUCAAAUCACAUGUCUGGCUACAAAUUUAGCUACAUUAGGCUUUUAAUUCAAUUGGGAAAAUAUUUUAAUCGGACAAUAUAUUGAGAUCAUUUUCUCAAUUCAAUGUCUUCCUUAACUAUCAAAGAAGAAGAAGAAGAAGAAGAAAACAAUAGCAAAGAUAUUAAUUUUAUUUCUUUGUUACCAUCUUAAGUAUUUUCUUAUCUUAUAUAUGACGUACAUUGAAUAGAAUAAAACUAUUUUUUAACCUUAUUUAAUCUUGAGUUUUUUACUUGAAUGGUAAUUUGUCUUAGAAACAAUGUUUUUCAAGUCAACAUUGGAUCAAUCAUUGUCAAAGGUGUUCUAGUGUAAUAAAAAGUAUUUAGGACACCAUUUUCAACAUUGGAUCAAUCAUUGUCAAAGCUGUCCUAGUGUAAUAAAACAAUUAAACGAGAAUCCAUCAAUGUCAUUUGCGAACUUGGAUUUUUUUUUUAUUCUUUCUUCUUCUUUUUUCCCUUCGGAUUAUUUGGGGAUUUUCGAACGACAUCCAGAGAACAAGCUCGACAAGCAACCAAAAAACACAAGUGAAUGCGGCCAGAUAAGGACUUAGACCUUCCAACAUUGCCCACUGAUCAGUAUAAAUAACGACACUAGCUCUUCUAUUUUCAUACCAAAAUCCCUACAAAAGAUUCCAUAUCAUUUGGCAAAUAGAUUUCUAAUUUUCUUUUAUAAAUUUUUCUCAGCCCUUUUAAUUUGCUAGAAAUGGAGCAGGUGGCAAUGGAAAAAGCAUUGUCCAAGAGUGAUGCAACAAAUAAUCGAAUGGAACUUCCGAUGGAAAGCCUUGGAAAUUUCCCCAUCCCUGAUGGUCAAAAUUAUUUCGAAUUUGUUGCAAUGGACACGGGAGACCAGCCAUGGGAAUUCAAGGUCUCCAUUCGCAACGAGGGAAGAUAUAAGAAGCCUUGGAUGUCUGGCCAAUGGGGGAGCUAUGCUCAUGAGAAAGGGUUGAAGAAAGGAGAUAGAGUUAAGUUGAUUAUGCAAGUGGAGGGAAAUGUUGUCAGGAGUUAUCGUAUCACGGCUGAAAGAAACCUGACGAUGGGCAUGUGGAUUCCAGUUGAACAGUUUGCAAACUAAAAAUGGAAAUACUUUAAGGUGUGUUAUAUGUCUUGAUUAUAAGAAAUGUUGCCCCUCUUUCUUCCUUGAUGUUAAGUCUUGUUGUUGUAAUUUUGGUAUUAAGUUAAUUAGCCUAGUGGCUUUGUACGCUGUAUCCUUCGUAGUUGUUUGCACCAUUAAUCACUGGUUCCUGUACUUUAUGUGCUGUGAAGACUUACCAGUACAUGGAGGUAUGUUGUGUAUUAAUUUCCGUUUUUUCUUUUAUAAGAAAAGGGCAUGCUGUUAUGAGUUUUUUUGGCUUGUAAUUCUAUAUUUGUGGGUAAUUUUGGUGUUUUUUUUCCCAAUUUGUUUUAAGCAUUGUAAGACCAUGACAUCAACUGGAACUCCCUAAAAUUAAAGGGGAAAGAUAUAUAUAAAGAAAAAUUAGAAAUCGUUACCAAGUAAUUAAAAAACCUGGAGAUCCUAGCUCAUGUCAAGAAAAAAUAGAAAUCAUCAUCAGUAAUUAAAGAAACUAGGAUUUUAAAAUGUACAUUAAACAAACUGCUGAGCUAGGUGGUCUGAUAUGUCAUAUUACCUUUGCUUUUCUUUUCUUUGAACUUUUUGAAUACAAUAUAGAAGAAUCCCAUUGUCACGCGACAAUUAAGAAAAGUUUGAUGUAAACGAGCGACAAUGACUCUAUCAUGACAAGAAAGAUUAUUACCAAACCAAUUCCAACUCCUUUUAAUUAUUGGGAGAGCAUGGCAGGUAUAUGGUCACUUUUGGUAAGCGAACGUCAGCUCUAGCCAGUGUCCAAGGAGACGAAACAUUAAUCUUUCCAUUUAUUUCUCGACUGCUCAAAUAAACGACCAGACUUGCACGACCAAGAUUAGUGACACUUUGAUUAAUAGCUCAAGAAAAUUAAAUACAUUUUGGUCUAAAAAAUAUGUCCACCGGUUCUCACUAGAAAAAGAAUUUGCCUAUGCAAGCUAUUGUUUCCAAGAUCACUGAAAGUUUCGAGCUAUCUGCACUUUAUGUCUUGAAUCUUGCAAGAUGCGAACGAUCGAUGAAAGGCUAAAUGCAAGAGUCUACACAGCCUGUGAGUGUUGGGGUGUGGGUCUUCACAUUUUGACCUUAAUGCUUGCCUUUUUGGCAGCUAGCUCAGCCUAACAUCAAAAUUUCCAAAAGUAGAACAACCCCAAAUCUCUUGCCCUUUUUGCCGACCACAAAAAGGUUUUAAAGCUUGAUCGUUUAGAAUGUCUUUAAUACUGAUUGAAAUGAUAUCACAAGGUUAGCAAUGAAUUUUGCGGCAGUCAUUUGGUCUUGGUAAGGAACAACUUCUUUAUAAAAUAAACGGGAUUUAAACCUCGUUUGUUUGCUGGAAAGUAGUUUUUUUUUUAAAAGUGAAUUCCGGGAAAGUGAAUUAUUUUCUGAUAUUUGGUAGUGUAAUGAAAAAUAAGUUGAAAAACACUUUCUAAUAUUUGGUUAUGUCAUGAAAAAUGAGUUGGAAAAUAACUUAUUAAUGUUUUAUUUUUCUCAAGUUUAUUAAAAUAAUGCAGAACAAAUCUUACAAAUUAAAAAGUUGAAUGAGAAUGAAAUUGAAAAAAAAUAUAAUUUCAUAAAUUAUCUAAAAUAAAAUAAAUAAUAAAAAAAAUAAUAGAUAUCAAAUCUAAAAAAUAAAAAAAAUGAAAGAUGAAGAAAUUAAAAUAAUAAUAAUUAACAUUUCAUAAAUUAUUUCAAAUAAAAUAAGUAACAAUUAAAAGAAUGAGGACCAAAUUUGAUAGAUAAAAAAUUUCAAUAAAAAAAUGAUAAGGGAAAAGCAAAUAACAAUUAUAAAAAUGAGGACCAAAGUUAAUAUAAAAAUUAAAUUUUAAGAGAUGAAAUUGAAAAAUAAAUAUUCAAAACAAAAUAUAUAUAGCAAUCAAAAGUUUGAGGACCAAAUUUGAUAUAAUCAGCAAAUAAUAUGACAUUUCUAAAUUUUUUACAACUUCCGAAAAGUGUUUUCCGCCUAAAUUUUUCAGGAAAACACUUUCCUGAAAACCAAGUCAAAUCUUUCUUUGACUGAAAAGUGUUUUCCACUGACAAACGUUUCUAAUGGCAAAAAACACAGAAAAGUUUGGAAAGUAAUUUCCCGAAAAUCAUUUUCUAGAAAACAAACACAACCUUAGAUAGAGAAGUUGAAGAUACAUCAAAUAUAUAACACAUCAGUACUACGGACAAAAUGAAAGCUCCAUGUAUCGUGAAUUGCUACAAUAUGUUGAUAUUUUUGCUGGGAGGAAGAGAAAGGAACAACUAUAUUCUGAUAAAUAAAAUGAAAAACUCGUCUUUUCAUAUAGGUAAUUAUGUCCGUAUUUAUAUAAAUACAAGAAGUGGUUUUCUCAUUUAAUAACCCUAAAUACUUGGAUCAGACUCAUCGUACAUAGACGAACCAGACCUAACCCAAUAACCAACAAUCAGAAUUAAAUUAGCAAUCUUAUUUUUUAAGAGUGAAAAAACUGAAUUACUUUUAAAAAGCAAAAAAAAAAAAAAAAGCUCAUAUCCAGGGCUACAUGGUCUUUUAACUUUUUUAAAAACAGUAAAAUAAAAAAAAUUAUCAUUGAAAGUAAAAACUCCUUAAACUAUUGUCAAGGACUUUUUAUCUUAUGAUUAUGUUUUUUUUUCUUGUUAUUAUCACAUUGGCUAAGGGGUGAUUUGAUAAUUUAUCAAAUUUAAAUAUUAUUUUAAAAAAUAAUUAUUGUGUGCAUUGCAUACGUUAGCCUUGAGUGCGUAUGCAGGUUUGGAAUGACGCGUAUGACAUCACCCUUUGACCAAAUACCUUAGAUUUCAAAGUGGCGUUGAAAAAUGCUUGGCGGCCGCUCCAUGUUUAGGCAGUGCGUGUGGCAAAUGGACCACAAGUUUGUCAUGUGCAAAACCUUUCUAUUUUUCAGACCCACCCUUUAACUUGGUUUUUCUUCGAAUUUAGUCCUUGGUUUUUUUAGUUACUAUUUGUUUUAUUUGAAAUCAUUUAUAAAAUUAGAAUGUUUUUUCAAUUUCAUCAUUCUUCUAUUUUUUCACCUACCAAACUUAGUCCUUAUUUUUUUAAUUGCUAAUUUUUUUUAUCAUUUUCUUCAUUUAUUUUAUUUUUCAAUUAAUCCCUCAUUUUGUUAUUUCAUUUAAUAUUAAUACUAAAUUAAUUCUUCGUUCUUUUGACUGCUACUUUCUUUUUUUUAUCAUUUUCUUAAUUUAUUUUAUUUUUCAAUGUUACCCCUUAUUAUUUUAUUUCAAUUGAUUUUUAUACCAGAUUUGGUUCUCGUUUAUUUAAUUACUAUUUAUUUUAUUUUUAAAUUUUUGAUAAUUGAGAAUUUUGUUUUGUGAUUUUUUUACGUCUAUCUUCUAUGGUGUAACCUGGUCUCAUGAUUCAAGACAUGAGUUUAAAAGAUUUGCCCCAUUUAAUUUAGGUUUUUUUAAUUUUUAAUUUUAAUUUUAUCAUUCAAUAUUAUAUUAUUAGGUUGUUGAGGUAAAUGGGUUGAAUCAAGUUUUUCUUACUUUUCUUUAUUUUUCUGCAGUUUUGCCUUUUAUUAUUAUUUUUGGCCUAAGAAUUGACCUGCAUUGUUUCUAUUUAGUUUAUUUUUAUAAACUGUCAUCCCACCCUUAUAAAUUGGCCAUGUAUUUAGCAUACUCAAUAAAGUUAUUUUUUUUUAAUUUGAUUAAAAAAUAUCUCAAUGUUUUAGAAUUAGCUUCGAUCCCGAUCCCUGUACAGUUAUGGAGAUUGAUAGAAGAAUGUUGGAUGUGUUCCCUGCUCAAAUGUAGGCCACGAGAUGAAAGGAAGAUGUAUAUUUUUAUGUUUUGGAAAUGUAUCUCAAAAUUAUUUGUAGAGAAUUUUUAUUUUCUCUUUAAUUUGUAAAAUAUUAUUUUUAAUUCGAUCCAAUUCGUCAUUUGGUAUUGUUUAAUAAAAUAACUUGUUGUUUAUCAUGCGAUAACAGCAUCCUAAAGUGUUUGAAUUAGUCUUUUUCAUCCUAAAUUGUUUUAAAAAUUAAAAACGUUUCACACUUUGUAAUAUAUUGAGUGACAAGAUAUUGAAUGGUCAAAAAGUUAGUCGAAGAUGUGACUUGUCUAUGUAUUAUAUGUCGAACCAUAAUAUAGUGGUAAGCCAUGUAAUCGAUUAUUUCUGAUCUUUCACAGUACUGAAUACAAUUUAGAAGGCCAUCGUCGCUCGACAAUUAAGAAAAGUUACCUGUAAACGAGCGACAAUCACCCUAAUAUCACAAGAUAAGUUUACAAACACACUUGUAUCCUUUUCUCUCUUAAUCCCAUGCGCUCGCUUACCUACGACCAAGGCCUAUAUCCUGGCGACCGACCAGCUUUGUUGAUUGGAUCAGUUCUAAAGAGAAUUCAUCAACGUCCUUUUCUUUUUAAAAAAAUUAUCCUCUUUAUCGUUUAGAUGUAAUCAUCAUCGUCCAAGAAAUUAAUUAAUGGAGCAAUUAAUGUUGGCAGCUUCAAAUCCCUGUCCGAAAUGUGGUGUGUGCUAGAUUAUACUAUGGAUAUCGUUCGAAAAUCCCCCCGUAUUCAAAGAGAAAAUGAGAGAGAGAGAGAGAGAGAAAUCUUCACCCACCAUGAGAACUAAUCGAUUUUGUAAGUUUGUGAGCAUAAUGUGUUAGACUCCCUUUGAAUUGUUUUAUAUCACUUGGACUGAAAGUAGUCUUAAUCACGAGUAUACAAAUAAUUAAUUAAUUGGUUCGUUCUUCAAAUAAAUUAAAAAGAGAAACAUUGGUCAAAUCACAUGUCUAGGUUUUUAACCAAUUAAUUAAUUAUUAGGAUACAAAUUUAGCUACAUUAGGCUUUUUAAUUCAAUUGAGAAAAUAUUUUAUUUGGAGAAUAUAUUGAGAUCACUUUCCCGAUUCAAUGUCUUCCUUAACUAUCAAUUUAAGGCCUUCCUUAAUUAAUAUUUCAAGUCAGAUAUCAUUUACAUAAAUUCUACAGAUCAUUAUCAAUUAAAUUAUUUUGAAAAAAAUAAUCUUAUAAGACAGGUUCUCUUUGACUUUUUUUUUAGGAAAUGAAACUGGCAAACUUUACGAAACAUUAGAAUGACAAGAUGGUCUCAGCAAGCUAAGUGAUCCACGUGUACGAGAGAAGAGAAAUCCGAUGCCCUGCGUGCCAUGUGCAGCAUAAGUUAAUUUGCAAGUUGCACAAAUAAUUAAUCGGAAGUGGCCAAAAAGGUUCAGGGACUGCCUAGUCCUUUAACCUUUUUUAAAAACAAUAAAAUAAUAAAAUUACCCAUGAUAGAAAAAAAAUCAUAAACUUGUUGUCAUGUAUUUUUAUUAUGUUUUUUUUUUUUUAUCACAUGAGCUACGGAGUAUAUUAAAAUAUUAUUAAAAAAUGGUGGCUAACAUGUGCAUCAUAGACGUGAGUGCUUGGGUGUGUUCAUGGGUCUUGGACGACAUGUUUUGCAUUACCUAUUAGCCAAAAUAGCCUAGAUUAUAGGAUAGUGUUAGAAAGUGCCUAACGUCCCCUUUAUGUUUUGGCGACAUGUGUGGUUAAUAGAUCAUUAAAGCUUUUUUUUUUCCUCUUGAUUCUUGCACUAAACCUAGCCAUAGUAAAAUUUAAUUUUUAUAUGAAGUUUUUAACAUGAAUUUAUCGAUUAGAAUGCUAAAAUUUAAUAGAAAUCAGUUGCAAUUUUGGUUCGUAAAAGACAACAUAAAAAAUAAAAGAAAAAUUGAGGUUCGAUUAGCCGCCAAUAGAUAAGAUUCUCUCUCACAAUGACUUUUCAAUCACUUAUGGCAAGAAAACGUUGGCACUGGCCAGUGUCUAAGGAGAUGAAACAUUAAUCGGUUUGGUUAGGUUGGAUAUAAUCGGUUAGUCACGCGACAAUUAAGAAAAGUUAGAUGUAAACGAGCGACAGUCACCGUAACAUGACUAGAUAUCUCUAUCUCUAUCUCUUUAAAUCUAAUGUCCGUACGUGACAAAUCGGUAGCACUUUUGGCUCCUAAAAAACAAAAGACAAAAGAUAGAUUAAUGUUUGAUAAGGCGGCCCACAAAUAACAUUCUUUCAGGUUGUAUAAUUUCAGGUUAUCUUUGUCAAACUUUACGAGUCCAAGAAAGAAUAUUACCAAACCACUUCCAACUCCUUUUAAUUAUUGGGAGAUAUAUGUUCACUUUUGGUAAGCAAACGUCAGCUCUAGCCAGUGUCCAAGGAGAUGAAACAUUAAAUAUCUUUCCAUUUAUCUUUGACCUACUCAAAUAAACGACCAAACUUGCACGUUCUUUUCUUUAGGGAGUUGGUGUGAUAUCAUUUUCUUAAUUUCGGACAGAGUUAUCUUGCUUCGAAAGACCAGUAGUAGAAUCAAUCAGAUUAAUAUAAUUUAUAUUAUUUUUUAAUAUAAUACCAUCUUAUGUUAUUAAUUAAUCUCAAAUAAAAUAGAGAAUGAAACUUGUGAGAUUCGAAUAUGUAAUUAUGUGAGAUUUUGCACAUUGUCGCACCGCAAUUAAGAAAAGUUACAUUGGAGCGAGCGGCAAUCACCCUAAUAUCGCACGACAAGUUUGCAAACUCUUCUAUCCUUUUGUCUUUGAAGCUCAUGUGCCUACUUACCAUUUUUUAAAUUAAUAAAAAACAAAUAUCCACUAUACGACAAGAGAUCUAUAUCCUAGCAAUCAGCGUCGUUGAUGUUUUCUUCAAAGAAGAAAAUGGAUUGGAGUUCCCAUAAAAAAUCAUCAAGUUUUAAUUCUAUCUUUUUUUUUUCGCUUCGGAUUAUUUGGGGAUUUUCGAACGAUAUCCACAAAACCCAAGUGAAUGCGGCCAGAAAGGGACUUGGACCUUCCAACAUUGCCCCAUUGGUCAGUAUAUGAGGAAGAGAAUGGUGAAAGAAUUUAUCGUAUCAGAGCUGAAAGAAAGCAUUUUGGUUUCUGGUAUUCAAUUGAUGAUCAACAUAAAUUUUUCUCAGCCCUUUUAAUUUACUAGAAAUGGAGCAGGUGGCAAUGGAAAAAGCAUUGUCCAAGAGUGAUGCAACAAAUAAUCGAAUGGAACUUCCGAUGGAAAGCCUUAGAAAUUUCCCCAUCCCUGAUGGUCAAAAUUAUUUCGAAUUUGUUGCAAUGGACACGGUAGACCGGCCAUGGGAAUUCAAGGUCUCCACUCGCAACGAGGGAAAAUAUAAGAAGCCUUGGAUGUCUGGCCAAUGGGGGAGCUAUGCUCAUGAGAAAGGGUUGAAGAAAGGAGAUAGAGUUAAGUUGAUUAUGCAAGUGGAGGGAAAUGGUGUCAGGAGUUAUCGUAUCACGGCUGAAAGAAACCUGGCGAUGGGCAUCUGGAUUCCAGUUGAAGAUUUUGCAAGCUAAAAAUGGAAAUACUUAAGGUGUGUUAAAAGAAAUGUUGCCCCUUUCUUCCUUGAUGUUAAGUCUUGUUGUUGUAAUUUUGGUAUUAAGUUAAUUAGCCUAGUUGCUUUGUACCUUGUAUCCUUUGUAGUUGCUUGCACCAUUAAUCACUGGUUCCUGUACUUUAUGUUUUUUGUAGACUUACCAGUACAUGGUUGGUAUGUUGUGUAUUAAUUUCCGUUUUUUCUUUUAUAAGAAAAGGGCAUGCUGUUAUGAGUUUUUUGGCUUGUAAUUCUAUCUUUGUGGGUAAUUUUGGUGUCUUUUUUUUUCCAUUUUUUUUAAAGUAUUAUGACACCAUGACAUCAACGAGAACUUUCUGAAAUUAAAGAGCUACUUAUGUUUAAUAAAAGAACAACAUCACUUUUAUUGUAUAAUUUCUUAAAAAUAUAUUUUACUAUAUAUUUUUCUUUUAGAUUUAUCUAUAAUUAUUAUUACGUCUGAUAUCAUAAUAACCUUUAAAAAUUAUAUAUAAAAAACAUCUAACAUGUUUAUUUUUUUAAGGAUUCGCAACUCGAAUGUGUUACCGACAUGUAGGGCCCGAGUUUUUAUUUCUCUUUCUUUCUUUCAGUAUUUCAAGUUGGAAAAGCCACUCUUUAUGGAACGAGAUAGUAUUAAUUAAGUAAUUAAUGCUGGAUCGUCAACAUCCAUCAGACUUAUGGAAGACUUGGCAGCGUUUGGAAAAGCCACUCUAAUCAUUUUCUUAAUUCUUGAAAGCUCGUGUCUUUCAAAGGCCUUUAUGACCGUCAACAUAUGAGAUGCUCAUGAGUUUGAUUUCUAUCAAUUUUAUUUUAUUUUUUUAUUUAAUUAAAUUAAAUAAGUUUAAUACAAUGUAAUGGUGGGUUUAUUUAAUAUUUAAGGAUAAAAGACUUUUAUUUGAAUGAUAUGUGUUAGAAAGCUUUACGAGUCCAAGAAAGAUUAUUACCAAACCACUUCCAACACCUUUUAUUAUUGGGAGAGCAUGGCAGAUAUAUGAUCACUUUUGAUAAGCAAAAGUCAGCUGUAGCAUACUUAUAAUUAAACUUUCCAUCAUAAAAUAAGUAAACAAGACGAAAGUAUUAUUAUUAAAUUUGGUUUCAUUUAACAAAUUAAUUAAAUAACAUGUUCAAAGUAUAGCUCAAUUCAAGUUAGGUUUAUUUAAAAAUUAUUUUAAAUAUUAACCUUUUUAAAUUUAACUGGUUGAUAAAUUAAUUCAUGACUUGAUUGACUAGUGAUGAAACUUAAAUAAAAUUUAAAUGAAUGUUUUUAUUUUAUUUUUUUAAAAUAAUAUUAUUUAAAUUAUUUUUAAAAUAUUAUUUUAGAAUUAAUUUAGAUUUUCGAAAUCCAAUCCAAACUCUCAAUUAGUUCAGGUACUGAGCCGGGCAUGACAAAUGUGGAGGUGAAAAAAAAUAGCAUAUAGCAUAUACAGUGCAUAAUUGAUGGGAUUUAUUUAAUCAUAACUACAUAUUACACUUGCGAUGAUUUGUUCUUUUCUUUGUGGUGUGAAAAAAAAAAUUAUUAGAGAAAAAAUCUACUACUAACACUGAGCCUAAUUGAACAUGCUUCGUAUUAGUAAAAAAUCCUAAGAUUUUUUUUUAAAUAAUCUCAUUUUAUAAUUCUUAAAACAAGUUUAGGUAAAUUUUAUUGACAAGAUCAUUUUGGGAGUUGACCCGGAUUUGGUUUUAUAUCUAAUGAAAAAACUAAAUCGCAAAGAUAAUUAAAAUAUUAUGUUAAUGAUGUAAUAAUGAGAUAAAUAGGGGAUUUGCAAUGACUAUUAAAUAAUGUUGUGAUUUUAGAAACUGUUUUGGAAUACGGUGCAAAUCGUGUUUUUAAAAAAAUUAUUUUUUUUUGUUAAAAUUUAAUAUGUUUUAUAUAUUUUAGAUUGUUUUGAUGUGCUGAUGUUAAAAAUAAUUUUUUAAAAAUAAUAUUAUUAUCAUAUAUUUUAGCAUGAAAAGUUAUUUGUUAAAAUUUAAUAUGUUUUAUAUGUUUUGGAUUGUUAUUUGAAAACCAACCACAAGUUUUGGACAAAAUACUCCCAUGAAGCGUGCAGCUUUGCCAAUGCAAAUAAAUACCCUUUCUUUGUGAAGGAUUUUCCAAAUUGCCAACGAUUUAAUUAUUUCCUUAAUUUCGCAUUAAAAAUGAUUGAAAGGUAAAAUCAUGCAUAAAACGUCAGAUUAUGAGAUCAUGCAUGACGUCAGAUUAUGAAAUCAGCUGACGUACCUAUCUGAUCACUUGUCUGAAAUAAGAUAACAAAAACUGCUUUAAUGAUUCUUUUAAUUUUUCAAUAUGAUUAGUGGGUCCAAGGAGAUGAAACAUUAAUCUUUUCAUUUAUUUUUCGACUCCUCAAAUAAACGACCAAACUCGCACGGCCUUUUCUUUAGGGAGGUGGUGUGAUAUGUCAUUUUCUUAAUUUCGUACAGAUUUAUCUUGCUUCCAAAUACAAGUAGAAUCAGUCAAUUUAAUAUAAUUUAUAUUAUUUUUUAAUACUUAAAACUUGAAUAGAACCAUAUCUUUUUGUGAUAUUAAUUAAUCUUAAAUAAAAAAGAGAAUGAUAUUAAAAUUCAAAUUUAUACAGAUAUUAAAAUCCAAAAUCUCAACAAGAGGACAUUUUGCACAUUGUCGCACCACAAUUAAGAAAAGUUACAUUGGAGCGUGCGACAAUCACCCUAAUAUCGCACCAUAAGUUUGCAAGCUCUUCAAUCUCUUUGUCUUUGAAGCUCAUGUGCCUCCUUACCAUUUUUUAAAUUAAUUAAAAAAAAAGCCACUAUACGACAAGAGAUCUAUAUCCUGGCAAUCAGCGUCGUUGACGUUUUUCUUAAAAGAAGAAAAUGGAUUGGAGUUCCAAUAAAAACAAAUCAUCAAAGUUUUAAGAAAAUAAUAAGAAUUCAUCAAUAAGGGUUGUUUUUUUAAAAAUAAUAAUCAAUGUUUUGAAGUUACAGAUGGAUAUAAAAAGAUGUUGGUCGUGAUCCCUGCCAUAUAUGUGAAGGUCAUUGGUGGCGGAUAUCAUAUAGAAAAAGUAUUUUAAUUUAAAAUUUUAAGAUAUUAAAUAAUAUCUUAAAAAUAACUUUAUAUUAUUUUUUUAUAAGACCUUCAUUAAUCAUGAGCAUCCUCUCUCUCUCUCUCUCUCUCUCUCUCUCUCUCUCUCUCUAUAUAUAUAUAUAUAUAUAUAUAUAUAUAUAUAUAUAUAUAUAUAUAAUAACGUGUUAUAUAGUUUAAAACGACCUAUUAGCUUUCCAAAAUGUGGAUUGAAAUUUAGAAAUUAAUGAAAGAGGAUUUUUCCUGACGCAAUGUACACUGAGAAUAAUAGAAUUAGAAGUUAUUCAUGAGUUUUAUCUUUAUAACUCAAAACCAUAGAAAAUUUUUUAACUAAUCUUUUCUAAUAAAAUUUUUUUAGGAAAAACUUAAAACAAAUAAAACUCUACCAUGAUUAUAAAAAUUAUUUAAGGUUUUGAAGAUUUGGCUUAAGCAAAAUUACAAAUUAAUUAGACAAUAAUUUUAAAAGGUCCAAAAUCCUACUAGCAACCUACCAUGAUUCUUUUAAUCUAUUGAUCAAAUAUCAUAGUAUCUUAAGAAAUAAAUCUCAUGUAAUUAAUUACCAGUCAACUCAUUAAUUAAAAUUAGUAUUAGUCAAUUAUCAGACAACAUGGUCAUGAUAUGAUUUGAUGUAUAAACUUUUCAGAAGUGUAGCUAAAUGUACAUGUGUCACAUGAUAAUUGAUUAAUACUAAUUUGAAUUAAGGAAUAAGACCUAAUCAAAUAAUUUAUUGAAAGAUCGAUGGCAUGAUAUUUCUAUUUAAAGAGUAUUAAAUACAUUUUUGUCUAAAAAUUUAUCCACCGUUUCUCACUACAAAAUUUUUUUACCGAUGUAAGCUAUAUAUGAAUUUUUUUCCAAGAUCACUGAAAGUUUCUUGCUAUCUGCACUUUAUGUCUUGAAUUUUGCAAGAUGCGAACGAUCGAUGAUGUUUUUAUUUGUAAGUGUGGUUGCUGUUGCAAUUGCAGUUCAAAAUGUUUUUUAUUUAAAAAUAUAUUAAAAUGAUAUUUUUUAAAAAAAUUAUUUUUGAGAUCAACACAUCAAAACGAUCCAAAAACAUAAAAAAAUUAAUUUUUAACAAAAAAAAAUUGAUUUUUUUAAAAAUACAGCUUAACCCAUAUUUCCAAACUACACCAAAAUGCAAGAGUCUAGACAGCUUGCGAGUGUUGGGGUGUGGGUCUUCACAUUUUGACCUUGAUGCUUGCAUCUUUGGUAGCUAGCUUAAUGGUUUAGAAUUUGUUUUAUGAUAUCAAAUUUAAUAGUUUUAUCAAUAAAAAUUUUUGUUGAUAUUUAUAUUCAUAAUUUUUGGUAAGUAUUUUACUAAUAGAUUCAUGAACAGAAAUAAUCUAUCAGCAAAAAUCUUAUUAGUAAUUUUUGGUCUGUUGGUAAGUCCGUCAAUAAUAAAUUUAUCGAUGAAUUUACAGACAAACAAAGUGGGUCAAAAACAAUUUAUUUGCUUCAUUCAGUCAGUAUUUCCCUCGAGAAUUUUGUCAUAUAACCAACAAAAUAUCAUAUGUAAUUUCAUCGGUGUUUGUACAUCAGUAUAUUCAUCGAUAAAUACAACAUAUCACUGACAAAAUAUCAUUUGUAAUUUCAUUGGAGAGUUGACAGUAGUGGUAAUAUUUGCAAUAAUUCUUUUCCAACUCUCUGAAAUAUACUAACAAUGUGGUUCGUCGGUAACCCCGUCAGUAUUAUUUUCAAAUAUAUAUAUUUUUUAAAAAAUAUAUUGCACAGAAGUAGAAAAAUAAUUAAAAUUAAAUAUAUAAAAAGAAAUUAAAAUAAUAGAAAAAUUAAAUAUUUAUUACAAAUUUAAACAAUUUUACAUUCAAAUAAAAUAAAUCUAAAACAAAGACGGCGCUGAAGGAGGAGGAGGUUGGUCGUCGUCGAGACCGUGAGGCCAAUAAGGAGGAGCACCUAGACCACCCAUUUGUGAUCUCAUCUCCAUUAACACUUGGCGGAGUUAUUCAUAAUCUACAAUGAGUCGUUCGUAUUUUUUGUUAGGAUAGGUCGUCUGAUCAUGUAUUCGUUGGUCUAACAUUGCCUCAAACUCGGGAGUGAGUGCUUGGAACCAAUUGUGAGCAUCCAACGGUCGAAACAUUAUGGAUUGCCCACAAGUUCUUUGUUGUAGUGUUAAAGAGUCCAUACACCCGAUUUUUAUCGGGCCCACUAGACGAUCUUGUGUCCAAUCACAAAUCUAGAUCGAGAUCCAAAUGGGUCGAAGGAUCGUCCUCGUAUCUCUCCUUCAAGUAACUGUUAUAUGUAUUCUAAAAAGAAAAAAUAAAUUCAUCAAAUUGAAGGAAAUUAUAACUUAAUAAAAAAAAUAGUUGAAAACCAACAUACCACAAAGUGCUAAGCUCAACUAUCAAUGAACUGCUGCAUCUCUUUUUGGCAGUCAUCACUUCGCAUAUGAACAAAAAGUUUCAUCCAACUUAACUUAUGUUCAAGAAUCGUGCAUGCAAGAUAAAAAUGUUAUCAGUUAAAUAUAUUUAUAAAAAUAAAAAAAUUGAAGAAUUAAAAAAAUAUUACCUUUCGCUUCGUAUGCGAAACAAACGGAACAGAGUCGUUGGUGUGCGUGGUAAUAGAACCAUGAACACGCCGGUGUCGAUUCUCCAUUCCGACUGUUACAUCACGUGUUGAAUUUAGUCUACCCAUACAACCUUUGAAAUAUAUGGCUAUCUGAAAUCCUUUCAAUAAACUAACCAAAUUAAAAUAAUAAUAAAAAAAUAAGUUAAUACUAAACUUAAACUUUAAAACUCAUGCUUUGAAAUGCGGUUUCCAUUUAAAAUGUUUGGAAAUUUGAAUUUAUUAAAACAAUGGAAUUUUCAUUGACAAUUUAAAGACCGAUGUUAUUGUUCUUGAAACUUCAAUGUUUGUAAACCUAAAAUUACAUUCAUUAAAUAAAAUUAUUUUUUAAAAAAUAUUAAACAUGUCGUUAUGAAAUCAAAUAAAACUUACAUUGAAAAGUCAUUUUUCCAUUAGGCCUUGUACUUGCAGGUAAAUGGAUCCUGCUGUGAAUGGAAGCCCCCCUCAAUGUUGCAGUAUCGCACUUGGCAACCCCAUGUCGUGAGUCGUUGCAUGUGCCUUAGGUAUCUGUAAUUGGUCGGCACCUAAUGAUUUGUUGUCGUCAGCAUCGCUGCUAAAAGAAUUAGCAGUGAUCAUGUCCUCACGAUGUGCAAUAAACUUUCCCUUAGGCAUCUAUAUAAAUUAAUAAAUAAAAAAAUUAAAUGAUUUCUAUUUUUUUAAAAUUCAAUAGCACCUUCCCUAUAUGGGAGGCUACUCAAAAUUUUUAAACCUGAAAAUACACAACAUGUAUACCGCAAACCAGUUGAUUUUGCUCAAAAUUCUCAUUUUCUAAGUGGCAAUAUAUUUAAUCCUAAAUUUACAAAAAAUUAAUCUAAAUUAAAAAAAUCAAAAUAAUAAUUAAAAUUAAUCCUACACAUUUAAUUGAAAUUGAAAAAUAAAAUUGGAAAACAAAUAACUAAAAUUCUUCAAAAUAAUGACAAAAUUAUUUAAAUAACAACUAAAAUUAAACACAAAAUUGAACAAAAAUAAUGACAAAAAAUGCAAAAGAAAACAAAUAAAGAAGAAAAAGAAAUGAAAAAUUCUUACCUUUAUGGCAUGUAUAGUGUCAACUGAGAAUUAAAAAAGAAAAACAAAAUAAAUUGAUGCAACUAUAUUAUUCGAUAGUUUUGUCUAUAUUUACCUAGUAUUUUGUUCAUGUUUUAUAUAUAAAAUACCUUGAUAAUCUUUGUUUUAUGUUUUGAAGGCACUUUUGGAUGUAAGAUUCGAAAAAGAGUAAAUUGGAGAUAAAAUUCAGACCAUGUUCCAACUCGUGUCGAAUAUUGGCAGAUUUGACCUCUGAUUGAUGUUUUAUGUAGAAAUUGAGUUGUAGUGGUUGAAUUGAAGUGAUUCUAUUGGAAUUAGAAAGCUAACAUCUAUAUCUUUCUAUAUAUAUAUGGCAAGAAAAAGAAGAAGAAGGGGGAUGGAAAUCACAGCAUUCAAAGACAAGUCUCACAUUCUACCAAUUUUAAUCUUUGACUAUUCCGACUUUAAUAUCUUGCAUUAGAGAUGUCCAUUUCAUGCACACUCAAUUUUUUUGGAUUCUGAACUCAAAGACUUAUCAACCUACCAAAUUGCAGUAUAAAAAAAGCUGAUAUGAGAGAGAUAUGAUUUUUUUAAGACAACCCAUAAAUUAUGUCAGCAAACAGGUUUUAUGAAGAAAUAAGUCCAACUUACUUACAAAGCAUCCAAACCGACAUGACAAUUGUUUCUUCGUAUGGAAAAAGGUCUUUAAUUGAGCAAGUUAAUUUCUCUAAGUCCAAUGUCAAAGCUUAAAGAUUUUAUGCAAGACUAUUUUUUUUCUUUUUAGAAAAAUAGUUAUUGUACUACUUAAAUGUAGAUUUUCUACUUUGAAAAGGAUUAUUUUUAUUUUUUAAGGAAAAAAAUGGAUUAGAGGGAUGUGGGGAUUAGGGUUUUCUAUUAAAUAAAAAGAAAGAGAAAAAAAAAAGAGAAUGGUAGCCAAAAAGAAGAAGAAAACUCCACCCUUUUCUCCUAUACUUGAAAUUAUAUUCUUAUAUGUUCUCUUAAUUAGUUUUUUAAUGGACAUGCAAUGCUAAGUUAUUUUUCUUGGUUGAAAGGAUACAAAAACCAUCAGAUUUCAAAAGACUGUGAGAUCUAUUUUAUCUUUUCGUUUUAGUUUAUAUGAUGAAUAUGAAUGUUUUUCUAUGAUUAGUUAGUUUCAUUGUUAGAGCGGACUCUAAAUUAUUAUUUUAAACCAAUCUACUGCUAAAUUUGCUAUCAAAACCAGAGUUGAGAUAUUUAACCUUCUGAAGUGACUAGGUUUAAUAAUUAUGAUGGAUCUAUGUUGUUAAUCUUAGGGAAAAUAUUCAAUUACAUCGAACAUAGAUUGCAGACAGUUAUGUUGUCUAGAUUUAUCAACCUAUUUAGUUCUUAAGGUUGCCAUUGAAUUAAAUUACUGGUGCGGACACUAUGGUUGUUUAAUGGUUAGGGCUAGUUACACUGUAGAUUGGUUAACUGAUUAAUGUUAAGGAAAGAUAGAUAUUUAGAAGAUAAAUUGACGUAUCGUUUCAAUAAUCAAUUUUGAUUUUUAUAAGUGAACGUUUACUUGAGACCAAGGUUUUUCUCUUGAUAAGUUUCAUAUUUAUUUAAUUUAUCUUUAUUAUUUUAUUCUAUUUACCAUAACAUAGCCUAGAUAACCUUAAAAUCCCCUAACUUUGAAUCAUGUAACAUAAAUACCUGAACUAGAUUGUCCUCAUAGGAAUGACCCUUUACUUCCUUCCAUUAUACUAUCUUGUUUGUUUAAACAAGGGUAAUUAAUUUAUGUGACCACUGUCAUAACCGUCAUAACCCAUUUCAGGGUUAUUCCCUAAUAUUACACAUUUUUCCUUCCAAAAUAAAAUUAAGAAAUAAAAAAUAAAAUAAAAUAAAGACUGACAACGUGGAGAAAGCAGACCGAGGAGGAUUUCAAAAAUAUAAAAAAAUCAAACUACAAUUUUGGAGGAAAUUCAAGGCCUAAUUGUAUCCUAAUAUACCCAAAAAUAGUGAAACAAUGCAAAUUCAAUGUCAAAUUAAAUGAUUAUUGAAUGAAUUGAUUUAAUCAUAGGCCAAAUUGAAGUUUAAUUAUGUUUAAUAAUUAAUUUGGAUCCAGUUAAAGGAUUUAAUUAGGUGCAAAAACUUAAUUAUACUUUAAAAGGGUCAAAUUAAUUUUAUUAGGGGCUUAAUUGGUGAAAAUUAAGUUUAAGAGCUCAAUUUAGGCUUAAUUGAAAAAAUUGAAAUUUUGAAAGACCAAGUUUAAUUUUUAACAAGUUAAUUGAUUGAAAUUAAGAGCAAAAUGAUAAGAAAAUCAAAGUUUUUGGGUCAAUUAGGGGUCAAAUUAAAAACUUUCACAGUUAAGGAUCACUUUGCAAAGAGUAUCAAACUAUAAAGGCGAAAUUGAUUGAAACCGGGGUGAAAUUGAAAGUUUAAUAAUUAAUUAAGUGUCAAAUUGCAUAAAUUCGAGACUAAGGACCAUAGUGAAAAAGACACGUAAAUAUUUAGGUGCUGAUAUUGAAGUUCGAUAGGUGCUAAAUUGCACUAAGUCAAACAUUUAAGGUCAAUUAAGGGUGCAACUAAACAAUAUUGAAAGCUGGAGGACUAUAGGACUAGACGACGUGUCGUGUGGUAACUGUUCAUUGUCUUUCCUCUUUUUUUUCAGCCAAAAAGUUACCUAGGUGACUAAUUUUCAGAUGCAUUUAAUGCUUCAUAUGUCCACCAAAUUUGACAACACCUGAACCAAAAUUAUCACCUGACAUCCUUCUAAUCUCGGGUAAGUCCAGUUUAGGUCGAAUGACACCAUAACGGCCCUAGCGCUGAUCUAAAGUGACAAACUAAAGCAGUCUUAUGGCCUGAGUAAGGAGUUCAUAGUGCCUACUUUGAACUAACAGGUAGGAUCCUUCCCAACCGAAUCAAGGGCUAAUAUGUUUUUCUAGUGUAGACAAGAUUGUUCUCUUCCAUCCCCUAUAAAUAAGGGAGGAUUUCAUGACCCGAGUAGGGAGAAAUUCAAGUCCAAAGUCGGCUGAAAACCAGAUUCCCCCAUUUUUUUUCCUCUGUAACGAGUUCUCUCUUUUUUUUCUCUCUUUGAUGUGGCCUUCGGCUACCACCACACUCACCAUUGGCUUGACAACCAUCAAAUCCACCAACCCAACUCCUCACCAACGGUAGAGCAGCCACCGUGAACUCCUCUCUCUCCUCUACAAGCUUUUUUUCUUUUUCUUCCUUCUUUGCCACCCGUCACCCGCACCACUGCUGCAACCACUGGCCGCACGCCAUCAUUCACGACUAGACCACCAUCGCUCCAGGUAGCCUGCUCCUCUUCCUCUUCUUUUGUCCAAUGUUCAUGCAGUGAACAUUGGGUCGAGCCAACUUUGGCCCCACCCAAAUGGUCGAGCCAGGCCAGACCCAAAAAAAGAAAAAAAAAAGAGAUAUGUUGGGUUGAGAUCGGCCCAACAUUUUUUAGGCUGAGUCCGGUCUAGUUAGUUGGGUCAGGCCAGCCUGCAUAUUUUAUAAUAUUUAAUUAUAAUAAUAUAAGAUUAUAUAUUAUAAUAUUUCAUAUUAUAUAUUAAAAACAAAAAUAAAUAAAAAAAUUCAGAAAACAAUUUAAAAAAAGAUCCUUUAAAAAAUUUGUGAUUUUCUUGCAUAUUUUUCUACAAAAUUUGCUUAAUAUUGGGUUGUAUUUUUACACUGUAGAGAUACAAACCUGAUAUUAAAAUACUUGGCUUUCUCCGAAAUAUUUCUAAAACAUUUCUAAAAGUUCAAAAAAAAUUAAAAAUUUUAAAUUAAUCUCUCUUUAAAAAAAAUUAUUUUAUUUUCAUGCAUACUCUCAAAUCCUAAAAUUUUCCAAGCAUAUUUUCUUAAAAAGAUAAAAAUUGCAUCUUUCUCAUGUUUUAAAAGUAAAAAAAAAUGGAUAUAGUAACCAAUUUAUGAUUAUUCAUUAGGAUUUGACCAAAAUGUCAAAAACACUUUACCAAUCUUUUUUUAGGGUCUAAAUGUAGACUUUAAUAUCUGUGGGGUGUAAAAUUACAUAAUAGAAUACACUAUUAGGUAUUAAAGAUACAAGGUAUAAAAUAAAUGUGAUGCUAAAAUUCAGAUUUUAGAACGGUUAGGAUUAAACCCGAUGAGGUAGAGACUCUUUUAUGAAGGGAGAUUUAUCUUGAACCUUAGAUGAGAUCAACAAAUAGAAACCCGACCUAGAAAAACAAUCAAACAAUAAUGCAGCUUAUCUUAGGUUGGGUGCACUGAGGGUGAUGUGUCUUUUCCUUACACAACUAGUCCCUUAUCCAGACUCUCGUAGACCAUAGGUUCUUAUCAACCAUAACACAAGGUGGUGACUCCUGAACUUUAAUCAUAAUUUUAUGAUUAAAUCUAAAAACCUUUCCAACAACACACAUCUCCUCAAGAGGCAAGAUAAACCUCACCGUCGCCCUGACAUCGUGGCACCCCCUCGAUAACCACGACAUCACAACAUAAAUGAAAAUAGAUUGUUAAAAAAGCUAAAAAAUAGAAAAAUGAGAAAAAUAAAGAAUAACAACAUACCUUAGGACAAUAAGAGAAGAUGAUGCUUGAUUUUCAACUCGGGUCGUGAACAAAAAUAAAAGAAUGAAGAAGAAGAGAGAAAAAAAGAAAGUGGAUGAAAGAAGAAGAAUGAAGAAGAUGAAUCCUCAUAUGUUGUGUCUGUGGUCUUUUAUAUUAGGUUUUACUGAAAAAAUUCCCGAUGAAAUAUUGAAUAUUAAUAUCUUUAAAAUUUUUAUCGGUGAUUCCGUAUGUUAAGUCAAAGUAAAAUUUUCAAUUCACACAAAAAAUUUCAAAAACCCCUCCAAAUAUUACUGAUAAUUUUUUAUUUUAUUGAUGAUUCUGUCGGUAAAAGAGUAAACAAUCAACAGUUAAAAAAAAAAAGCAUUAAUUACCAGCGCAUUAGAAUUCCAUUUCGUAGGUAAUUCUAUUAGAAAAGUGUACCACAAUUAGAAAGAGCAUUAAUUGUCAGCGCGUUAGAAUUCUCAUUCCAUCAAUAAAUUUAUUAGUAAAAAAAACAUUAAUAAUCACCGUCUUGAGAAAUGAACAAUUAUAAUCUAAAUCAUUCUUAGAUUUAACUGAACUUUCCAAACAUGAUCUUUGAUAUGUAAAACUUAAUUAUUGGUCCUACUUCACUCCCAAACUUUAUUUUUUUUUCUUGUUCUCAUCUUCUUCUUUUUUAUUGCAUUUUUUAUGAUUUGUUUCUAACUUAAUUUCACACGCAAAAUCAAUAAAAGUGACAUAAAUAAUGAAAUGACUAGAAUUGAUUAAAUUUACUGAAAAUGUAUUUUUUUAAUUUUCUAUUUUUAUUUGAAAAGUAAAUGAUUAAAAAUCUGAUAUGAUUUUUUUAAGGUAUAUAAUGGUGCGCUUACAUUACACAAACUUUCGAGUGAGAUGGUCUGAUAUCAAUUUCGAAUCUCAGGAUAAAAUUUGAUCAAACUGAAAAGACUAGUGAUAUUUUGCUUUGAACUUGUCAACUUUGCAACCAUCCUGUGAAACGAUUUGGAUCAUGAAUACAAUCUACAAGGCCAUUUUCGCGCACCAAGUCACCUGUAAACGAGCUACAAUCACCCGAUCGACCCCGGUUUUUCUUUUGCUUUCUUUCUUUCAGUUUUUUAAGUUGGAAAAGUCUUUGUCAGUUUUGUAACGUGUCUGUUUAUGUAUCUUUUCAACUACCAGUAGAAUAAGAUAGAAUUGAUACAGGAUCAUUGACAUUUAUUCAAACACUUAGAAGGUCUACCAUCACACUUUAAGCUAUAAGGACCCACUCUUUAUUUCUUAAUUGAAAAAUAAUAUAUUUCAAAGGUUUUGGAGUCCGGGGCCUGGAGUCAGGCAGAUCCUGACUUUCUUGGUCAGGUUUCGUAAGCAAAUACCUGCUCAAGUGUGCAUAAGAUGAUACUUAAUUAGUGUGAACUUGAACGAACUUAGGAGUGCGUAGGUGUGGUAUGAUUUUUAUUCUUUAUAACAAAAUCAGAUCAUAAGUGUCAAAGACCAAUAUGAUAGUUUAAUGUUUGUAGUUUUUUUUUUUUUAUAAAAAUGAUAGUUGAUUGUUAAUGUUCAGAAAUGAGUCACAUCUUCUCCCUUUUUAUAUUCACCGGUCAUCCACUUUUUAAACAUGCUUUUUAGCUUUAAUCAACAUCAAAAUAUAGAACAAUUUUCCAAGUUAAAUGAUCGGAAGUAUCUCUAGUACCCUUCUGAAGAGCAUUGCAUGCAUCGUUAUGAUCACAAUCUAAAAUCUGGUCAGUGUUGUGCGAUGAUUAACAAAAAUUGACAUGUAAACGUUCGAUCACCACCUUAACAUCACGCUAUGAUUAAGACUUCUCUAAUUUUUUAACUCUCAGAUGUUCAUAUGAUCAUAUAUAUAUAUAUAUAUAUAUAUAUAUAUAUCACUAUCUUGCUUGAACUCUCACACCACUAACCCUUCUUUGAACUAUAAUCCUUCAAAACCAUUUGCUCAACCCGUUUGAUUGUAACAAAAAAUGGAGGUGAUGAACAAAAUACUCUCUGAGAGCGACGCAAAAAAUAAGCGACUCGAAUUUCCGGCUAGGAGUCUCUCGGCCUUCCCCAUGCCAGAUGGUCAGAACUCGGUCCAAUUUGUGGCAUUUGACAUGAACGAUCAGCAAUGGAGUCUUAAGGUCUCCAUCCGCAAUGAAGGUAAGUAUGCGAAACCUUGGCUAAAGGGCGAAUGGGAUGACUAUGUUCAUCAGAAAGGGCUCAAGAAAGGAGAUAAAGUUAUCUUGACAAUGCAUGAGGAAGAGAAUGGCGAAAGAAUUUAUCGUAUCAGAGCUGAAAGAAAGCAUUUCGGUUUCUGGUAUUCAAUUGAUGAUCAGCAGUAAUAGCUCUCCAUAAAUCGAAGCAUGAGGCUGGGCUCAUGUUUAGUGUGACAGGCAAGGAGAAACUAUCUCUUGGAGGUGUCCGUAGUUCACUCCGAUUGUGUAAUGAGUUAAGUCAAAAUACAAUAUGUGUCUGUCUUGAAGAAAGUAAGUCCUAGCUAGUCGUAAGAACUUUUGUCCCUAUGAAUUUGUUGCCUUGGGUCUGCUUUGGUGUUCUGUCCUUGUUGUAUUUUAUUUUAUUGUAUUGUAUUAUGCUUAGAUAGUUGCUAUGUGCUUUGUGUCUGUUGGGGUUGUUACCAGUUCCUCCAUAUUCUCUUGUUAGGCUUGUUCUACUGCCUUUGUAGACAUCUCGAGCAGGGAUGAUUCUUGUAUCUUUACUUCUAAUUAUUAUAUAUAUAUAUAUAUAUUAAAAAAAAGGGUCUUGUAUGUAUGCAUGCUUUUUAGUUCCCGUGCAAUUUCUCAUAUUUUUGGGUAAAAAAAAACAGAUUUUCUGCUGCUAAAUCUAGUUUCUUUCCAGUUAAUUUUAUCUUGCCAAUUGUUGGCUUCCGUGUAAGAUUUAAUCCUUCACAAUUUUUAAUAUCUAUAUUUUAGAACCAUCACCCGCCAUAAGUCUUGAGCCAUUUGGUAUAAUCCAGACUCAAAUACCAAAUUCAAUACUAUAAGAUUCAUGUUACAAUGCUAUAUACUUUGUUUUUUAGCUCAAACUUUACCCAUCAAUGAUGUGAUGAAUAAAAAUGCUAAUUGGUACUUAAUUCUUAUGAGCAUCCAUUAGGUCAAUGAUAAUAUUGAUUGGUACGUUUCUUGUGAAUAUGAAUAUCCAUAAGGUCAAUGAUCAAGAUUUAAUCUAAUGUUAAUUGUUGGUUAGCAAUAGUCUUUGUCACACCCGACAUCGCGGCGGCCUUAAAAAUUUUCUAAUUUCAUGAAAAGAAUAGAUUUCUGGCAUUCUAUUCUUUGAUGGGGAACGAUUUUGUUUAAGGAGUCGCCACCUAGUAGUAUGGUCACUAGGAACUCUAACUGGUCAACAGAGAUUCUAUGGUUCGGGACUGGUUACGUAAAAAAAAAGAUAUUAUAACUCCUUAAAUGUUCUGCCUGAAGCAGACUGCAUUGCUGGUUUUAUCUUAAUUUGCUAAAUGUUUGUUAAUUUAUGCUAUGAUGAUUUGCUUAUAAUAUUCAUGACUCUGGCGCCAGAGAAUAUUCAACUACAGAUACUUCUAACUCUGGCAUUGAUAAAUAUUACAUAGUUAUAAAUUAAAAUAAAUUUAAAUCCGUAUUUUUAUUUUUGACUCUAGAAAUAGUGAAUAAAAACAAAAAUAAAAUUUAUUUUUUUGCAUACACAUAUUUUUUUAUGUAGCUAAAUAAAAUAAAAUAAAUUUAAAUCAAUAUUUUUAUUCCUGACUCUGGCGUCAGUGAAUAAACCAAUAAAUCUAUAUUAUUUUUUUUAUUUAUGCAUACACAUAUUUAUUAUUUUUUUAUUUUUAUUUUUUGGAGGCGGGGCCCAGCUCAGCCCAUAUAAGCUGGGUAGACCUAGCUAGCCCGGCCCAGUCACUGGCCCAAGCUAGUGGCCUGGCUGGGCAAAACAACAGCACGCAUGACGCAUGCGGUACAGUAAAAGGGUUAAUAAUAAUUCAAAGCAAGGUUGUCAAUUCCAUUCUGUUUCACCCGGAAUGGCCGAAACAUUCCAUACCAAUUCAAAAACAGAACAAAACGGAACAAAGUUCAUCUCAUUUUAAAUCUUGGUCCGUUUCGGAUUUUUCGGCUAAAUUCCGCCUGGAACGUUCCGGUUUCAUUCCACAUGUUCCGUUCCGUUCUUGAAAAGCCAUUGAAUCAAAUUGAACCUUGUUCAAUUUAAUUAAUUAAACCAUCCAAUUAUAAAAAGUUAUUUUUCAUUAGUAUUUUCAAUAACAAUGAUAUUAAUAAUAAUAUUGAAAAUUAUUAUUACUAUUUGCAUUAACAAUGAUAUUAAUUUUUUAAAAUUAGAUUUAUCAUUAAUAUAUAUGGUUUAUAUUCAUGUUGUUUUUUUCAUGUUUAUACUUUGUAGGAAUUUGAGCAAAACAAGAGAUGCUUUAGAUUCCAAUAGUCUUGAUAACAUUGACCUAACUUUAUAUUUAAAAUAUUUGUGUUAAAACAUUUUACUUUCAUAAUAUUUUGAUAUUUUGUUUAAGUUGAAUUACUUUAAGUUAAAGAUCUAUUUAAUCUUAACUAUUUAGAAAUAUUUUAAAUUUUGAAAUUAUAUUUGUUUGGCAUUGUGUUUGUAUUGCAUAAUUUAUAAUUAAUUUAUCUUGAAUUUGAAUUAUAUUUGUUGAAUAUAUAUAUAUAUAUAAACAGUACAACCCCGAAACAGCACGCAGAAAUACUUUAAAACUAAAAUAUUUCAUUUCAAUUGAAAAAACAAAACACCAACCAAAACAGAAUUUCCAACCUUCAUUCAAAGCUAUAAUGUCUAAUGAAUUAAAUUGCAGAAUGGGAAAGGAUGAACUUACCUGGUCUGGUGUGCUUGACGACGAAGACGAAGUUCGGGGUGAUUAGUGCACUGGUUAGGCAACGCCUCGUUCUUCCCUUCUGUCCUCCUUUGCUUUCUCUCCUGGUCUUGGUUUCUUUUCUCUCUAGGUUCUCUCUCUGUAAAAUUAUGGAUUUGUUUUCUUCGUGCUCUGUUUUUUUUUUCUCUGUUUGCCCAAGUUCCUCUUCUCAGUUCGUCCUCCCUGACUCUCCUUCUUCGUCUGUGUAUUUGUUCCUCUGUGUUCGUUCUGGUCUUCCGCUCAUCGUCCCUGUGUUUUUUUUUGUUUCGAUUCGUGCUCUGCCUCUCCGUUUUUUCUCCGGUUCUCCCCUGUUUCGUUCCUUUUUUUUUUCCGUUGCCUCUGCUCUGCCUUUUAUAGAGCCAGAGAGCUUUCCAAAACCAGUCCCUGUUACAGUCCUGCAUUUACAGGACUGUUAAUCAAUCCACGAUCGGGAUCGUGGGCAAAAGAUGUGGUCCAUGAACGGAUCGAAUUGCUGCAGUUUUCCCUGUUGAAUAGGCUUUCUCCGCGCGAAAUCAAAGGGAUAGUGAACAGCUCUUCAAAACGGCGCCGUUUGUGUCCUUGGGAAUGACUAUUUUUCACUUUGGUCCCUGAACUUCUGAAAUGUAUCAAUUAGGUCCCUGAUUCCAUUAAUUAAAUAAUUCCAAGUCCAAUUAAGUCCCCAAACUUUUAAAUUAUGUUGUCUUGGCCCAAAUUUCAAUUUAUUCCUCAUUUUUAUUAUUUCAUAUCUUUUUUUUAAUAAAACAAAAGGAGUAAAAAAUUAGGUUAUGAAAAUUCUAAUAUCUAAUGUCGGCUAAUUAAGAAUCUUAGAAGAUGGCGGAUCAAACAUGCUUCAGUACUUCAACUUUGUUUCUUAUUCAAGAACAGUCAAACUUUAUUCUUUCUGUUGAUAUAUUGUUCACAUGUAAAGAAGUCUGGAAAUAACUAAAUAAGUAUGUAGCAUCUAUAUAUAUAUAGAAUCAGUUCGCUGUCUUAGCUGAGCAUUGUAGUCUAGACUAGAGUGUUUAUCACUUGUACCAGGAGCUUCCUACACUUGUUUUUUGUCAAAGGAACAAAGAUUUAUGUUUUUUUCACAGCAUACAGAGAACAAAAGAAAUAGCAGACAACCAAAUACCUGUAUUAAUCAUAAUAGUUAUAAGACCCGUUUAAUGAGUAGGUCAAUCAUUAAGUCGACAAGUCGAUGGGUUAAUCAAAGUUUUUUCUUUUCAAAACAUGUUAUUUUUUCUUAAAAUGGGGUCUGCUGUUAAGACAAACACUUUAAAACGUCUAAGCUAGGGAUGCAGUAUCUGGCUCUGGAACUUGGUUGAGGAAUCAAUUAGGACAAUGCACCAGAAGAGGGUGGAUAUGGUGAUUUUGAGAUGUCCAUUUUUUAUAUUGUUUGUCUCUCAAUUAUUUAUUAAAAGCAAUAUAACUCUCAUAAGUAUUUUUCAGAUGAGAAGAUUUGGGUUUUAUUUAUAUUGUACGUAUGAUCAUUUUAUUCUAAAAAAUAUUAUGUUAAUUUAAAUAUAAAGAAAUUAUAUAUAAAUUAAAAUUAAAAUAUUAUUUUAUCUUUAAUAAAUAAAACAAAAUAAAAUAUAUUUUUUAAUAAAUAUCAUAUCAAUGAUUCGCAUAAAAUAGGUCACUUUUUUAAACGAACGUCAAACAAUCAAUCUCUCCACACAUGUUCCAUCAAGAAGUGUUAAUGAUAUAUAUAUAGAUUUUUUGUCAUAGUCGAUUAUAUUAUAAACUAAAUUGUUAAUGAUAUUAUAUAUAAAAAACACGAAUCUCGUGCUCAUAACUAUUUGAAUUUGAGCAUGAGAAAUAGAAAUAGAAGAAGAAAGCAGACUGUGGGAUCUGUAUUUGUUUUCUUUCUGAGUGCAUCCUUCGAGGUUUCUUAUAGUUUGGGUCCUCCUUGGUUUCUUAUCCUUGGAAUCUAUUCAUUGCCGUCCAUUUUUGGUUUAAUUUGGAAGGAUUAUCUCCGAGUUUUGCAUAGUUUCUUGAUCUAGCUAUUAGAGCUUCUCUUAUAAUUAAUAAUAAUCUUCCAUUGUUUAUAAAAAAAUUAAAAAUAAAAAACACCAAAAUUAUUUUUUUUAACCCACAAAGAUAGAAUUACAAGCUAAAAACCUCACACUAGAAUUCCCUUUUUUAUUUAAAACAAAAACGGAAAUUAAUACACAAGAACCAGCCACGUACUGGUAAGUGAAUACUACACAUUAAGUACAGGAACUAGUGAUUAGUGGAGCAAUGUCGGCAGGUCCAAGUCCCUCACACUAACGAGCCCUUUCUUUAGUAAAGUUAACAAGCCCAUUUCUUUAUGAAUAAUAAUAAUAAAAAGAAAUAAAGACACAGGAACCAACGUACAAUGCUGGUAUACCUAUGCUACACAUGAAGAAGAACAAGCCCCGGUGAACGGAACUAGUCAUCACACAUUAUAAUCCAAGACAAUGGUGCAAACAUCUCCAAGGGACACAAGGCACAGAGUAUAUAAGCAAAUUAAAUACCAAAAUAACAAGAAGGAUUGAACAUCAAAGCAGGUAGAGGCAACAAUUCUCAAAGGGACAAUUACCUUCCGCACAAUAUCUAGACACACAGCACACAUUAAAAAAAAAAUAUUAAUUUCCAUUUCUAGCAUGCCACUCUUCAAUUGGAACCCACAUGCCCAUUGCUAUGUUUCUUUCAGCUUUAAUUUGAUAGUUUCUUACUCCAUUCUCUUGCAUAGCCAUAGUUAACUUCACUCUAUCUCCUUGCCUAAGCUUUUUCUCACGAGCGUAAAUCCCCCAUUGACCAUGUAUCCAAGUUUUUCGAUACCUUGUCGGACGAAUGGUUGAGACUCCAUGACUCGCCUAGAACGUCCAAUGCUUCAAAAACGAAUGACCUGCUAUAAGCAGAAAUGGGGAACCCUCCUAGACUCCUGGAUGGGAAUUCGAGUCGAUCAUUGGUCGCAUCACUUUUUGAUAGCACCUUGUUCAUUACCUCCAGCGGAUCCAUUAUUUUUAGUGAAACUAACUGCACUGAAUUAUAAUGCAUGGUGAAUCCUUAUAUACUGGUUCCGAGAAAAAAAAUCUAGGGCUUAUCGAACUUAUUCAGCUGUUUGUUUUUGCUUUGUUGAGCAUGUGUACCAUCGUUCCGAAUUGUCCUCUUUCUGUACCUUUUUUUUUUUUUACGAAGACGAGGGAUUCUAAAAUGAAACAAGAAUGGAAAGGCGAGCCUAGCUUGAUCAAACGAAAUGAUAACGGCUUGUCCAAGUCUGAAAAUGAUGACUUAAGAUGAAAGUGACCUUGAUAACAAAUGCAGAUUAAUUAAUUUGUCUUAAAUUUUUUGUGACUCCAAUUAUUACGUAGGAUGCAUAGUAUUCAAUUUUUGACAUAAAAAUAAUUAUUUUUAUUGUAUUACUUCUUAAUUGAUAAAAUUUUAUAAGAUUUGAUAAUUUUAUUUAAUUAGACAAGUGGUUUAUUAAGGAAUUAAUAAUAACUUUAAGAUUCUAUUUUUUACCUAUUUUGUUUUUUUAUUGAGUAUCAUUAGGAUUUUUUAGUUUUCUUAUUUAAAUGGUUAUAACAAAACAAGAAAACUUUAAUAAAUAAAAAUUAAAUAUUUUGAAUGCUUCUUUAUAAUGAUGUUCUUCAUCUUUGAAAAUUUUAAUUUAUAUUAACCAUUAUUAAUUUUUGUUAUAUGUCGUGUCAAUUAAUAUCAGAAUAAAUUGAUUUAUUUGACGAACAAAAAUAUUGGUAACAUCUUCAUACCCCGAUGAUAAUGGAGUGGGAACCAUCUAGGGCGAUGUAAAGACUCGAGAGGUUGCUCGGAGAACCAUAUCGUAAAGAUUUAAUUGGCUGGAUCAACUGCAAAAGGGAGGCACGAACAAAGAUUGUGAUGAGGAGAGAGACAUAUCUAGACACCUACCGUGUCUUCAAUUCCUCAGGCAAACCACACCCAAAUCCAUUCAUAUAAACUCAUAUAAGGAUCAUGUCAAUGGAAAAGUGGUAUUUAUGACAAGCAGAGAACUGAAGAUUUGGUUUGCAAUCAACCUUUUUGUUGGUGCAUUUCUAUUUUUCAAUAAAAUUCCUUUUUUGAUAGAUUUUUUUUAAAAAAAUAUUUAUUAGAAUACAGUUGUUGUAUUUUUAAUUGAAGAGAAUUUCUUUUUAUUAGAAGGUAGGAUUUGCAAGACUCAAAUUUAUUCAAGGUGCUGAAGAUUAGUGGAAUAAUAUUAUAGAAGAUAGAGUUCGUGGCCUAUACUUUCAUCAUGAAAAACUAUGAGAAAAUUAUUAGUUUUGAACUUUGUACAAGAUAAUUAUGAAAUAAUUUUAUCCUAGACAUAUAUGUAAGUAAUUAAAUUAUCAUUACUUGUCUUCUAUUUAACCUUCUCAAAUCACAAGGAUGCAAAGCACAGAGGAAUGCUAUUACAAAUCCACAAGGAUGCCAUACCAUAAAAAGAAGCAAAAGAGUAACAAUUAUCAUAAUCCUUUGAGGAAUUGCUAUAGAAAGAACAAAAAAUGAUUCUGAAGAAGCCCUUGAUCAGAAAUCACAUAAGCCAUAGAAAAUUCUUCCUAUUAAAGAAUCAGAAUAAAUUGAUGCAAAAGACACUGAAGAUUCAAUAGAGUAAAAAAGAAUCAAUAAACCAAGGUCAGCAAACACAGAACAAAAAAGAAACAGACGAGAGGAGAUCGGUCAGCCUGCACACCAUCAUCGGCUUAUUCUCUAUCAGACCAGGUAAGUAUCUCUUCUCUCUUUCCCCGUCUUGAAACAUUAAAUCAAGUGUCACUGUGCAUUUCAAUUUUAAUUACUCUUGUCAUUUUGCAUACGUGCCUUAACAAUUCAUUCAAGUUUGCAGCUAAAAACCAACCAGAUCACUAGCAUGAGCCAGACCUGGUUAGAUUGAAUCAGAUUCAUCCUAAAUAAAUAAAAAUAAAAAAAAACAAAAAAACCUGAGGCUAGGAUGGGCCUCAGGCCCAGCCAACACAAUCUAUUUUAAACCAAAGAUGUAUUUGAUAAAAUAUUCUUAUGCCUUAUCCCUUUUAUUCCACCCCUUUUGAUUUUAAUAUCCAGCUAAACAAACUUUUUUAAAUUUAUUUAUAGAUCUCUUGUGUUUUUUUAGGUAUUUCACUGUAUAAUUGAUUUGUGAAUUUUUAAUGUGAAAUACAAAUCCAGUAUACAAUACAUUUUUUUUCUUAAAAAAAUAAACAACUAUUUAUGCAUUGAUUUAAAUUCAUUUUACUGAUUUAUUCACUGACGCCAGAGUCAGGAAUACCAUAUGUUUUUUUUACUACGUAAUAUUUAUCUAUGUCAGAGUUGAAAAUAUCUGUAAUUGAAUAUUCACUAACUUCAGAGUUAAGAAUAUUAUAAACAAAUCAUUGGUAACGUAAACCAACAAACCCUUAGCAAUUUAAGACAAAACUAGCAAUACAGCUUACCUCAGGUAGAAUGCUUAGGUGGUGAUAAUAUCUUUCUUUUUGCAUAAUCAGUCCCAUAACAUAGAAUCUAUGUUGACUAGUUAGGGUUACUAGUGACUAUAAUAUUAGGUAACGGUUCCUUAAAUAAAACAUUUCCCAUAAAAAAAAAAGAUGUUAAAAAUAUGUUUUUUUUAAAAAAAAAAUUAAUUUUUAAAAGGUUGUUGUGAUGCUAGGUAUGAUACCGAGCACAAAUAUUUUUGUGUCUUCAAAGAAUAAGAUCAAUUCUAUCAAGAAAAUUAAGUGAUCGAAGUCAUUUUUUAAAAUCAAAUGAGGUCAAAUAUCACUAUCACAAAAUUUCCGAGCUCUUGUGUAUAUGGAUAUCUUUAAGCAAAACAAAUAUCAAAAUCAAGUCUAUAAGGCCUCGAAAGAUUUCAUUAAAAGGAAGGUCACAAAGUAGUGAAAAGUGUGGAAGUUUUUUCAAGAAACCCAGCAAUUUCUGCCGGCAAUGUAACUAUUUCGACUGGACCACUCAAAGGAUUUAGCAAGUGAUUAAUCAGACCAUUAGAUAUAUAUACCGAAAUAACUAAGCUACAAAACCAGCACUCUGUUUUUGGUCACCCUCAAAUUUUACCAUGGGAAGGCUUGAUUGUGGCCUCUGUGAUCUGCUAGGCUGUGUAAGCUCUGCAAGUGCAAGGCUUGAUUUGGUUAAGGUCCAAUUGACCCCUCUGAUUACUAAGUGAAUCUUUAACAGUAAAAUAAUAAUAAUUUUUUAGAGUUAUGCCAUAGCUUUGUACCUUUACCUUAUACGUUCUUAUUUUGGACUCGGAAGUGUUUUUCUCUGUCCCUUUUCAACUAUUCUCAUAUUGAGCUAUGCUAAUAUACUUUUGGGCAUGGUUAUAAGAAUUCUCUCAAGACUCGGAUGGGAAGUUAGUCGAAUCAAUUUACAGAUAGAUGAAUUAAUUUAUUUUUUUAUUAAAAUAAUAUCAUUUCAUGCUUUUUUAAAUAAAAUAAUUUUAUUUUUAUUUAAAAAAUAUAAAUCAAAAUAAAACUCAAUCCAAAUUAAAUUUUAAAUUAAAGAGUAAUCACAAGGUUUUAGUACAAUGUUUUAACUAUAUUUUGGAUCUAUAUAAAAUAUGUUUUCUUAUUUUGAGAAGCAGAAAAUAGGUUCUCAUGCUUUUAUUCUUAAAAAGAAAGGGAAUUCUUUCAGGUUAAUUGGAAAAUUAAUUCAUUAAACCGAUUUUUGUUCAAAUUGAAACAAAUAUAAUAAAUUUAGAAAAAUACUACUAGUGAUGAAUUUUCGGGUCCACUGUCGGUUCCAGGCAGAAGCAGAGAGGCAACUUGCAAGAAGGAAGCUGAAAAGAAAAGAGAGAGAAAUAUGGGAAAAGAAAAAUCCUUUCCAUGUUAUUUGCUCAAUUCACCAUUCAUUUUGUGUCUGCUUGCAGAUUGCUAGAAGAUCAUCAUGGAUGCUUUAGUAGUAUCUCCCCUUUUACAAGUUGUGUUUGAUAAGUUGGCUCUUGUGAUCACCAGAAAGUCAACGACUCGAGGAGAGUGCGAGAAGGAGAUGCAAAAGCUGCAGGAUAGGCUUCCCAUAAUUCAAGCUGUGAUCGAAGAUGCAGAGGAGAGACAACAUGGAUAAGAAGAUCAAGAUUUGGCUGCAAAAACUUAAAGAUGUGGCCUCUGAUGCAGAAGAUUUACUGGACAUGAUCCAUGCUCGAGUUUUGUCCAAACAAGUGCUCGAAAGUGACCGCUUCACAUAUUCUCCGAGUUACGACAUGGGAAUACUCGGUAAAGGAAAGCUUCUGGCAGAGGAAUUUGGUGAGCUGAUGAAUAGAAAGGUACGGUUGGCUUCUCAUAUUGUUGAAUCAAUUCCAAAUCAUUUCAUAAACUUGCGCCAGCUGAGAGAUGUUAGGGAGAGAUUGGAUGAUAUAUCGAAGGAGAUGGGUGAGUUCCAACUUAAGGAAGUUCUCAUUUCGAGACUACCACAGACCGGUAAUAGAGAAGGGAGAGAAACUGGAGCUCACAUAGUUGAGUCUGAAGUUUGUGGUAGAAAAGAGGAUGUCGAAAAGGUUGUGAAAAUGUUACUGGGAUCUAAUACUGAUGUCAGGGUGAUUUCAAUAAUUGGGAUUGGAGGUAUUGGAAAAACAACCGUUGCUCAAUUGCCUACAAUGAUGAGAGAGUGAAGAAGCAUUUUUAUUUGAAGAUUUGGAUCUCGCUAUAUGAUGAUUUCAAUCCUAGGAAGAUUAUGAGUGAAAUGUUGGAUUAUGCUGUGAAGGGCAAGUAUUAUUCGAUGUCCCAGAUGGGUUUACUGCAGUCACAAUUGAGGACAGCAUUGUACGGAAAAAGAUAUCUCCUUGUGUUGGAUGAUGUUUGGAAUGAGGAUCCAGAUGAAUGGGAUAAAGUAAGGAAUCUGCUAGGGGAUGGUACAAAUGGAAACAAAGCUAUUGUCACCAACCGGAGCCAGAAAGUUGCAUCCAUAAUGGGCAGUAGCCCUGCUUACCAUUUGGAAGCCCUGUCGAGGAUGAUUGUUGGACCUUGUUCAAGCAGCGAGCCUUUCCUGAUGGAGAUGAAAAUGGUUUUCCAAACUUACUACCUGUUGGAAAACAGAUCAUUGACAAGUGCAAAGGAGUGCCUUUGGCAGCCAAAGUUCUUGGAAUCUUAAUGCGGUUCAAACGCAAAGAAAGUGAGUGGUUGAGGGUGCAAGGGAGCGAAUUAUGGAAUAAUGAUGGAGGGGAGAAUAAAAUACUACUGGUCCUAAAGUUGAGUUUCGAUCAUCUGCCAUCACAUUUAAAGAGAUGCUUUGCUUUUUGUGCGGUUUUUCCGAAGAAAUUUGAAAUAUGCAAGGAAAAGUUGAUCCAUCAAUGGAUUGCCGGGGGUUUAGCUCAACGUUCUGCUCAUGAUCGGGUGUCCAAACCUGAAGACAUCGGCUCCGACUAUCUCAAUGAUCUGCUAAGGAUGUCUUUUUUGGAAGUGGUGAGUGGAUGUGGUGACAGCAGCACGACAAGGAUUAAAAUGCAUGAUCUUGCUAUAUCAGUUGCUGGUAAUGAAUUCCUCGCUGCAGGGAAGACUGAACAACAAGGGACCUUGGAACAGAGCCACUCCUUGCCAAAAGUGUGUGAUUUCUUCACAACAACUAGACAUGCUGUGGUUGAUUGCAAUUCUUCGUCCGGCCUGAUUCAUAAAGCCUUGUACAGAGCAAAGGGAUUGCGUACCCACAAUUUGUUGUCUCUAGGAGAUGCAUCGGAGAAAGCCAUCAGGAAUUUAAUUUCAAGCUUCAAGUACCUCAGAAUUUUGAAUUUGAGUGGGUUUGGCAUAAAACAUUUGCACAAAUCUGUUGGUGACUUGACAUACCCGAGAUAUCUUGAUCUCUCCAACACUCCAAUUGAAAAAUUACCAGCAUCUAUUUGUAACCUUCAAUUGCAGACACUAGAUUUAUCAAGUUGCUAUAAUCUUCAAAAGUUACCCAAAAAGACGAGAAUAAUGACCAGCCUGAGACAUCUGAAGAUAAAAAACUGUACAAGACUUGCUCGCUUGCCAGGUUUUAUUGGGAGAUUGAGAAAUCUUCAGAGCAUGCCUAUAUUUAUAGCUGGCAAAACAUGGGAGGAAGGCAUAUUGCAGUUACUAGAGCUACAAAAUCUUCCAGGUGAACUGAAAAUAAAACACCUCGAGAAUGUAGAACGUCGCCAUGUUGCAAGAACAUGUUUAAUUUCAGAAGAUCUUCCUGGGAAUAGACGUGACUAUUGUUUGGAAAAUAUGCAACUUAACUCGUUGGGAUUGUCAUGGGGAGAUGCUGAUGAACAUAAGCUGAGUGUUAGCAUGAGGGGACCAAGAAGCCAAACUGGACAUCAUAGUGUUGAAACUGCAAGGAUUUUACUUGAUUCAACAUUGAAGCCAAACUCCAGGAUAAAGAAGUUGUUUGUGAAUGGCUAUCCAGGAACUGAGUUUCCAAAUUGGAUGAACACAGCCGCCCUCUGCAAUCUGAUACAACUUGAGUUAGCCAACUGCACAAAUAGUGAAAGCCUCCCCACGCUUGGGGAAUUGCCGCUGCUGAAAGUUCUCCGUAUCCAAGGAAUGGAUUCUGUAGUGAACAUCGGCAAUGAGUUCUUUGGUGGCAUGAGAGCUUUUUCAUCAUUGACCGAGUUCUCUCUCAAAGAUUUUCCCAAGUUGGAAACCUGGAGCACCAAUCCGGUGGAAGCAUUCACUUGCUUGAACAAAUUAACUAUCAUCAACUGCCCAGUUUUGAUCACCAUGCCAUGGAUCUCUUCAACAUGUAGAGAUCAGAAACUGCCACCCAGUGAUGCUACGGUCAGUAGCACAGCUACGAUCAAUCUCCACUCUCAUUAUUGGCAAUUCUCCGGAGUUACUCUAUAUACCAAAAGCACUCAUAGAAAACAACUUGCUUCUCUCGUCUUUGACAAUUUCCUCCUGUCCCAAACUUCGUUCAUUGCCUGCAAAUGUUGGGCAACUCCAGAACUUGAAGUUUCUAAAAAUAGGCUGGUUUCAGGAGCUACACUCUUUGCCACAUGGUUUGACAAAUCUGACUUCUCUGGAGUCCUUGGAGAUUAUUGAGUGUCCUAAUUUAGUCUCCCUGCCAGAGCAAAGCCUAGAAGGAUUGAGUUCGCUGCGAUCACUCUCCAUUGAGAAUUGUCACAGCUUAACUUCUCUGCCGAGUCGGAUGCAACAUGCCACAGCCCUUGAACGCCUAACUAUUAUGUAUUGUUCAAAUCUGGUGUCUUUGCCAAUUGGCUUGCAACAUCUCUCUGCACUUAAAAGUCUAAGCAUUUUAAGCUGCACAGGGCUGGCAUCUCUGCCUGAGGGACUACAAUUUAUUACAACAUUGCAAAACCUGGAAUUUCACGACUGUCCAGAAGUCAUGGAAUUACCAGCAUGGGUGGAGAACCUGGUUUCACUUCGAUCUUUGACAAUCUCAGAUUGCCAAAACAUCUGUCCUGAACUCGAAAAACGAUGUCAGAGAGGGAACGGAGUGGAUUGGCAAAAAAUAUCUCACACACCGUAUAUUUAUGUUGGAUCAUCAACAUUGCAGCAGAGACGUGACACCUGCUAGCAGCUCUUCAACUUCAUAGGCACACCUCUUCCAGGUCUUAAUUCGUGUAAAUUUUCUAUUCCAAAACACACUUAAUCAUUGAAUAAUCAAUAAAUUUUAAGUUCUCUUGCAACAUUUCAGGUCCGAAACCAUUGAAAGGAUGCUCUUUAUCCAAAGCACCAAGAAUCCGUCCCACAAGGGGGUACUCUGCUCUGUCAUUUACUUGUAUUUGUAAAAUACAAAAUAAGGUACAUUUUUCUAUUGAAUGUUGCUUGGAUUUGUUGCAAGUCAAAGGAUUCCAGUUAGUGCAUUUGUUCUUCAGAGAAUUCAGUACCUUGUUUUCUGCUUGUGUAACAUAUAUUUCAUGAAUAACUAGAGCACUCUGUCAUUACUUCCUCUUGUAACUUCACUUUCAAUAAUUGUUUACAAGAAAAAUAAUAUUUGCCCUUGUUGGAAGGAAAAAAGAACAAACAAAAGAAAUGUCCUCUGUGUGUUCAAGUGUUAAUUAUUUCAUCGAAUUAUUGAGCUCCAACAGACAACACUAUGAUUUGAUAAAUUUAGAAUAUUAAUAAUUCUAAAACGUAAGUUAAACAUUCCUAUUUAUACCAUUUUUACAUCGAAAUCCUAAUCAGAAACGAAUCUUUAUUGAAAAGCUAUAUAGCUAAUAUAUAAUCUAAUUAGCAUUAGUAUCUCUAAAUAGGAUAAAAAGUAAAAUAAUUACAGAAGUAAUACAAUAAAUAUGUAAAAAACUCACUCGAUAUUCGUCUGCCCUCAUUCAAAUAUAAAAAACUGUUGUAUUUGUGUAAAUAUCUCCUCCAAUUAUGUGACUGAGAAUGUAUGAUUUUGACUCCAAUUUGUUUGUUGGGUAGAAACUCUAUACAAUUACAGAAAUCCAAUCUCCAAGCUUCAUUAGUCAGGACCCUGUCAGUCUCUUCAGCACCAAGCCCAACCUACCAAGAAACAGCUUACAAACCCAGAUCCAUUGAGAGUAGACAAUAAAUGCGCCAACAGUGCGAGCAUUGCAUUGCAAUAAUUUAGUCACUGGCAACGCAUGUUUGAUCCGCCGCCAUCAAACAUUCCUGGAAAAAGACGGGUUGAAGACUAAUAUUUCUUGGUCUCCUUUAUAUCAUAAUUAAAUCUUAAUUUGCUGACUAGAUAGACAUUAAUUAUAGCAAUUAUCCCACUUCCUUUUCGUCUUCUUUUACUAAGGAAAACCAUUUGUUAUAAUAAACUAAAUAAGGUGUUCUUUGGUAAAUGUUUUUUUUUAAUAUUUUUUUAUUUUAAAAUGUAUUUUUUUAAAAAAAAUUAAUAACAGUACAUCAAAAUAAUCUAAAAAUAUAUAUAAAAAAAUUAAUUUAAAUAAAAAAAAUUCAAAAAUCUUAAAAGGCACAACUAGGCUUCAAAAACAAAUUGUAACUAAGUAAAGUAGCGUUGGGAUAUAAAUAUUCUAGAAAUGGGAACUUCUUAUGAUUAACUUGUUUAUGAUUAAUCAAAAGAGUUUAUUAAUUAGAUAAAUAAAGCUACAACAAUUAACCGAGGUAGAUAUUGAUGGAUUUUAACCUCUAUGAGGUGAAGGUGGAGUCGUGUAAAUUCAUGACUUAUUAGUUAUGAAGGUCGGUAGGAUAAUAUAUAUUCUCUUAUUCAAUGAAACUCCAUAUUCAAAUUUAUAAAUAUAAAAUUUUAUUUUAUUAACAAUUCUUUCUAUAUACUUAAAAGGGAAACUUUUAUUGAGCAUUUUGUAAUUUAAUCAUUUUGAUCACUUUGUCUUUAUUUUAUUUUUUAAAAUUACAAUUUACAUCUUGGAUGAAAGUCAUUUUUUAAUUUUGAAAAAAAAUACAUUUAUUUUCAUAUAUAAUACAACAUAAAAGGAACAAAAUAACAUAUCACUUAAAAAAAAAAUUAUCUGCGCAAUUUACGAGUGGAAAAACAAUUAAUCACGCUUUUUUAAACCCUAAACAAACCCAAAAUUGAGAUAACUCUAACUUUCAAAUUUUUGUUAGGAAAAAAGGAUUUGGUUCGCUGAGGAGGCUGCUAAUGAGAAGGAAGAUAGGGGAAGUAAGAAGUCUCGAUCCUAGUGAAGGUACGACAAAAAGUUGAAGCCCAUUUGAAAGAAUUGCCAUGAAAGCAUAUGUGAAGGGGCGGUGGUGGAGUAAUGAGGUGUUAGUGGUUGUUACAGCGGUGGUGAAGCAAUGGUAAUGGAAGGUGGCAUUAAUAGAGAUAAUGGUGGUUCGGUGGUGGUGGUGGAGAAGCAGUACCAGUGAUGAAGGUGAUGGUGGAUAUUAGCAGUAGCUGCAAUGACAAUGGAGAUGGUGGAGUGCUGGUGAUAAUGAUUUAAAUCAUUAGGAGAUAUUUUGAAUGAACUACUAUCCCUAAAAUGUUUUUUAUAAGACUUUAUGAAUCAAAAAUGUUUUUUUAACUUAUAAUUUAAAGAUUCAUUAAAAUAUUCAUAUUAACUUAUAAUUUUAUAAAAUAUUUUAUUGAAAACAAGUAGAAUAAAUUUAGGAAAACAUAUUCCAGUAAAAUAUUUUAUACAAAACAUGCCGAUGACUUAUUAUUUUGAGAGAACUUAAGGUUAAAUAUACUUUUGCUUAUUUGUUUUAUGGAUCCACUGAGAGUAGAGAAAAAACUCAAAGCACAUGUAGCCUGAAUUCUAGAAGACCGCUCACUCCUGGAUGAAUGCUAUUGCUUCUUCUUUCUAUUUUCUUUUUUAUUCAAUAUUCUAUUCUCUCUGGUUAUUUAAUUAUCAGUAAAUUAUUCUAUUAAAAAUUUUCACUCUAAUUAACCUGUUAUAUAAAAAGUUACUCUUAUAACUCUAUCAAAAAAAAGAAUCCCAUAACUAAUGCCGAACACAAUUUUACUUCUGAGAAAUGCGCACAAAUUUCAACUUGACAUAAUUCACUAUUCUACUAUAAUACGACUUCCACACUUGCUCUCAAACAUAUUCCUACCACAAUCUCAUGUACUCGUCUACAGAAAACCACUAUUGAUCAACCUGCGCCGGAACAUAUUCCUGCCUCAAUCUCAUGCACUCGUCUACAGAAAGCCACUAUUGAUCAAUCGAAUACCAGAAGCCGAAAUGCUUUCUUUCAGCUAUGAUGCGAUAAUUGUUGGCACCAUUCUCUUGAUCAUGCAUAGUCAAGGUAACUCUGUCUCCCUGCCUAAGCCUUUUCUGAAGAACAUAGAUGCCCCAUUGACCAGAUAUCCAAGGUUUGGGAUACUUACCUUCGUUGCGAACCGAUAUCUUCAGUCUCCAAGGUUGGUCUAGCAUGUCAACUGCAUCGAAUUCAACUGAAUUUUGACCAGCGGGCAAGGAGAAAGCCCACAAGCUCUCGGUCGGAAAUUCAAGUCUUUUAUUACUUGUGUCACUUCCCGAUAACAGUUUGGCCAUCACCUCCAUUUCUAGGGUUCGGCUGAGAAAAAUGUGCAGAUGGUUAAUUUGAAGAAUUUCAAGGAGGGAUAGUGAUAUGGAAGUUGGAUAUAUAUUGAUAGAUUUAAGUCGUAUUUAUAAAGUUGAUCUUUAUGAACCUCAAUCUCCCCGAUUAUUAAAUUCUAGAACUUGGAUUGGGACAUGCACAGAAGUUUCUGGUGAUCUUUCAAAUGGUCAUUGACCUGAGUUUUUUUUACUUUAAAAAUGAAAGUGGAGUCAAGUGGCAUGCAAGGUUAAAAAAUACGGUUCAAUUAUAUGAUUAACUGUUAAUAAGAAAAUAAAUUCUUAAUUACAAUUGUUUAUAGUGUAGGUUUCAAUUGUUUAUUACAUAAGUUACUUUUAAGAUUUGAAGGAUGAACAAAGAUAAGGCCUUCUUCUAGAAUAAUAAAAAACACCUUUGAAGUUUAUGAUAAGAAGAAGAAUUGGAAAACACGCAAAUAAAAGUUCGAUUAUAGAUAAAUUACAGAGCUAAAUAAAAUUAAUUACAAAUAUCAAUCCUACCCACAUAUUUGCUUAGCUAUAAAAAUACCUAAAUAAAAGUAAUAAUAAUUAAGGGUCCACUAGUUUCAGAUAAAAUAAUUUUUAAUGUUUAUCUUAAAAAGUAUUUUUACAUAAAAUAUUUUAUAUGUAAAAUGUUCAUGAUGAGAUGGUAAUAAUAAUUGUGCCAUAAUAGUUGUUAUAAAAAAUAAAAAAUAAAAAAGAUGAUAGUGAAUUUUUUUUGGAGGUGGUUAACAAUAAGAUGGUAAUAAAAAAAUAAUUAUAAUAUUAGAAUAAUGGUGACAUGGUGAAAAGAUAUAUAGUAACAGUGAUUGAUUGAUAAUAAUAUUAUAAUGAUGAUAGUUACAUGAAUAAUAUUUAUCAUGCAUGCAACGAAAGGAAUAUCGUUUUCAAUUGUUUAUUACAUUCGUUUGCAAUUAAGAUUUGAAGUAUGAAAGAAAAGAAAAUUUAAGGCUUUCGUGUAACACCUUGAAAAAAAAACAAAUUUGAAUAUAAAUGAUGUCAAAAUCAACAUCACCGUUGGCUUUCAGUGUUGCUUGUUAUAAUAGUGAUUUGGUGACAUUAACUGACUGGUUGAGAUUGUAGUUUUGAUUGUUUUUUAAAGUGUUUUUUUGUGUUAAAAUGUAUUAAAAUAAUAUUUUUUUUAUUUUUUAAAAAUUAUUUUUGAGAUCAGCGCAUCAAAACGAUUCAAAAUAUACAAAAAGAAUUAAUUUUUAGCAAAAAGAAUUAAAUUUUGGUGGAACGCGGGCCCUCUAAAGCUAAACAAUUUUGGUUUAUGUGUUAAAAGCAUUUUAAAAAAAGUUUAAUUUUUUAUAUUUUUAUAUUAUUUUGAUUUAUUAAUAUCAAAAAUAAAUUUUAAAAAAUAAAAAAAAUUAUUUUAAUAUAUUUUCAAAUAAAAAAUACUCAUUAAAACAACCGCUACUAUAAUAUUAAAUGAGAUUUAAUGGAAUUAUAGGUUAUUUUAUUUUAUUUCAUGGAAUUGGAUUCAACAAUAUUUAGGACUAUAUAAUGUAUAUUUAUAUUAAACUCUAGCUUUAGAAUAGGUAUUAGUAAUUUUUAAUAUAUAUCUUUAGCAUGCAGCUCGACUCUGCUCGGUUCACUUCACUCCUCUCGCUCUGCUUCCCCAUGCUCCAGCAUCUGUAUAAAUGAGGCACAAACUACAACAAUUACAUAUCAAUCCUUAUAGGGCUGCUUUAUAUAUAAUUCUCUCUGUUACUAAAAAAAUAAAAAAAUAAAAACAGAAAGGUUGAAACAUUGAAUAUCAAAACCAGAUAUACUCUCAUUGCUCUGUUUUGCUAGAUUAGCAGCAACAAAAUUGCCUUGUCUAAGUACAUGACUAAAAGGUGCCCUUUUCACUUUUUUUUUUUUAUUAUUAUUAAUAUAGAUAUCCGGACUAGUUUGUGCGUAUCUCAAUUAAUCCCACAAGUCUUAAAAUUAUUAAUCAUAUAAGCUUCCGGUGAUCCUAAAAUUUAUGAAAUGUGAUGUACAAAUAAUAUUAAGUUUCUUAGCAUUUAACAAUUUUUAAAUAAAAUAUAUUUAUUAGUUUACUAGUUCGAGAGAGAGAGAAAAUACAUAAAAGACAAUAAACAGUUCCUUUAAAAUUUCUUACCCCUCCUUUCUAAAAAAUAUUAAUAAUUAUCCUUGUAAAAUUUAACUUCAUUAGUCUAAGUGUUUUUGUUACCAUUUUUUUUGUUUUGAAUUUAACUCUUAAAAAGAUGAUAAUUAUCUUGUAAUUAAAUAGAUAUAGGUUUCAAUUGUUUAUUAAAUACGUUGCUAUUAAGAUUUGAAGGAUGAAACAAAUAUAAGGCUUUCUAGUGUAAACCCUGACCUCUGCACGGUCAUCUGCCCUAUCACCACCACCAAUCUACCUCGCCACCACCGAUAACCAUCCUUCUUUCGGGCCACUGCCUUCUACACCACCCUCCAACUCCACUUCCGACCAUCAUCAAACCCUCCCUUCAAACCAACCACUACUGGAGCCCAGCCGCCACAACCCACUGUCCAGCACCCACACACAAAUCACCAUCGCCAACCAGCUGUAGAUCCAAACAAAAUACUAUAUGCAUGCAUCACUAUCUUUCUUGAACUCUCACACCACUAACCUGGCUUUGUACUUUAAUCCUCCUACUCACUUGCUCAACUCAUUUGAUUAUAACUAGAAAUGGAGGUGAUGAACAAAAUUCUCUCGGCCUUCCCCGUGCCUGAUGGUCCGAACUCGGUCGAAUUUGUGGCAUAUAUAUGACAAACUAGAACAGCAAUGGAGACUUAAGGUCUCCUUCUGCAGUGAAGGUAACUAGGGAAGUAUCUGAAACCUUGACUAAAGGGCGAAUUAAUGAGAUGACUAUGUUCGUCAGAAGGGGCUGGAGAAAGGAGUUAAUGCUAUCUUGACCAUGCAUGAGCAAGAGAAUGGCGAAAGAAUUUACUGUAUCAGAGCUGAAAGAAAGUUUUCGGUUUCUGGUAUCCAAUUGAUGAUAAGCAAUAAUGAGGUAUGUUUAUUUUUAUGUUUUAAAAAAAUUUAAAUUUUUUUUGUUUUUUUAUUUCAAAUUAAUAUAUUUUUUUUAUUUUUAAAUUAUUUUAAUGUUAUGAUAUAAAAAUAAUUUUAAAAAAUAAAAAUAUAUAUUAUUUUAAUAAACAAUGAUCUUAACUACAUUCUCAGAUACUCUCCAAACAAAUUGAACAUAUCCCCAUGUCUAGUGUGAUAGGCAAGCAGAAUCUAUCUUUUGGAGCUGUCUGAAUUAAAAUGCAAUACGUGUCUGUCUAGAAGAAAGGAACUCCUAGCUAGUCGUAAGAAUAACUGUCCCUAUGAAUUUGUUGCCUGCAGUAUACCUGGGUGUUCUGUCCUUUGGCUUUUUGUUGAAGAAAAUCUAACUAUCUUUUGGCUUUUUGUUGAAUAACUGUCCCUAUGAAUUCGUGAAAGUGAUUGGGUACAAAAUCUAACUAUCUUUUGGCUUUUUGUUGAAGAAAAAAAAACAGAGAGGAGGGGCAACCAGAGAGAGAGCAAUAAACAUACACACUUGGUCCACCAAUUCGAAUAUGAACACAAGAAAAAGAAAAGAAAAGGUGACAUGUCAAUUAAAUGCCAAAGCAGAUGAAAUGUUCAGAACAUUAAUAAACAAAUAUGUUCUUUCUGUUUUUUCUCGCAGGCAAAGAACAUCAAUUUGACGUAAAUUGUGAGUUUUGAUGCAUGUUUUCCUCAUUAUCACGACCAUUCGUCGUGAAAGAUCCAAUAAAGAAUAGAGAUAGAAGAAGAAAGCAGAUUGUGGGCUACAUUUGUUUUCUUUCUAUCAUAGUGCGCAUCUUUUGAGGUCCUACUUGUUUUUGACGGAUGUGCAAUCUAUUCAUUGCUGAUAAAGUUAGUUAUAAUUGUUUUUUAAAAUAUUUUUUAUUAUAUUAAAAAUAAUAUUAAUAUAUCAAAAUAAUCUAAAAAUAUUAAAAAAUAUUAAUUUGAAAAAAAAAGAAAAAAAAAGCUUGAUGUAUAUGUUUGCAUAUUCAGUUUGGUGCAUUAAAAAGCUGAGAUGGUAUUGGAAUACCAAUUUUCUUUUUUUUCCGGAUGUGUUAAUGGCAUGGUUGAUAUAUAUGCUUGACUUUUAAGUUUAGAAGGUUAUCUCUAGUAUAAUAAUAAUUAUUUUUUAAUAUAUUUUAUUUUGCUUGAAAAUAUAUCAAAAUAAUAUUAUUUUUUUAUUUUUAAAAAUUUAUUUUUAAUAUCAACAUAUCAAAACUAUAAAAAAAACAAUAAAAAAUUAAAUUAAAACAAAAAUUAAAUUAAAAUUUAAUGUCAAACAUAGUGUGGACACUUUCACUUCUUUUUCUUUAUUUCUUGCUGCCAGAACCCCUCAUUGUCUAAUCAGACCUUAAAUAAAACAACCUUCGUGUUCGUCGUCGUAUAUUCGGCAACAAGGGCCAGUAUUGCAGUUAAUUUAUUCAACAAAGAAUCAUGUUGCAAUUACUGAGAAAGGUUAAGCCAUGUUAAAGAAUCAUUUCAACCCAAUAGCUUAAACUGUUAGGUAAGGUUUCAGGAUAUGAUUUAUAUUAUUCUCUAACACACCCCCUCAAGUGAAAGCCCUUUGGGCUUGAAACUUGCACAAGUUCACAUUACCUUGUGCUUAAUUUUUAUCAAAUAAAUAGGUAUGGUGAGAUUCGAACUCGUGACCGCUUGGUCAUCAAGGCUCUGAUACCAUGUCAAAGAACCAUCUCAAUCCAAUAGCUUAAGCUGUUAGGUGAUGUCCCAGGAUAUGAUUUAUAUUAUUCUCUAACAAGCCACAUGCAUAAACAUUAAAAAAAAAAAAAAAAAAAAAAAAAAAAAAAAAACACCGAUGAAAAAGAGAUGGAAUCUGUGUUCUAUCAGCUUUUGUCACUUUUUUCUAAGAAAAAAGAAAAGGAAGUUAGAUAUAGACCUUCCUUUGCCCUUUUUGUCUCCUGUCACAUGCAUGCCCAUGUUUUUUUCUCCGCGUAUAUUUAAUUAGAGACUUUACUUCAUUGUUUUUAUUUGUUUACUUUGGGUGGAAGUUUUUACUAAUUUUAUAAAUGAUUUAGAUUUUCUUGAGUUUGUUUUUUUCAUUAUUUAUUGAAUUUUUGUGGCUAGUUUUUAAAGUUGAUAUUUUUCAAUUUCAUCUUUAAAUAUUUAAAAUAUUUUUUAAUAAUUUAUAAAACUAGAAUUAUUUUUCAAUUUCACCUCCUUUAAUUUUUUUUAUCUUUCAAGUUUUGGUCCAUAUUUUUUAUUGUUAUUUGUUUUUUUAUAAUAAUUUUAAAAUUGAUUUUCUUUUCUUACAAUUUCAUCUUCCUUAACCUUUUUCAUUUUACUAUCAAUUGUUUAUCACAUACAUAUGCUAUUAAGAUUUGAAGGAUGAAACAAAAGAAAAAUAAAGUUUUCUAGUGUUAAACCCUUAAAAGAGAAGCAACAUAUUGAAGUUGAUGAUAAGAAAACGUGAUGGAAAAUGUCAUAACCCAUUUAGGCCUUUUCUGGGAGACAACCCCAAAAGGAUAUCAACCCGGAAAGUACUAGUGAUCUCUCAUAUUCAUACAAGGCUAAGAUUGUUGAAAGAAAGGUUAUUGAUCAUGAUUGGCCAUGUUUGUUUGAUUAAAAUUAUGCUGAACUCACUAUCCUUAUAUUACAUGUUCAUCUUUCUUAUGCCAAAGGGUGUUGCUCAAGUGAUAAGUUCCAUUUAGACAAGAUUUUUAUGGGCUAGAGUCUUUGAUGCAUGAGAAAUUUGUAACAUUCCAUGGAAUAUAGUUUUGAGAGAUGAGAAAAGGAGGCUUAGGUGUGAGAAUUUUUGUAAGUAAAAGAUAUAGCCAGGUUGUUUAAAUGGUUGCAGAGGGUAAGAGAUCAGAAUAAAAGGAACUAUGCAAAGGAAUAGUUCCACCGAAUAUUGCAAUGUUCUUGUUAGAGGAAAGUUCUAGCAUUAGGAAAUCCUCAUGUUUUCUUAUGAAAUUUUGUAGGAAAUUUGGCUUUUUAGAAAUAAAUUGAAUUUUGAUAAUGAGAUGCUAGAUUGAAAUAUAGUUUUUGAGUUGAUUCUUCAUUGCUUAGUAUCAUUGUUAAAGACAAUGAAUGGUAAUUUUAAUUAUAUAGGAGUGGACUUAGUCAGAAGAUGAGAUUGAAUACUGAAAUGGACAAAUAAGUAAUGAUUUCAUUAUAUGGCUAUAAUCCUAUUUUAAUUUUAAUGUUCUCAUGUAAACCUUUUAUGUUUUUCUUGUUUUUGUUGGUCUGUUUUGUUUCAAUUAUGCUUGUUAUUCAUAAUGUUGUUUGUUGGAAUGAAAAAAGCGUUUUUUAGAAGCCUUAAAUGACUAUGGGAUUUUGGGUUUUCUGGACAUAUUAUGGAUUCAUAUUCUUCAUGUUCAUCCAAAGAAUAAUUUCAUAAAUACUAGUUUUAGGGUUUAUUUUGAUUCAAUUCUAGUUUCUACAAGUUAGUAUAUCAUUAUUAAUAAAUAAUCUAGGAGUGCUAAUACCUUUCAUAACAACUAGUCUAAAAAUAAAGAUAAUUAAUAAACAAAUCUCAUUCCUUUUUUCCUGGGUUUGAAGGUCAUCUAAUUAAUUUAUUCUUUAACUAAAGUUUUUUUUUUUUUUCUGUGAAAGACUUGAAGAUACAUUUCAACGCGGUGCAUUUUUAUAAUAUUGGUUUCAAAAUCUAAAUUAAAAAAAGUUAAUCAUCAUAUUCAUCCUCUUAAUCAAUGUUUAUACCCGACUUUGAAUUCCAUAUUGAAUUCCAUAUCUAAGACUACAAACAAAUGCAUGAACAAAAUCACUGAAAAAUCUUUUACGUACCCAAAAAUAAAGAAAAGAAAUUGUCAUGUCCAUGGCUGUCAUGAGAUUGGGUGUAUUUAGACUAGAAAUGGUGAAAAAGGAGAAAAACGUGUGCCGACAGUGAUCUACGGUUGAUUGGGCAAGACUUUAGGAUGACGAUGAACAUAGGACAGCCAGGCUGUAUAACAUUCAUUAUCUUUCAUACUUUUUUUUUUUAUUAUUAGAUUUUAUUUUCAAAGGUCUUUUUAAUAUAUUAAAAUAAUAUUUUUUAUUUUUAAAAAAUUAAUUUUUUAUAUCAACAUUUCAAAAAAAAUUAAAAAUAUAAAAAUUAAUUUUAAAUAAAACAAUUCAAGAUUUUAUUUGGCCCUAUUUGUUUUUGCGUUUCAAAAGCGCUUUUGAAAAAAUUUAAAACUUUUUAUUUUUUUCCUUACUUCAAAUUAAUAUGUUUUUGAUGUUUUUAAAUUAUUUUGAUGUGGUAAUAUCAAAAAUAAUUUUUAAAAAAUAAAAAAUAUUAUUUUGAUAUAUUUCGGAAUGAAAAACACUUUAAAAAACAAUCGCAACCACACUUCCAAAUAGACCCUUCUUAGUAUUUGUUGAGAGUAAGUUAUUGUUGUGUUUUGGUACAUUUUAAAAAUAUAUUUAUUUUAAAAAAAUUAAAUUAAUAUUUUUAAUUAUUUUAAUGUGUUAAUAUUUAAAAUUAAAAAAAUAAUUAAAAAAUAUUUUUAAAAACAUUUUUUUAUCAUAAUAUUAAACACAAACUAGGUCUAACCUCAAGCAUGCAUAAAAAAACAUUCUAGAAAGAAAUUCUGAUGGCCAAUAUUAUCCAUAAAAGCUGAACAUACUCGAAUAUUUCAAAACCUUUUCAAUUGUGUUGAUGUCUAAAAUUAAAAAACAAAAGUUAUUUUAAUAUUUUUAAAAACAUUCUUAAUCGUACCAUGAAAUACACACUGCGUCUAGCGUCAAACAUGCAUAAAAAACACUCUAGAAAGAAAUUAUGUUGGCCAAUAUCCAUUAAAGCUGCACAUGCUUGGAUAUUUCAAAACCUUUAUAGACAAAUAUAUAAAGCUGCACACUGCAUGAAAUAUACACUGCUCUGUUUCAUUUUUUGUUCCUCUUGGCCAGUUCCUUUUGUUACUUUUUAAAUAUUUUUAAUUCAACAAUAUAUAUAUAUAUAUAUAUAUAUAUAUAUAUAACCAACAAUUUUGCAAUCUAGCCUUUUCUACAUAAUAGUAAAAGCUAUUAUAAUUACAAACACAAACUUGAUAAAUUAAUAAAUAUAAUUUUUUUCUUUUGUAAAGCUUAUUAUUUUCAAAUUGAUUUUUUUUCAAACGAUCUUAAGACUCUUUUAUCCUCUUCAUAUAUUUAAAAGAAUAAAAAACCUUAUCUUUUGUAACUUUCCAGGAGGUUAAUUUGUAAAUAUGCUAUUUUAUUCAUAAUAUUGUACUCCUUAAUCUAUCAGUUCAUAGCGUGAAACCCUCACAAUGGACAAGUUCAAAAUCACAAAAUGAUUGCUGUUAGCCGCCACUUCUUGGGCUGGGCUGCAUGCCCAAGUAACAACCAUCAGGCUUUCUAUUAUAGAAGGUUUGGUUAUAUUAAAUUAUGUUUCAUAUUUCAUCCGUAUUAUCAGUAUUUAUUUGCGCUUCCCUCCUAUUAUAAUUAUUUUAGAUUAAUCAAAUAAAAUUUUGUUUUAUCAAAUUAAAUAUCAAACGCGGAUCAAAAUCUUUAUCACACCAUCACGAAUCCUCAUAUCAUUAAAAAAACACUAUUCAAUUCAAUCUCAAAUAAAUUUAAUGUGAAAGCAUUAAUUGUUUUUGUUUUUUUCUAAAUUAAGUGACGAAAUAAAAAGGUUGAUCUUUCUCCUGUCCAUGUCCUUGAUUCUUUCAAGAAAAAAAGGUUAAAUAUUUAUUUGUUGUUUAAAUUUGAUCCUUGUAAUUUUAAUUAUUUUUAAUUAAUAAAAUUUCAUUUAAUUUUACUAAACAAAGCAUCAAAAUAUUUUCAAACUCAAUCCCAAAUAAAUAGAAAUCCAAAGGAACAAAUCGAAAAAAAAAAGAUCAAAUGAAAAAAAGCCAAAGGAACAAAGAAGAAAAAAAGAAAAAGAAGAAAACAUUUCGGAACAUUAUUAUAAUCCACACCCUUUAUUUUUUUUUUCUUGUAAGAUUUACAAACAUAUAUAGAUUGUUAAAUGCAUAUAUUGUAGUAAUUAACUAGUUUAUAGGUAAGUGCUAUACUAUGGAUUAGAUUAAAAUAUUUUUGUAUGUAAAAAAAAAUAUUUUGGUUGUAGAGAACUAUUUAGCAUUGUUAUUAAACUCGGCCCAACAUGUCAACCUUGAAACCUCCUGAUUCGACUCCUUAUCUCAUUCGAGUUUAAAAUUAAAUUGUGUUGGAGUUUUUCUGACAUGAUCCAGUUGACUUGGCCGGUCUAAAGUCAACCUGAUCAAUUGAUAAAAAUGCAUGAAGAUGAAAUUGAGAAAAAAAAUUGAUGAAUUUGACAGAAAAAAUCUCUCAACCCAACUUCAUGCGAAACCUAGGUUUAAAAUGAAACCAUGUGAUAGUUGCCUUGAUGUGGUUCCAUCAACUUUGUUGGUCCAAAGACAACCUGAUCGAUCAGUAAAAAAAUUUGAAGAUGAAAUUGAGAAUAAAUAAUGAGAUUGAUAAGAAAAAAUAUCUCUCGAUCCAACUCCCUUUCUAGCCCAAGUUUAAGAUUAAACCUUGUGAAAAUUAUCGUAUUGUUAUCUAAUCAACUUAGCCGAUUUAGAAUGACUCUUGCUCCUACUAAAAAAAUAUGAAAUGUAAAAAAAUUGAAAAACAAAAGUUAAAUUGAAAAAAAAAAAAGCCCCUUUAAGUUACCCAAGUUUUUUUAGUGCACGAGGGUAAUUUAUCAUUAGAAUUCAUAUUAUCAAUCAUUGGCAACAUGUCCCCCAGAAUGCUGCUCAAAACUGAAUUUUCUUUCUUUAUUGUUGAGAUCCAAUUAUUUUAGUUAUUGAAAUUAGUGUUAAUUUUGAUUUUCUUUUUUUAUUAUUGAGAUCCAGUAACUCUUUCUCUUCUCUGUUAAACCAAGAACUUAAAAAUAAAAUAAAUGAAGUUUUGGAAUGAAAUUGAAUUUGUUCUUAAAUUUUGAAAAUUGGAGGAACAUAAUAUUUAUAAUUUGAAAAGGAUAAGGACUACAUUAAAUAUUUUACCCAAAGUUUGAAAUAGCCACUCAUUUCCUCAACGGUUUUCACCUUGGACACUGUUUUUUAAUCUCACUCUUUUCUAAAAAAGUUAAUUUAAAUUGGCUUAUAAUUCGAUCCUAUAGAGGUGAAGAAAAAUCAAUUUAUAGUAUUUUGUAUGGAAAUUUAUAGUGCAAAUUUACAUAGUGAAUUCCCCACUUAUUUUAGAAUUUUUUAAUUAUAAAGAAUGUGAUGUCUGUAGAAUUUUAAAUUAUUUAUCAUUUAAUAAUUUUUAAAUAAAAUAUGUUUAUUAGUUUGAGAAUGAGAGAAAAAAACAUAAAAGACAAACAAUUCCUUAAAAAUCUCCUACGCAUCCUUCCUUUCAAAGGUUAAAAUCCCCUCCCUCAACCCUUAUUUACACCUUUUAAAGGUUAAAUUUUAACCACCUUAAAGAUUGCCCUCCCCCAUUUUUUUCUCUAAACAAUUAUAAUAAUUAUCCCCAUCAAACACAUUCUAAGUGUUUUUGUUACCAAUUCGUUAUUUUUUAGAAUUUAAGUCGUAAAAGGAUGAUAAUUAUCGUGUAACUAAAUAGAUAAAACUAUACGUGAUGACUAAAUAAAAUUAUUUACGAAUAUCAAUCCUACCCACUUGUUUGCAGUACCUAAAUAAAAAUAAAAAUAACUAAAAUUAAGAGGUUCUGCCGAUAUCAAAAAAGUGUUGUCCAUGGUAGCUUGUGUCGCACGUGUGCGGCGUCGUAGCAAAAAUAUAUGUCUCACUUUAAAUCUAAAAUGUAAAUCUAUUUGGCAAAUAUGAGGAGACAAGAAAUUCUUGUUGUUUAUUGGUAGAAAAUGAAUGGGAGUCGCCACCUAAUAUUUUGGUCACUAGGAACCCUAACUGGUCUUAGAGAUCGGGUACGGGGACUGGUUGCGUAAAGGGAAGGUAUUAGCAUCCCCAAUACGCCUUACCUAAGGUAAGCUGCAUUGUUUGAUUGUCUGAUAAAAAACUAAGGUGUUAUCCUAUUUCAAUUGUUGGUCUAUUUACGGUUCAAGAAAAGUCCUCCUCAAUGAGGAGGUCCUUAUCUUAUCGGGUAAAAUCGUAACCGUUCUAACAUCUAUAUAAAAACUAUAUUUUUAAUGUCAGGAAUACGUUUUACGUAUAAAUUCAUAAUUCCCAAUACUAAAGGAAGACAAAAAGAUUUUUUUUAGAAUUUUUGAAAUAUUGGUCUAGUUCUCGUGGUUCUAACAAACUUAUUGUUAAAGCCAAAGUGCAUGCUAAUACAUAUAUUUUUUAAAAUUUCUUUUGUUGUAUGAAAAUAUGAUGUUAUGAUUUUUAAAAAAAAAUUUGGAGAGACUAGGCCGUAUGCAUUAAAAUAAAAACAUCCUUUUAUAUAUAUAUAUAUAUAUAUAUAUAUAUAUAUAUAUAUAUAUAUUUUGAUGUCUUGACGAAAAUUGAGUAUUUUAAUACUGGAUUAAUAGUAAGCCAUUUUGAUAAAAAUAUGCAGGAAAAUCAACGAUAUUUUUUAAGGAUUUUUCAGAAUUUUUGAAAGCAAAACAUUUUUUUUUUAUGUUUUAACAAAAACCGGGUAUUUUAAUACUGGAUUUGUAUCUUUACGGUAUAAAAAUACAAACCAAUAUUAAGCCAUUUUGAUAAAAAUAUAUAGGAAAAUCAAUAAUAUUUUUCAAGGAUUUUUCAGAAUUUUUUUAAUUAAUUUGUUUUAGAUAUAUAUCUAUAUAUAAAUAAUAUAUAAUAUUAGGUGGGCUGGGCUGGGCCGACCCAACUAACUGGGCCGGACUCAGCCUAAAAAGGGUUGGGCCGAUCUUGGCCCAGCAGAGAUUGGGCCGAUCUCGGCCCAACAAAGUCUCCUAUUUUUGUCUGGGUCGGACCUGGCCAAAACAGCAGGGAUGGGCCAGAAUCAGUCUGGCCCACAAAACACAUGGCUGGGCCAGAACCAGUCUGGCCCAGAGAAGAAAAUACCAACAAUGCUGGGCCAGAAUCAGCCUAGCCCAGCAACAUAACAUCAGGGGGGGAAUUAUUUCCCCCCUCCCCUCCUGCAUGCAGAACGUUGUUCGUUCUGCAUGCAGGGGAAAAACAACGAAGGUGCAGACAAUUAGGGGGGAGAAAAGUUACCUGGCGUGGAGGAGGUGAUGCGUUGCUGGUCUGGCUGCUUCGCUGGUGGUGCUGUGGCGGAGGCUGGUGGCGGUGUUGUGGCUCACGGGCGGCGGCUCCAAACAGUAAUGUUACUGCUUCAGGCGGUGGAAAAAAAGCUUUUGUUCUUCCCUUCUCCUCCGUUCUCCUUCUCUCCUUCUGCUGCGUUUCCUUUCCCCUUUGGUUUGCUUUGUAUCUUUACUGUUUUUUUUUUUUUGGUUUGCUUUCCCUUUCCUCUAAUCCUCACAGUCCCUCUCCCGUUUGUGUCUUCCCCAGUUCUUUCCUUUUUGGUCCGUUUUUAUCCCUCUCAAUUUGGGUUUACUGGUGGUUCCUUUUGUUUCCGGUUCUUCUUCCUCUAUUCACUUCCCCUUUUCUUUUUCUUUUUUCUCCCCUCUGUUACGUUACUCUCCUUUCGGUCACUUUCUCUCCUCUCUGCGGUUCGUUUCUUUCUCUCUUUUCCUUUGUUAUUUCUCUGCCUCUCCUCUUCCUUUUUCUUUCGCGUGCUGGCGUUGGGGGUAUUUAUAGGGCAAAAGAGAGCGGGGGCGUCCCUAUUGCCACCCUAUGGCAGCGCCUGGGGAGCAGGGCUUUGCUGCCCUACCACAGCGCCGAGUUGGCUGGCCAAUGGGCGAAGCUGGCAGGGCGCGGCUCCCUUGGUUUUUUCAUCAUGAGAGUGCAUGGGGGGUCGGGUUUCGGCAGGGCAUGCGGCGUCCAGGGUUUAAUGAAGAAAGAAGAGAAAAAUAACACUACCUUCCCCUGCUGCACGUCCAGGGGAAGGAGAAAGGAGAACAGUGUCGUUCAAAACGACACUGUUCUGCCCCUCUUUUUUUUUUUUUACAUGAAACGGUGUCGUUUUGGACAAAACACGCCGUUUCAUUUAAAUAAGGCGCCACACGUCAACUUCCAAAUCAGUCCUUAAUUUAUCUUUUGUUCAUUUCAAUUGCAUCCCUGACAACUUCAAUCUUCGCCCUUAUAGUUGGCUGCCUUUCCCACUUUGGUCCUUGGUCUCUAAUUUAUGCAAUUUGACCCUCAAUUGACCAAUAAACUUCUAAUUUCUUCAAUUUGGCCCCUGAUUGGGUUAAUUACAGCCCCUCUAUUUACGCGCCUUUUUCAAUUUGGUCCUUGGUUUCAGAUUUCCUCAAUUAAGUCCCUAAUUGGCCAUUAACCUUCAAUAUUUAUGCAAUUAAGCCCCUGAUUUGACCAAAUCAACUCUCAAAAAUUAUAAUUUGACCCCAGAACUUUAAUUUCUUCCAAUUAAAGCUCAAAUUGACUUAAAAAUCAAUUUUUCUUGCAAUCAAACCCUCUAUAAAUUCAAUUAAACCUUCAAUAAAAUCCAAUUGAGUCCAUAAACAUCCAAUUUUGGACUUUUCUCUUCAAAUUAAUUUUUCUUUUCCAACAAGGCUCUCAUCAUUCAAGUAUAUACUGUAAAAUUUCACUCCUUGUAUUUUUGAACUUCCUUAAUCAAUUUUUCUGAUCCUUUUCUGAACACUCCAACCUCCUAUUAUUUUUCUAAUUUCUUCCAGCUAUAUAUUUAUAUAUUUAUUUUUAUGGGGGAUCCAAAAUGGGUUACAACAGCUUGUACGUUCAUCGCCAAAAACACCAUUGGCUUUCAGUGUUGCUUGUUCUCAUAAUGAUUUGGUCCUGUAUCAUUAUUCAAAGCUAUACAACUUAAUUUGUCUUUAGCAUAUCUUAAUGGAAGGUGGUUUAUUUUAUUUAUUUAUUUAAUGGAAUUGCAUUCAAAAUUCAUUAAUUAAUAUAUAGUAAAUUACUUGCAAAGAAAAAACAGAAAGGCUACUCUUAAAUGGUGGUCUCAGCGCAAAAGACUUUUUUAGUGAGAGAGGAAUUAUUAUCUAUGAGAAAGGUCUGUCCUUUUUGCUGCAAGGAUAUUAAAAUUAUACAUCAACUUUUCCAUCAUUCUCUUAUAACAUAGUUUUUUUUUUUUUUUGAUAAAUUCUUGAAUUGGUUUGGAUGUUUAGAUUAUUUGCCUAGGGAUCCAAAUCAUAACUUGCAAGAAUGGUUCGGCUCCAUAAAAAAUAAUUUUUAGUGUCAUGCAAUUAUCCUUCUCCCUAAAGGACUUGACUGAUCUAUUCGAAUAACUCGCAAUCGUCUAAUAUUAGAGUCUAAGACUCCAGAUUGAGAUGUGAUUUUUUACUUUAUCUUUUACUAUUUGAUCUUUUGGUUAAAGUUUUCAGUUAGAAAUUUCAGCUACAUAAGCUUUAAUUUUUUUUAGAAUCCUUUAUGUAUCAUGAACUAGACUAAUUAGUUUGUUCUCUUGUUUCCUUGCUUUCCUUUUUUAUUUUAUCUUUGUAUUCUUCUUUUUCUUUUAGCUUCCUUUUACUUAUAGAACUGCUUUAUAUAUAAUUCUCUCUGUUACUGAAAAAAAAAAGGUUGAAACAUUGAAUAUCAAAACCAGAUGUACUCUCAACGCUUUGUUUUGCAAGAUUAAUUAGCAGCAACAAAAUUUUCUUGUCGGCCCCGUUUGUUUACUGGAAAGUAUUUUUUUUUUAAAGUAAAUUUCGGGAAAAUAAAUUAUUUUUCAAUGUUCGGUAGUGUAAUGGAAAAUAAGUUGAAAAAUAUUUUCAAAUGUUUGGUUAUGUCAUGAAAAAUAAGCUGGAAAAUAACUUAUUAAUGUUUUAUUUUUUUUCAAGUUUAUUAAAAUAAUGAGGAACAAAUCUUACAAAUUAAAAAGUUGAAUGAGAGUGAAAUUGAAAAAAAAAAUUCAUAAAUUAUCUCAAAUAAAAUAAAUAAUAAUCAAAAUAAUAGAGAUCAAAUCUAAAAAAUAAAAAAAUUGAAAGAUGAAGAAAUUAAAAUAAUAAUAAUUAACAUUUCAUAAAUUAUUUCAAAUAAAAUAAGUAACAAUCAAAAGAAUGAUGACCAAAUUUGAUAGAUAAAAAAUUUCAAUAAAAAAAUGAUAAGGAAAAAGCAAAUAACAAUUAUAAAAAUGAGGAUCAAAGUUAAUAUAAAAAUUAAAUUCUAAAGGAUGAAAUAUUUAAAACAAAAAAAAUAUAUAUAUAUAUAUAUAUAUAUAUAUAUAUCAAUCAAAAGUUUGAAGACCAAAUUUGAUAUAAUCAGCAAAUAAUAUAACAUUUCUAAAUUUUUCACAACUUCCAGAAAAUGUUUUCUUUCCAAAAUAAAAGGAAAACACUUUCCUGAAAACCAAGCCAAAUUUUUCUUUGACUGGAAAGUAUUUUUCAUUGACCGGAAAGUAUUUUCUGUUGACCAACUUUUCUAAUGGCAAACAAACACUUAAAAAUUUAAAAAUUAAAUUUUUAAAUAUUAUUUUCCGAAAAACAAAAACACAUGAAUAAAAAGUUUCCCUUUUCAGCCUCCUUGUCAUCAUGGUGAUUAUUUAUUAUUGAGGCAAUUAAUAGAAUUUGUCUGAUUCCAAGAUUCAAUUAAUGGAAUUUUAAACACCUUAACUAUUGUGCCCUCUCACGUUUUCUUUCUCUAAAAAAUAUUAAUAAUUAUCCUUGUAAAAUUUAACUUGUAAUGAUUUAAAUCAUUAUCACCAGCACUCCACCAUCUCCAUUGUCAUUGCAGCUACUGCUAAUAUCCACCAUCACCUUCAUCACUGGUACUGGUACUGCUCCUCCACCACCACCACCCCGAACAACCAUAAUCUCUAUUAAUGCCACCUUCAAUUACCAUUGCUUCACCACCGCUGUAACAACCACUAACACCUCAUUACUCCACCACCGCCCCUUCACAUAUGCUUUCAUGGCAAUUCUUUCAAAUGGGCUUCAACUUUUUGUCGUACCUUCACUAGGAUAGAGACUUCUUACUUCUCCUGUCUUCCUUCUCAUUAGCAGCCUCCUCAGCAAACCAAAUCCUUUUUUUCCUAACAAAAAAUUGAAAGUUAAGAGUUAUCUCAAUUUGGGGUUUUUUUAGGGUUUAAAAAAACGUGAUUAAUUGUUUUUCCACUCGUAAAUUGCGCAGGUAAUUUUAUUUUUUAAGUGAUAUGUUAUUUUGUUCCUUUUAUGCUGUAUUAUAUAUGAAAAUAAAUGUAUUUGUUUUCAAAAUUAAAAAAUGACUUUCAUCCCAGAUGUAAAUUGUAAUUUUAAAAAAUAAAAUAAAGACAAAGUGAAAAAUGAUUAAGGCCUCGUUUGUUUGCUGAAAAGUAGUUUUCUUUUGGAAAGUGAAUUUUGGAAAAGUGAAUUAUUUUCUGAUAUUUGGUAGUGUAAUGGAAAAUAAGUUGAAAAACACUUUCCAGUGUUUGGUUAUGUCAUGGAAAAUGAGUUGAAAAAUAACUUAUUAAUGUUUUAUUUUUCUCAAGUUUAUUAAAAUAAUGAGGAACAAAUCUUACAAAUUAAAAAGUUGAAUGAGAAUGAAAUUGAAAAAAAAUAUAAUUUCAUAAAUUAUCUCAAAUAAAAUAAAUAAUAAUCAAAAUAAUAGAGAUCAAAUCUAAAAAAUAAAAAAAAUGAAAGAUGAAGAAAUUAAAAUAAUAAUAAUUAACAUUUCACAAAUUAUUUCAAAUAAAAUAAGUAACAAUCAAAAGAAUGAGGACCAAAUUUGAUAGAUAAAAAAUUUCAAUAAAAAAAUAAUAAGGGAAAAGCAAAUAACAAUUAUAAAAAUGAGGAUCAAAGUUAAUAUAAAAAUUAAAUUUUAAGAGAUGAAAUUGAAAAAUAAAUAUUCAAAACAAAAAAUAUAUAUAGUAAUCAAAAGUUUGAGGAUCAAAUUUGAUAUAAUCAGAAAAUAAUAUGACAUUUCUAAAUUUUUCACAACUUCCGGAAAGUGUUUUUUGUUGACCAACUUUUCUAAUGGCAAACAAACACAAGGAAGUUUGGAAAGUGAUUUCCCGAAAACCACUUUCCGGAAAACAAACAUAGUCUAAAUUACAAAAUGCUCAAUAUAAUUUUCCCUUUUAAGUAUAUAGAAAGAAUUGUCAAUAUAAUAAAAUUUUAUAUUUAUAAAUUUGAAUAUGGUGUUUCAUUGAAUAAGAGAAUAUUAUCCUACCCACCUUUAUAACUAAUUAAUAAGUCAUGAAUUUCACCUCAUAGAGGCUAAAUUAAAUCCAUCAAUAUCUACCUCGGUUACUUGUUGUAGCUUUAUUUAUCUAAUUAAUAGACUUUUUUUUUUACUUAAUCAUAAUUAACAAGUUAAUGUGCUUGUUCUAUUACUCUUCAUUGUAUUAUUUUCUUGGCUUUCCAAACUGAAAUAAUUAAAUUAACCACAUUCACAUUGUGAGAUUGAAAUAAUCAUAAGAAGUUCCCAUUUCUAGAAUAUUUAUAUAUAUCCCAACGCUACUUUGCUUGGUUACAAUUUGUUUUUGAAGCCUAGUUGUGCUUAAGAUGUUUAUUGAGAGAGAAACAAAAAAAAAAUGAGAUAGAAAUAUUUAAAUAACAUUAGGUGAGAUCAAUUGAGUUUUCUCUCUUAUUUUUAUGUCUUUUUGCUCGCGUGAUGAGAAUAAUAAUAGAUAAUUAACUAUAUUUUAAAAAAAUCAUCUUAUCUUUCUUAUUCAUAUCUGAAAUUUAGAAACAUCUCAACUGCAUUUAUUUUAAUUUGAAGAUAAAAAGUUUGCAUAAAAAUAAUAAACAAAAUUCGAAUUUGACCUCAGACUUGAUAAAUCCUCCAAUAGCUUUAAUUAACAUCUUGAAGGUACUAAUAUAUAAAAAAAUUAUGUACUUUAAUUACAUAAACUAAAAAAAUUUGAAAAAUUUCAACGGAAAAUUAGGGAAGAUUAUAUCGGUUAUGAAAAUUACUGAUGGACACAACAAUGGAAUAUCUCCUUUGAAAACUAACAUGUUAAGUUUUUUAUUUCGUUUAUAAUUUCAUUUGUAGUUUUCAAUAUCAAUAGUUGAUGAAAUAUUGGCAUCUAAAAAUCAGUUUUAAUUAUCUUUUUUGUCAGAAUUGAAAAUUACAGACAGAAAAAUUAAAUUAGAAACUGUCACUGAUUUUUUAUAGCUAUUUAAUGUCACUUGAUAUACUAAAUCUUUCAACCAAAGAAGCUAAUGCUAAUGUAAUUCCAAAUUCAAAUGUGUGAAGGAAGAAAUUUGAUGAUGACCUGAAACAGAGUGCAAUGGAUCUGGGUUUGCAAGCUGUUUCUUGGUAGGUUGGGCUUGGUGCUGAAGAGACUGACAGGGUCCUGACUAAUGAAGCUUGGAGAUUGGAUUUCUGUAAUUGUAUAGAGUUUCUACCCAACAAACAAAUUGGAGUCAAAAUCAUACAUUCUCAGUCAUAUAAUUGGAGAUAUUUACACAAAAACAACAGUUUUUUAUAUUUGACUGAGGGCAGACGAAUAUCGAGUGAGUUUUUUACAUAUUUAUUGUAUUACUUCUUUAAUUAUUUUACUAUGUUAUCCUAUUUAGAGAUACUAAUGCUAAUUAGAUUAUAUAUUAGCUAUUUAGCUUUUCAAUAAAGAUUCUUUUCUGAUUAGGAUUUCGAUGUAAAAAUGGUAUAAAUAGGAAUGUUUAACUUACGUUUUAGAAUUAUUAAUAUUCAAAAUUUAUCAAAUCAUAGUGUUGUCUGUUGGAGCUCCCUAAUUCGAUCAAAUAGUUAACACUUGAACACACAGGACAUUUCUUUUGUUUGUUCUUUUUUCCUUCCAACAAGGGCAAAUAUUAUUUUUCUUGUAAACAAUUAUUGAAAGUGAAGUUACAAGAGGAAGUAAUGACAGAGUGCCUAUGAAGUUGAAGAGCAUCCUUUCAAUGGUUUCGGAUAAGACCUGGAAGAGGUGUGCCUAUGAAGUUGAAGAGCUGCUAGCAGUGUCACGUCUCUGCUGCAAUGUUGAUAAUCCAACAUAAAUAUACGGUGUGUGAGAUAUUUUAUGCCAAUCCACUCCGUUCCCUCUCUGACAUCGUUUUUCGAGUUCAGGACAGCCUCUGAUGGACAAAUGCUGGAGUGCGCGGAGUCGUUGGAGACCUUGUGGGAAAGACUUGAUGUUUUGGCAAUCUGAGAUUGUCAAAGAUCGAAGUGAAACCAGGUUCUCCACCCAUGCUGGUAAUUCCAUGACUCCUGGACAGUCGUGAAUUUCCAGGUUUUGCAAUGUUGUAAUAAAUUGUAGUCCCUCGGGCAGAGAUGCCAGCCCUGUGCAGCUUAAAAUGCUCAGACUUUUAAGUGCAGAGAGAUGUUGCAAGCCAUUUGGCAAAGACACCAGAUUUGAACAAUACAUAAUAGUUAGGCGUUCAAGGGCUGUGGCAUGUUGCAUCCGACUCGGCAGAGAAGUCAAGCUGUGACAAUUCUCAAUGGAGAGUGAUCGCAGCGAACUCAAUCCUUCUAGGCUUUCCUCUGGCAGGGAGACUAAAUUAGGACACUCGAUAAUCUCCAAGGACUCCAGAGAAGUCAGAUUUGUCAAACCAUGUGGCAAAGAGUGUAGCUCCUGAAACCAGCCUAUUCUUAGAAACUUCAAGUUCUGGAGUUGUCCAACAUUUGCAGGCAAUGAACGAAGUUUGGGACAGAAGGAAAUUGUCAAAGACAAGAGAAGCAAGUUGUUUUCUAUGAGUGCUUUUGGUAUAUAGAGUAACUCCGGAAAAUUGCCAAUAAUGAGAGUGGAGAUUGAUCGUAGCUGUGCUACAGACCGUAGCAUCACUGGGUGGCAGUUUCUGAUCUCUACAUGUUGAAGAGAUGGAAACCAUGGCAUGGUGAUCAAAACUGGGCAGUUAAUGAUAGUUAAUUUGUUCAAGCAAGUGAAUGCUUCCACAGGAUUGGUGCUCCAGGUUUCCAACUUAGGAAAAUCUUUGAGAGAGAACUCGGUCAAUGAUGAAAAAGCUCUCAUGCCACCAAAGAACUCAUUGCCGAUGUUCACUACAGAAUCCAUUCCUUGGAUACGGAGAACUUUCAGCAGCGGCAAUUCCCCAAGCGUGGGGAGGCUUUCACAAUUUGUGCAGUUGGCUAACUCAAGUUGUAUCAGAUUGCAGAGGGCGGCUGCGUUCAUCCAAUCUGGAAACUCAGUUCCUGGAUAGCCAUUCACAAACAACUUCUUUAUCCUGGAGUUUGGCUUCAAUGUUGAAUGAAGUAAAAUCCUUGCAGUUUCAACACUAUGAUGUCCUGUUUGGCUUCUUGGAUCCCUCAUGUUACCACUCAGCUUAUGUUCAUCAGCAUCAGCAUCUCCCCAUGACAAUCCCAACGAGUUAAGUUGCAUAUUUUCGAAACAAUAAUGAUGUCCAGGCCCAGGAAAUUUUUUUGCAGAUAAUACAUUCUCGAGGUGUUUAAUUUUCAGUUCACCUCGAAGAUUUUGUAGCUUUAGUAACUCAUAUAGGCCAUCCUCCCAUGUUUUGCCAACUAUAAAUAUAGGCAAGGUCUGAAGAUUUCCCAAUGCCCCAAUAAAAUCUGGCAAGCGAGCAAGUCUUGCACAGUUUUCUAUUUUCAGAUGUCUCAGGCUGGUCAUCAUUCUCGUCCUUUUGGGUAACUUUUGAAGAAUAUAGCAACUUGAUAAAUCUAGUGUCUGCAAUUGGAGGUUACAAAUAGAUGCUGGUAAUUUUUCAAUUGGAGUGUCGGACAGAUCAAGAUAUCUCAGGCAUGUCAAGUCACCAAUGGAUUUGUGCAAAAUUUUUAUGCCAAACCCACUCAAAUUCAGAAUUCUGAGGUACUUGAAGCUUGAAAUUAAAUUCCUGACGGAUUUCUCUGAUGCAUCUCCUAGAGAUAACAACUUGAGGGUACGCAAUCCCUUUGCUCCGUACAAGGCUCCAGGAACCCGGUUGGAUGAAGAAUAGCAAUCAACCACAGCAUGUCUAACUUUUGUGGAGUGGCUCAGUUUCAAGGUCCCUUGUUGUUCAGUCUUCCCUGUAGUGAGGAAUUCAUUACCAGCAACUGAUAUAGCAAGACCAUGAAUAAGAUCAUGCAUUUUGAUCCUUGUUGUGCUGCUGUCAUCACAUCCACUCACCACUUCUAACAAAGACAUCCUUAGCAGAUCAGUGAGAUAGUCGGAGCCGAUGUCUUCAGGUUCGGACACCAGAUCAUGAUCGCAUUGAACUAAUCCCCCGGCUAUCCAUUGAUGGAUCAACUUUUCCUUGCAUAUUUCAAAUUUCUUCGGAAAAACCGCACAAUAAGCAAAACAUCUCUUUAAAUUUGAUGGCAGAUGAUCGAAACUCAACCUUAGGAUCUGUAUUAUUUUAUUGUCCUGUCUAUCAAGAUUCAAUAAUUCGCUCCCUUGCACCCGCAACCACUCACUUUCUUCGCGUUUGAACCGCAUUAAGCUUCCAAGAACUUUCGCUGCCAAAGGCAAUCCUUUGCACUUGUCAAUGAUCUGUUUUCCAACAGGUAGUAAGUUUGGAAAAUCAUUUUCAUCUCCAUCAGGAAAGGCCCGCUGCUUGAACAACACCCAGCAAUCAUCCUCAGACAGGGCUUCCAAAUGGUAAGGGGGGCUAGUGCUCAUUAUGGAUGCUACAUUCCAGCUCCGGCUGGUGACAAUAACUCUGCUUCCAUUUGUACCAUCCCCUAGCAGAUUCCUUACUUUAUCCCAUUUAUCUGGAUCCUCAUUCCAAACAUCAUCCAACACAAGGACAAAUCUUUUUCCGUGCAAUGCUUUCCGCAAUUGUGACUGCAGCAAACCCAUCUGGGAUAUCGAAUAAUGCUCGCCCUUCUGGACAUAAGCCAACACUUGACUCAUAAUCUUCCUAGGAUUAAAAUCAUCAUCAUAUAGGGAGAUCCAAAUCUUCAAAUCAAAAUGCUUGUUCACUCUCUCAUCAUUGUAGGCUAAUUGAGCAACGGUUGUUUUUCCAAUACCUCCAAUCCCAAUUAUAGGAAUCACUCGGAAAUCAGUAUUAGAUGCCAAUAACAUUUUCACAACCUUUUCCACAUCCUCUUUUCUACCACAAACUUCAGACUCAACUAUGUGAGGUCCAGUUUCUCUUCCUUCUCUAUUACCAGUCUGUGGUAGUCUCGACAUCAGAUGGAACCCGCCCAUCUCCGUCGAUAUAUCGUCCAAUCUCUCCCUAAUCUCUCUCAGCUUACGAAAGUUUAUGAAAUAAUUUGGAAUUGAUUCAACAGUAUGAGAAGCCAACCGUACCUUUCUAUUCAUCAGCUCACCAAAUUCCUCUGCCCAAAGCUUUCCUUUACCGAGUAUUCCCGUGUCGUAACUCGGAGAAUAUGUGACGCGGUCACUUUGGAGCACUUGUUUGGACAAAACUCGAGCAUAGAUCAUGUCCCAUGGGAAGCGGUCACUUUCGAGCACUUGUUUGGACAAAACUCGAGCAUGGAUCAUGUCCAAUAAAUCUUCAGCAUCAUAGGCCACAUCUUUAAGUUUUUGCAGCCAAAUCUUGAUCUGCUUAUCUCCAUGUUGUCUCUCCUCUGCAUCUUCGAUCACACCUUGAAUUAUGGGAAGCCUAUUCUGCAGCUUUUGCAUCUCCUUCUCGUAAUCUCCUCCAGACGUUAACUCUCUGAUGAUCAGAAGAGCCAACUUAUCAAACACCGCCUGUAAAAGGGGAGAUACAACUAAAGCAUCCAUGAUGAUAUUCUAGCAAUCUGCCAGUAGACACAAAAUGAAAGGUGAAUUGAGCAAAUAACAGGGAAAGGGUUUUUCUUUUUCCUUAUUUCUAUCUCUCUUCCUUCCAGCUUCCUUCUUGCUUUUUGCCUCUCUGCUUCUGCCUGGAACCUUCCGUGGACCUUGAUGAUAAGACUUUGACUGCUGUCCACAAAAAUUCAUGUCUAAUAUUGUUUUUCUAAAUUUAUUAUAUGACACCAUUCUAAAAAAUUAUUGUUUUUAUUCGACUGCUAAAUAUUAAACCAGUUUUUUUUAAUUAAUAUAAAUAUUCGGAACAGCUUGUACGUAUCUCAAUUAAUUUCACAGAUUCUAAAAUUAACAAUCAUAUAAACCUCAAGUGGUCUGAGGUUUGUAAAACUCGAAAAGAAUAAUUUUUAAAGAGCAAAUUCAAGACCUAACUAGUUAAACUACACCUCUCAAUAUUAAUAUUAAACCUCUGUUUGCUUGGCUUUGUAGUGUGAUAUAUUGAUAUUUUAUAAAAAUAAUUUUUAAUUAAAAUAAUUUUUUUUUUCUACAAGUAGAUUAAAACAUCAUCUUUUUCAUCAUUCUAGUCUUUUUGGAAAUUUUAACUGUAUAAACUCUGAUCUUUUUUAAAAUCCUUAAUAUAUCACAAACUAGACUAACUAGUUUGGUCGUUUCUCGUUUCCUUGCUUUUGUUUUUUUUUUUUUGUCUUUAUAUUCUCCUUUUUCUUUUAUCCUCUGUUUAUUUGUAAUACUGAUUUAUAUAAUUCUCUCUGUUACUUGAAAAAAAAAAAAAAGGUUGAAACAUUGAAUAUCAAAACCAGAUGUACUCUCAAUGCUCUGUUCAGCUAGAUUAGCAGCAACAAAAUUUCCUUGUCUAAGUACAUGACUAAAAAGUUGCCCUUUUCAGCCUCCUUGUCAUCAUGGUGAUUAAAUUUAUUCUUGAGGCAAUUAAUAGAAUUUGUCUGAUUUCAAGAUUCAAUUAAUAGAAUUUUAAACACCUUAACUAUCGUGCCCUCUCACGUUUUCUUUCUCUAAAAGAUAUUAAUAAUUAUCCUUGUAAAAUUUAACUUCACUAGUCCCAUCAAACACAUUCUAAGUGUUUUUGUUACCAAUUAAUAUUUUUUUAGAAUUGAACUCUAAAAAGAUGAUGAUUAUCUUGCAAUUAAAUAGAUAAAAGGUUUCAAAUGUUUAUUACAUACGUUGCUAUUAAGAUUUGAAGGAUGAAACAAAGAUAAGGCUUUGAUCAAGUGUAAAACAUUAAAAAAAACAAACUUGAACUUUAAUAUAAGAAAAAAAGUAAUGGAAAGCACACAAAUAAAAGUUCAAAUAUAGAGCUAAAUAAAAUUAAUUACGAAUAUCAGGUUUAUUUAUUUAUUUGAUGGAAUUGGAUUCAAAUUGCAUUAAUAUACAGUAAGUUACUUGCAAAAGAAAUUGUCAUGUCCAUGGCUGUCAUUGAGAAAUAUGUGCCAUUAGUGGUCUAAAGUCUAAAGCAUGCGCCAAAAACUCUUUAGAAAGAACUGUUCGUUCUAUUUGGCAAUUCUUGCAUCAUCACGCACGUAUAUAAAUGACUCCUUACGCUCUGUUUCAUCUUUUGUUCCCUUUGGCCAGUAAGCAAAGGGAGGCAAGGAAAUAUUUCAGCCAUCAAAAUAGUUGAUUUUAUAUUAAAUAAUUUUAUAUAAUGAUUUUAUAUUAAAUAAUUUCAUAUAAUGAAAAAAGUUUAAAUUAGUUUUUUUAAAAAAACUUUUCUAAAAUAAUAGAUCUAAACUUGGGAAGAUUUUUGUUUCUAGAUUGAUUUUGAGUUUUAAGAUAAUGUUUUGUGUUUUUUAAGUUCAUGAAUUGGUUCAAUUAAAUUUUUAAAGUGUUUUUUUAAGUAUUUUAAGUAAUUAUAUAGGUUGAAAAUGGAAAGAGACAUGUACAACGCCUCUUAAUAGAGGGACUGGUACGUGGGUGUGUGCUUACAGAGAGAUAUGUACGAGGGGUGUAUGAGAAAUAGGUCUUUAGUGGUUAAUGAUGGUUGCUGGAAACUAGUGUAGUGGAAGGAUAGUUUUUUAACGGUAGUUUCGUGUUGUCAGUGCUUUCUAUUUUUUAGCAUAUUGUUUAACUUUCCAAGUUUAGUGGGCUAUAAAAUAUAGUCAAUAGGUUAUUCUUAAUUAUGCAGAUAAUAAUAUAAAAUACUUUCUACUUUUGUUUCUUCUUCCCUGAUUGAUAAUAAAGUACUCAUCAAGUGCUCAAGUCAACAAUGGUAGGCAUCAAGUGCUCAAGUUUAGUGGGCUAUAAAAUAUAGCCAAUAGCUCCUUGUUUUUCGGCUCUUGUUUUUUUACAAGAUAAAGGCAUGGAGUGCAUCCAACCCUAAAUAUGCAACAUACAAGAAAUAAUAUAAAAAGUAAAAAAGGAGAAUAAAGAAAAGUUGUGAGGUAUUGAGGUAUUUGGAAGAGAAUAAAUAAGAUAUUUUUUUUAUUAAUAAAGAAAUUUCCAGUUGUUUUAUUAAUUAAUAAAGAGAGGAUUGCUUAUUAAAAUCUUUUUAUACUUGCAUAACUCUUGUGUUUAUCAUUUCUCAUUUUAUCCUUUGUUUUGUCGGGUUUGCAAACAAGAUCCUAACAUCUCGCCAGCAGCGCUGCCUACUGCCUUCAACGCCAGCCUCCAUCUCCACUUUCCACCAUCACCAAACCCUCCCUUCAAACCAAUCACUACGGUAGCCCAGCCGCCACUACCCACUGCUCAGCACCCACACACAAACCACCGUCGCCAAGCAGCAGCAGACCCAAACAAUUGCAUCGCCAUUUUCGUCCAAACCCCCAUCACCGAUCGUAAUCAUCACGCCGGCAAGAAAACCACAGCCCCCAUCGCCAUACUUCAAACCUCCACGCUCCUCACAUCGACUGCCCUCUCUCUCGCCAAGCAAUCACCACGCGUCGUUCAUCUCAUCACCAAACCACCACACACCACCACACAGCAAACACCCAGAGCAUCCCAAACUCACCAAAUCAGUCACCGAAAACAGCACCACCUCCAACAACCAAAGACAGCAGCGGUAAUAAC